Molecule: long non-coding RNA, 99183 nt
Filed under: Prunus persica (peach)
Lineage: Eukaryota; Viridiplantae; Streptophyta; Magnoliopsida; Rosales; Rosaceae
Description: long non-coding RNA (PPER_LNC002428)
Source: RNAcentral
UUUAUACACCUACGUGACGUGAGCAUUCAAUAAUCAUCCUACACAUAUGCUGAUGUGAGCAUUCAAAAUCAUUAGAAUGAUUUAAUUGAAGACUCAACGUACGGACGUCUUUUUCACUUAGAUUCCCUUCCCGUACAAACUUGCAUCAGUUCCUCCACGACCCCAUCAAUCUCUUCAUCCUCUUUCUUGUUCAUGUUGUCUCUUAUUUUCAAUGCCUUUUUUCUCACUCCCUCUCCAAUUUUCUCCACAAAAACAUCUCUAAUCACCUUUGCGACCUCUUCUCUUUGCAAACUUCCUUCACCUGUUCUCUUAACCUCAACACCAACACCCACCUCCUCCACUAGUCUAGCGUUGAUCGGCUGGUCAAGAUGCAUAGGCAUGGCUAUAAUUGGAACACCAAACUUGAUGCUCUCCAACACUGAGUUCCAUCCGCAGUGACUCACAAACCCCCCAACACUAGAAUGCUGCAGUAUCUUUGCCUGUGGGGCCCAACCCUCCAUUAUCACUCCCUUCUCUCCCACCCUCUGUAAAAACCCUUCUGGUAACACCUCUUCAACCCUAGUAUUUUUCUCCUCCUUAGAAAAUCUUAUAACCCAAAUGAAGCUCACUUUGCUAAGCUCUAAUCCGUGAGCUAUCUCUUCUAUUUGCUCCUUGGACAGAAAGUACUCACUGCCAAAGCAUACAUACACUACAGAAGACCUUUCCAUUUUGUUCAGCCAUUUCAUGAUCCAUGUUUCCUCAUCAACUUUUUGAUCCACUGGCUCUUGAACAAGCGUGCCAACAGGCACGAUCUUUUUCCCCAUUAAAUCAGAGAGAUAAUCAAUAUAUUUUUCUUCAAUCCCCCUGGAUGUCUUUACCAAAAUGAUGUUACAAGAUCGAGCACUGCAUUGCUGAACACGGUCUCCAUCUUUGAUGCCAUUUGCUGAAGAUUCCAACACGUUGUUGAACUUUUCAGCUUCGUAAUCUUGAAGAUAAAUCGAAGGAAAAGGAAACUUGACACUAGGGUUCUUGAGAUGUUGAAUACUAAAUGAAGUAAAGGCAGCACCCAUGGUGAUGAAUUCGAUGGAUGGAAAAUUUUGCAAUGAAGCUAGAGAGGGCGCCCAUGGUUGAAGAAAAUCAUAUAUGAGCAAAUCUGGGCUUAGGGUUUUGAGGAUGUUGGAGAAGUUGUUGCUGGACAUAUCAAAGGCCCUUUUGAGAGUGGACAUGAGAUGGGGAGGGAGGCCAUUGGUGGUAUGGUAGUGAGGUGGGAGUUCAGGCAAGUCAUCAUGUGGAAGAUGGAGUUCCACAAAUUCAAUGCAAUGAGAAUAUUUUUGGGAGAGUUUAGGCUUGAUGGAGCUGAGAUUUACAGGCGUGGAACAAAUAAAGAUGUGAAAAUUUCUCUUGGUGGUCAGCUUCUUGGCUAGCUCUAGGUAGGGAGAUAUAUGGCCGUGAGCUAGCCAUGGAAGCAUAAGAAUAGUAAGUUUUCUUUGGUCAGAGUAAACCAUAUUUUGUUUUCCUUUCACUCUUUUGCUUGAGGUUGCUCGAUUAUAGGCUUAUUGGUAGUUUUUUUGUAGCUAGCUCUAUGCAUAUAUAUAUAUAUAUACACACACAUUCAUGGGAAAAGAGGCUUGGGGAUGGGAAAUCAAUUGAUUUCCUAUGUUUGGUAAAGUUCGGGUAUGAGAAAUCGUUGCUUUGCACAUGAGAAAGUAGAGGGGAAAGUGAAGCCCUCCUCCUUCCUUAGGUUUUGUUUUCCUCCUCAUGGGAAAGUUUGGGAAAAUGAGCUAAUAUUAAAUACAUAUUUUUCAUGACCAUAUUAUCCCCAUUAAUAAUUUAGAAUUACAUAAAUGCAUUCUAUUUUUAUUUGAUUUCAUAUGGGUAUAAUUGAAAAAUUAAACAAAUUUUGUUUUACAUUCCUACACAAACCAAACAUGUGAAAGGAAAUAAAGUGGUAUUUCUUGGUUACUUUCCCAAGAUUACCAAACAUAGGAAAGGAAUCUCUAUUUCCCAUCCCUUAGAAAAUGACUUGGAAAGUAAUUUCUCCUCAAAUUCGUUCCGUGAACCAAACGGAACCUGCAUAAUAGAAGUUCCAAAAAAACACGUGAUGAUUGGAUCAUGCAUAUGUAAGUUCCCGAGUGAUGAUUGGAACAAGUUCCUAAUGAUAAAGACUCGAAACAAGAAUAGUUUAAACUUUCUUCUUUGUUUGGCUUGAUAUAAGACGAAUGCACCAAACAAACCGACUAAUUGCUGGCACAAUAUAAAUUGGGGCUACAAUUACCUAAUAAUUAGGUACUAAGGGCUACAAUUACCUAAUAAUAUCAACUUUCAUUAUACAGAUUUGAGAAACAAAAAGUUCAACUUUGAUGACAAGCGAUAUUAAAGGAGGGCGUAAUCAAACUUAGGAUCUUGAGUGUAGAAAUAAAUACUUUUAACAACUUGAGCUACAAGCCUUUUGUAAUAUUAAUGAUAUUUUAAUUAUACGUUUGAAUAGUUCGCUUCCUUCUCUUUUAUUUUCAUUUGUUUAUAUUUAACUCUAAUUUUAUUUAUAUUUUUGGUCAAGGUAAAAAGACUUUGAAUCUCUCUCCAAUGAUUUUCACAGCCGAAACUCCUUUAGUUUCCACAAAUAUUUUUUAAUAUUUCAUGCAUUUGUAAGUUUCCGACUCGGAUGGUUCAUGUAACCAAGAAGUUUAAACUUGUUUUUGCUUGUUCCGCCGACGAAAGCGCAACAAAAGGACAAACUACAACCAAUACUUCUAGUAUCACCAGUUCUCAUUGAAUUUGUUGCCGUGAAUGUUUAGGAUUCUGCCCAAACUAGUAUUUGCGUUUCUGAAUUGUUUGAAAACACAUAUGAAAUUAUGAUUUCUCCUCCCCAGAAGACAAAUUGACGAAGAAGUAUCAUGAUUUUGAUGACACAAAUUAGAAUCCAGGGUUUUCGAAGUGCCUAAUGGACAACUAUUAAUUUAGAAAUAUAUAUAUUUUUUUCGCAAUGCAGAAACACAUAAAUCCCAAGUUUGAAUUCAUCCUAUUUUUGUUUUUGUUUUUUCCUUUUUUAACCCAGAAGAAAAAUUGAGUGCCACUCUGCUAUGUAGAAUGCAAGUUUUAGUUUAGAUUUUUUUUUCUUUUUAGUCUCUUAUUCUACAUUUAGAUCUCAUAUAUUUACUCGCAUUUUAUUAAAUCUAAGUCAUUCAAACAAUCUGACCACUUAACAAAUUACAAGUACUCAAACUUAAAAUCAGAUUGGAUGGACAUGAGGCUUACACUGAUGAUUCUACACGUGCUGAGAAUAGUCCUUUUAUUUCUUUAUUAUUUUCUUGGUCGGGACUCGAGAGACAGGUGUAGUGUAGCGAUGGAGACGAGGCCCGCAAGACAUAAAAGUCUGAAGAAGAGAAGCGUGAAAGCUUCAUUUAGACAGUUAAGUGCAUACGUAACGUAAAGAUUCAAAGACUAUGUCCCUCUCCAAACAGGGAAAGAUCUGAGUUGAAAGCAACAAACUACAGUCACAAUAGGAAAGCAUCUACAACGUAAAGAAAAUAAGUUUACCAGAAGCAUCGGAAAGAUCUAGAGUCUGAAGAAGAGAUACUGAAGUAAUUGUUCAUCGACUGAGCUUAAAUGAAAUAUUAACUCUUUGUUGUGCCAUAAGCACAAGAUCUUAAGAAAAAAAUUCAAGAUAAACCAUAUAAUAUUUUCUAACCCACAAAAUAAUAUAGAAAAUAAAUGCAAGAACAAGAGAAUAGCAAGACACAACGAGGCUGCUUACAAUCAGUGUAAAUGAGCAAACAAAUUCACCAUCAACAAAUUAGCAUGCUUAUGAAGUGUUUUGCAACCUCACAAACCAAGGCGCCAUAUACACCAAAUGACUCUCACUGAAAAACUAAACAAAGAAACACACUCACACUAAUGAAAGCAACGUUACAAGGUAGGAGAUUGAAUAUUACAUUUACAAUACACUCAUAAGUUACAAAAACUAAUUACAAAUAUUUAGCGCAUAGGUUACAUAGAACUGAAAGGGUGGAAUGAUAAGAGCUAUGGUGGUCAUCCACCAACUCAUGCAUUUACAACACCGCCUCUUGAAUGUCCACCAUACAAUACAAUGAUAUAGUUGCGUCAUUAAACACUUUGCUUGAAAAACUAUAUGGGACAAAACUUAGGCUACGGGAAAAAGAGUGCAACACAAAUAAUAUUGAUAUCACAUUUGUCUCUCCUACGGAAUGAGCUUUGGUGAUGUUUGUAUAAAAAUUGCGUACAAACCAUUAUUGGAAGAUUGGGCUAGAGUGGGCUUUACCCUAGUGUUGACUUUGGAAAGAGACAAAUUAGGCUUAGUUGUGUAAAUUCAAUCCAAAAAAAAAUUAAAUAAUAGCCCACAUCUACAGCCAAAUACUUUAAUACUUUAAUUACUAAAGUUUUUUUUUCUUUCUCUCUCUUCUUUGGUUUAUUCAGCUUUUGAUUUGGCUCAAAUAAUGUUUAUAUCUCUCUUUGAUUUUGUUUUUUCAAAUUUAUUGAUGUUGCUUCUUUUGAAAAUUUUGAAAUAUGGACCCUCCCUAACUAAACCACUCCAUUGAGCAAAAGCCCUUGAGCUUCAAAUUUAUCUUCGUCUGAGCCUCUGAAUUUUGGUUUUUUUUAGGUUUUUUUUGUUUGUUGUAGGUUUCUUUGUUCACAUAUCUCUCUAAAAAUAGUAUUUUUCUUAAUGAAUUCUGAAAAUAGUUUUUAAUUUGAAGGAAAUAUACGGAAUUAGUAAAAAAGUAUACCACUUUCAUUAAUCUGAAGGAAAUAUUGCUUUAUAUAUAUUUGUUUAAAAAUAGGGCUUAUAAUUGAUCUCAAAAAAAAAAAAAAAACAAAUAGCCCACCCCUGUAAAUAUUCCUUAGUCCGCCAUUGCAUGGCAUAAUAUUUGGUAUGCUAUGCUAGCAUCUCAUAAGCUCUUCAAGAGACCUGAAUUUUAUGAUAACUUCUUAAAAAAUUUGAAUACAUUUCAACGAUAUUAAACUUGAAUUUGAACUCAUAAUUCAAUCAAAGUACUCAUUGAGGCAAUUUAGAUCAUUUUCAUUUUAAAAAAAUUGGGUGCACACAUUGAGCUUCAUGCUCUUUACCUUCUUAGAGAUUUUAUUUGAGGAAUUUAUAUUGCAUCACAUAUUACAUCUCUUAGGAUUUGUUCUUAUUAUGUAUUCUUUAAGAGAUCUAUUCUUGCAAUAUGCUUCAAACACUUCAUAAUCUUUAUGAAUUUUUCAUGUAGAUUUAAGGUCUCCAUGAAUAUUGAGAUUGAAACAAGGAGUAAAAGAGUUAAAAGUUUAAGAAAUUUUUUCCCUGAUUAUUUUGUAAUUAUAAUGUUGGUGAAAAUCCAAUUUCCUUUCUAGAAUUUGUGAAAUUUGUUAUUUGGCUAAGCUAAAAGUAUAAUUUUGACAAUAAAAAGCAUAUGAAAGUUUCUCUUUGGUUGGCUUCUUGGCUAGCUCUAGGAACGGACAGUGUGGCCAUGAGAUAACCAUGGAAGUAUAAUAAGAAUGCUUGGAUGCUGUGAACAAUCCAUUUUCUGACUCUUUUUCUUGAGGUGGUUGUUUUCUUAUGGCCCAUCAGAGUUUAUGGUCGACAGAUAAGCUUCAAACACAUGCAUUGGUCGUGUCAGUUGCGAUAAACUCUUCCCAACAAUCAACAAUUUCUAAGGUAAUAUCAUCAUUCAAUCAUGUGCUGAAUUUAGAAUUGUUUUCAAAUCAAGGAUUUGUUUUGGAACUCAGAUUUUAAAACAAUUAAAAUUUAAUUGGGAAGACUUUUUGUUUAAAGGAAGUUCGUUUCAAUUCAAAAAAUAAUUUUUCAGUUUUUCAACUCAAAAGUCUUCUCAGUUUUCUUAUUUUUCUUAUUGGCGAGUUUCUUGGUUAACUCUAGGAAGGGAGAUAUGUGGCCAUGAGCUAACCAUGGAAGCAUAAGAACGCUGACCAUGCUUGGAUUUUGAGAAGACUUCCUCUUUUUUUUUUCCCUGACUCUUCUUCUUGAGGCGGUGGUUGGCUUAUGGCCUCAUAAUAGUUUGGUGUUUUUGGAGAUCAUAUGGUGAUGAUCUGAUGGAGAUGAGUCAUAGUUUGUGCUAGUGCAUACGUAAUUCCAAUUUCCUGAUUCAGAUGGGAUAAACUCUUCCAACAAAUUAAGACUCUUAUCAUGCAUACACAUAAGAAGUGGAAAUUUGCUUCUGUCUUAGUUUGGCCUUGAUAUAGGACAGCUCAUAGGAAAGCAUCCAAAACAAUAUUCUUUUUAUUUUUUUUAUUUGAAUACAAGCGAUAUUAGGAGUGUGGGGAUUUGAACACAUGAUUUAGGGUACAGGGUAAUGCUCUUAACUAUAUGAGUUACAAGUCCCUUGCAAACAGUCUGAAAUACUAAAAAUAAAAAAUAGAUGCUCAUCCAUAUGCACUGUCAUGCCCCAACCCUUGGAUUUACAAAACCUUGUGUUAAGACGUGAUUCACACCUUAAUUAUAGAAUUUAAUAAAAACUAUAACUAAAAUGUGAAGAAAACAUUUAAAUAAAUAAAAUAAAUAUUUCACAUAGAAUAUUCAGUGGAAAUGACAACAUGUGAAAUCUUAAAAAUUUUACAUUAUCUUACAAGUUGGCGUGACUUGUGGAUAUUGACUUACUUUCCUUACACACCAAGAAUUCCUAUUAUAAUUGUAAUUGAUUUACUUUAAUUCAUGAUUUCCUACUGUAAAUAGAUUUAAGAAUUUAUUAUUUACUUGCCCAUUCAGGUUUCGUUGUAUUAUAAAUAUGACCUCCUACAAGGAGAAGAACAUACAGAAAAUUCCCACAAACAAAUAUUCUCUCAUAGUUUUCAUAUUUUAGCAUGGUAUCAGAGCGGCAAUCUUGGAAUUGCUGACUCUAGUUUCAAACCCCCGCCGCCGCUAUGGGGGUUGAUGAUUUUUUCAACCAUCAUGGAGGUAGCACCAUCGACUCCUUCUCUCAUUCUCAACUAACCAUCGUUGAGUUGAGUGCCCAGAUGGCUCCGCUCCUACAGAUGCAGACUUUGACCCCAAACCCGAUCCAGAAUCAGGAUCUUCUUUCGACAACCACGACCCCGAUCUCGACUAUGACAACGACGACCCCGACCCCUACUCUGAAGAUGACCCCGACCCCCACUCCGAUGACCCCAACCCCGAAUUUGUCUCUGAUUCAGAACCCGAUCCCGAUUUCGACUCCGACUCCGGCCUCGACUCAGGCUCAGAUUUCGAUCCAAAUUCCUACUCAACUUAUAUCCUAUGCAUCUUCCGCUGCACAGAUUAUGACUUCUAGACUAACGACCCCGACAUAUGGACCAGAUUGCACAUAUUGUGGUGAUCCGAGACACACUUGUGAGACUUGUUUUAAAUCGCAUGGCUACCCCGAUUGGUGGGCUAUUCUUACAGAUCAAGGACAAUGCACCAGUAAUGGUACUGGUUAUGGAUUCCAUACUUCCGAUAAGAUUGAUUCCAGGAGCUGGAUAAUUGAUUCUGGUGCAACUGAUCAUAUGACGUUUGAUCCUGAUGAUUUUCUGAAUACUACACAACCUCGACGAACUUGUAUUGCAAAUGCCAAUGGUGUUACUUAUCCUGUGACAGGGGCUGGCACUGUUGCACUCUCAUCCUCUCUCACACUGUCUAAUACUUUACUUGUUCCAUUUUUAUCCACUAAAUUGUUGUUAGUUAGUCAGCUUACUAAACAAUUGAAGUGUUGUGUACUCAUUUACCUGAGUUUUUGUUUGCUUCAGGAUAUUCACACUAAGGAGAUUCUUGGUCGUGGUACUAAGAGAGGGGGGCUAUAUUAUGUCGAUGACUUCAGUUCCGGCGUGCCUAACAGUGUGACACAUCCCUUUGAUAGCAAACAAAAGCAAAUUUGGUUGUGGCACCUUCGAUUGGGACAUCCGUCUUUCAGUUAUAUGAAGCAUCUUAUACCAGAUUUAUUCUUAGGUUUCAAGGACUCCGACUUCACAUGUGAUACUUGUAUUUUGGCUAACAGUCACCGUGUGCCCUACCUGUUGAGUACGAACAAGUGUACUUGUAAGAUCCCACAUCAACCAACGGAGAGGGGGUGAUGUGCCUUAUAUAUGCACACCUGCAUCCAUCUAGCACGAGGCCUUUUGGGAGCUCACUGGCUUCGGAGUCGUAGGAACUCCGAAGUUAAGCGAGUUGGGGGCUAGAGCAAUCCCAGGAUGGGUGAUCCACUGGGAAGUUGCUCGUGAGCUCCUAGAAACAAAACCGUGAGGGCAGAGAGAGGGGCCCAAAGCGGACAAUAUCGUGCUACGGCGGAGUUGAUCCCGAGAUGUGACAAUUUGGUAUCAGAGCCACUCUGCCGUGUGGUGCGAAUGUGCCGACGAGGACUUCGGGCCCUUAAGGGGGGUGGAUUGUAAGAUCCCACAUCAACCAACGGAGAGGGGGUGAUGUGCCUUAUAUAUGCACACCUGCAUCCAUCUAGCAUGAGACCUUUUGGGAGCUCACUGGCUUCGGAGUUGUAGGAACUCCGACGUUAAGCGAGUUGGGGGCUAGAGCAAUCCCAGGAUGGGUGACCCACUGGGAAGUUGCUCGUGAGUUCCCAGAAACAAAACCGUGAGGGCCAGAGAGGGGGGCCCAAAGCUGAUAAUAUCGUGCUACGGCGGAGCCGAUCCCGGGAUGUGACAAUUGUACUACUCCAUUUACGUUAAUUCACUCUGAUGUCUUGGGACCUUCGCCUAUCACUGCUCCUUCUGGUGUUCGAUGGUUUGUCACAUUCAUCGAUGAUUGUAUACAGAUGACAUGGCUUUAUUUGCUGAAGAAUAAAAACGAAGUGUUUUCCCGUUUUCAGUCCUUCCACAAACAGAUGAAAACUCAGUUUAAUGCUCAAAUCCAGAUUCUUCGCUCAGACAAUGGUGGAGAAUUUGUCAAUCAUGACUUUCAGACUUACUUCCAACAACAUGGAAUUAUCCAUGAGACGACUUGUCCUCAGACACCACAACAAAAUUGUGUUGUUGAACGAAAGAAUUGACAUCUUCUUGAAACCGCCCAAGCACUUCUGAUUGGCGCUCAUGUUCCUCGCUAUCACUGGGAUGAUGCUAUUGUCACCGCAGUUCACCUGAUCAACCGCAUGCCUUCUGGUGUAUUGACCUUUAAAACUCCCUUACAGGUGCUUGCGCAACACAGACCUCUGCUCUCUGUUUUGGUACUCACACCCCGAAUCUUUGGAUGUGUGGCUUUCGUUCAUCUCCACAAAAAUCAACGUAGCAAACUUGAUCCCUGUGCGCUUCGUUGUGUUUUUAUAGGUUAUGCCACUCAUCAGAAAGGCUACCGUUGUUAUCACCCUCCUACCCAACGAACCUAUGUCACUUUGGAUGUGACCUUUCUGGAAUCUGAGUUGUUCUUCCAUGACCCAUCAUCCAAUUCUACGCAUCAGGGGGGGAUACGAAGUGAAGAGCAGAAUUGAAGCAACUUGGGAAAUAAAGAAAUUUUCCUCUGUACAGAAAUGAUUAAUCAUCCUGAGUCUGGAGCACGAGAUUACUCUCUGUCGAAAAGCAACCAAUCGCCCAUUCAUAGCGAUCAAUUGCCUCACCUACCUGAUCCAUGUGAAGAUAUUUUUGAUCCGAGUCUCACACCUACAGACAAUACAGAACAACAAGAUGAAGACUCCCCCUCUAACUCAACAGUACCAACAGACCAAUCUCCUGAGAAUAUCCUUGAGGUAACUACUCCUACUAGAUUUGUGCAUUUAAAUGAUUAAACUAUUGGAUAUCAAUUACCUUUCAGGGAAAAUCGUGGGAAGCCAUCAAACCGUUAUGCACCUGAUAUUGGCAAGACAUCCAAGUAUCCAAUUGCAAAUCAUGUAUCCACUGAGAAGCUGUCUGAACAACUCAAGGCUUUUGUGCAUCAGUUGUCUGCGAUCCAUAUUCCAACCAAGGUCUCUGAAGCAUUAAAAUAUCCUAAGUGGGUCCAAGCUAUAAAAGAGGAGAUGAAAGCUCUUGAGAAAAAUCAGACUUGGACAUUAGAGACUAUACCUCGAGGAAAAAAGACUAUCAGAUGUAGAUGGGUGUUUACUAUAAAACACAAUGUAGAUGGAUCUAUCGAGCAAUACAAGGCAAGACUUGUGGAAAAAGGGUACACACAGACAUAUGGUAUAGACUAUGAAGAAACCUUUGCUCCAGUUGCAAAGUCAAACACCAUCAGAGUCUUAUUGUCCCUUGCAGCUAAUUUGGAUUGGCCACUACACCAGUUUGAUGUAAAGAAUGCUUUUCUACAUGGCGUACUCACGGAGGAGGUGUACAUUUACAUUCCUCCUGGAUAUAAUACUACUUAGACUGGAACAGUUUGCAGGUUACGAAAAGCAUUGUAUGGAUUGAAACAGUCACCACGUGCAUGGUUUGGACAGUUCACCAUGGCAAUGAAGAACAAUGGUUCAAACAGUGCAACUCAGAUCAUACUCUACUCUUGAAACAUCGAAAAGGGAAGGUAACAACAUUAAUAAUCUAUGUUGAUGAUAUGAUUAUUACUGGGAAUGAUAAACAGGAAAUAUCACAGCUACAAGACUAUCUGGCUACGGAGUUUGAGAUGAUGGAUCUAGGUGGACUCAAGUAUUUCUUGGGAAUUGAGGUGGCUCGAUCCCAGCAAGGCAUAUUUCUCUCUCAAAGGAAAUAUGUCUUGGACUUGUUGACAGACACAUGAAUGCUAGAUUGUAAACCUGCGAACACUCAUAUUGUUCAGAAUCAUCAUCUUGGAGAAUAUCAUGAUCAAGUUCCAACUAACAAAGAAAGAUACCAAAGGUUAGUAGGAAGAUUGAUCUAUUUGUCACAUACUUGACCAAACAUUACUUAUGCAAUGAGCGUUGUCAGUCAAUUUAUGCACUCUCCAAGUGAAGACCACACGAAUGCAGUUCUUCGGAUACUUAGAUAUUUGAAGUCUGCACCUGAAAAAGGACUUAUUUUCUGAAAGCAUGGUCAUAUAAAUAUUGAUGGUUAUUCAGAUGUAAUGUAACAGAUAGAAAAUCCACAUCCGGUUACUUAACAUUCAUGGGAGGUAAUUUGGUGACAUGGAGGAGCAAGAAACAGAAUGUAGUAGCUUUAUCCAGUGCAGAAGCCGAGUUCAGAGGCAUGACUAAAGGAAUUUGUGAACUUCUUUGGUUAAGAAAGUUGCUUACUGAACUUGGGUAUAAACCUACAUCCACAAUGAUUCUCUUUUGUGACAACAAGGCUGUUAUAGCCAUUGCACAGAAUCCGGUUCAGCAUGAUCGUACUAAACAUGUUGAGGAGGAUCGACACUUCAUCAAACAGAAGCUUGAGGCUAAAAUGUUUCAGUUUUCUUUUGUGAAAUCCGAGGAUCAAUUGGCGGAUAUUUUGACAAAGGUGAUUUCCAGUAAAACAUUCCACAAUUCACUGGAUCAGUUAGGCAUUGGCGAUAUCUAUGCACCAACGUGAGGGGAAGUGUUGGCGUGACUUGUGGAUAUUGACUUACUUUCCUUACACACCAAGAAUUCCUAUUAUAAUUGUAAUUGAUUUACUUUAAUUCCUGAUUUCCUAUUGUAAAUAGAUUUAGGAAUUUAUUAUUUACUUGCCCAUUCAGGUUUCGUUGUAUUAUAAAUAUGACCUCCUACAAGGAGAAUAACAUACAGAAAAUUCCCACAAACAAAUAUUCUCUUAUAGUUUUCAUAUUUUAGCAAGAACUACUCGAGAGUUUACUAAAAGAGUAGUUCAGUAUUCAUCCACAAGCUAUAUACACAAUACACUCUAUAGAUAUGCCAAAAUCAUCGCAAGCUCUAGAUUUUAGGUUCGAUACCUGCAAAAUCUAUUAGAAGGGUGAGUGAAACCACAGUUUAGUAGGGACAUAAACCUUUUCACGGUAAACUGAUAUAAUUAAAUUAAGUGAAAAAUAAUCACACAGCCAAAUAUCACAUUAUUAAUAACAAUGCAUGAAUGCUCUUCAUUUAACCCGUUAAUUCAUAUAAUUAGACAAGCUUCACGACCCAUACCAUGCUUAUACCACUUAGUCCCGAAUGCCAAUUUAUAUGAAUUAACGCCCAUUUCAAUCAUCCCAUAAUUCCCAUUUUGUUAGUCAUCUUGUCUAACUCCCUGUUGCCAGUCCUGAAUCACCAAAAAAAAAAAACCAUGUGCACUAUGGGAUCCCUGAGUACUAGUACCUGGCAAGAGUUAGACUCAACUACACAAAAGAUCAUUUCUAUUACCCUCUUAUCCACCAUUAUUUUCUCAACUUCAGAAUUCUAGCCAAAUUCCAUGACAUGAUAUAAUUAAAAUUAUGCCUUCACAACAAUGUGCCCAUUUAAAACAUCACUAAUGCACAUAUAAUUAUGCCCACAUUGUUCAAAUAGUUAAGAGUACGUAAAUACCCAAUACAUGGAACGUCAAUCAAACAGUACCACGCAUAAUAUAAUGCUCAAGAAAUUUAAUUAAAUCAAUCUCUGUAAAAGGCCCCUAAGAAACCCCUGCCUUGAUACUAAAGCUUUUGCUAGACCUAUAAGGUGUUUUCCAAUUUUCCACCGCAUUCACAAACUCUGUCUUCUACUUUUUUUCUUACUUCUCUCUACCACUAUUUCUUUCUCGUUUUCUUUGUUUUCACUUGUUGUGCAACUUAAUGUCCUAUAUAUAUACAAGGAACAAGUCGGCAGUAAGUGAUUUCCUAUUGGAUGGUGUAUUCGGUUGUUAUAAACUUACUAGUAAUAGUUAUCAAUGUAGUUGCAGAUGAGGAAGAAUGUUUUUGUGACUCUUCCAAUCCCUCUAAUCCUAUUUCUUAUCUUCUUGGUGAGUUGAUAGCCUCGAUACUUAACAGAUUUUAUACUUUGACACGUAUUAACAAGAACUAUUUUAAAAACAUAUACAUAUAUAUAUAUAUAAUAGAAUAUGUAUAUAUGUAAUACACAUAUUUAUAUAUAAUAAGAAUAAUAUAUAUGUAAUAAGAUAUAAAUAUUUAUUAGAACAGUAUAUAAAAUAAUAUAUAUCAUUCUUAUUAUAACAAUAAUUUUAAUUUUCCCAAAAUAAUAUAUAUUUAAAAAUAUGUGGUUUCACAUGCAUGUCCUUUUUGCUAUAGACACUAUUACAAAAAUCGAAAUAGACAACGGAAAACUACCGUCGUCUGGAAAGUUUUCAAACAGUCGUGAAAUCGACUGUCGUCUCUUUUACAUAAAACAACGACGGCUAUUAACCAACGUCGUUAAUACAUUCCACGUAAAAAACUAUUAUAAACCGACGUGUAAUUACUAUAUAUAUAGCCUAAAAUAAAAUCUUCAACAACCUUAGACGACGGUUUUAUUAAAACUGACACGUCUAAAGAGUGUUACAUGUCAAGAUCAAAACAAGAACCGACGUACAGAUAAUUAUCCACGUCCUAAUUGAAGUAAAAUAGACUUGGAUAACCUAGAAACCGUCGUGGUUAACAUAUACUACGUUAAAUUAACAAAGGCACUUACGUCUAAAAAGUAAAAGACAACACGCGCACAAAGCAACAGACGUUUAAAGCUUAGUACAUGUCAAUAGCCGCUCAAUAACCGCAGUAAAAUGAAUUAACCACGUCCCACAUAUGGCAGAACUGUUGCUUAUGUGAUUAUCCACGUCGCGGAGUAGUAGAACAAAGACGUUGUAACCAUAUUCCACGUCUGUUUCUUGUGAGAAUUGUCGUUUAAAUUAUACAAAGAAGCCCCUUUGACAGAGUUAGACGUUGCUCUUGCUGUAGAACCGACUUCUAACAGGUUUAAAAUGACACAAUAUUACUUAAUACUGCCGUAACAAAUCAUAUCCACGACUGCUGUUGUCAAAGACUGACGUUACAAAAAAUAUUGAAGGUGUUGACAAAAAAGAACCGACAUGGAUUAUGCAUUCAACGUCGUGUGGUCUAAAAAUAAAGGACGUGGUUAAUUUUUUCUCUACGUCAAGUGGAUCCAAUUGCCUGAUGUUGUAAUUCUUUACCAUGUUGGUUUUUAAUACAUGAUGAUGUGGUUGUCCUUUUAAAAGUCGCUUGUUUUACCCUCCUUGACGUGUGUAUGAUAUGAGACGUCAAUUGUUUUAGACUAGCUGACGUGCAGAAAAUCUGUCACGACAAUUAAUGCAACUGAAUUGCCUCUAUUUCCCCCAGACGACGGUAGGUUUUAAGUGUGGAAGUAGUGUUUUACAAAAUCGUAAGUUGGAGUAAUCUACCAUCGUGUUAUUCGAGAAUAUACCACGAUCUUUGUUUUGUACUCGGUCGCUGAUGUUUAUACUACUUAAUAAACUGACAUGUUUUCAGUUUCAGACGGCGGCUUUUGUUUCUUUAUGGUCUUUUGCAUUUUUUUUCCAUGACAUUUUUGAAAGCCUAAUGUUGGUUUUAUUUUAGAAAUCGAUUUUUCCCCUUUUUUUACUGGACCGUCGUACUUUACACAUUUAAUCAAUUUUUUUCAAUUUUUGAUUCAUCGUGCCCAAAGCCUACAUAACGAAAAUGUGAUCAGAAUUAAAAUGAUGUACAAAGGUAUUAAUUAAUGUCAUACAAUUAACUGAAUAACUAAUGUCAUACACUACAACAAUCAAUCAAUCCAUAUAUCUUCACACCCAUCUUUAAUAUUUUCACUCCCAAACUCACCCACUAGGUCAUCAUAUGUGUCAACAUUUGGUAUCCCUCUAGUAAAUGUCUCACACUCAAUUCUAAUAUCACCUAGCACAUCAUCACCAAUAACAUUAUUAUAUUCUCUAUUAUGCAUUGAUAACACUACCGACCAACCACGAUGCAUUGGGUCGUCAGCAUAAAAUACUUGUUUUGGUCAUUCCUAUGUCCAAUUUUACUCAAAUCUACAAAGGUGAAUCCAAGUUCAUCGACAACAAGGCCCAAAGUGUUAUCUAUCCAAUCACACCUCAAGACAAGGAUUCUAAACUUUUGGUAGUCAAGGUCCCAAAUUUCUUGAAUAACACCAUAAAAACCCAUAUUGGAGACAAUAGAGUUUUUAUCCUUAGCACUAGCAACUUGCAUAGUAUGUGCAAGUAAAUAAACUCCACUAUUUUGGACAGUUCGCAUAUCAUCUUGUGCCUUGGUGUUAAAUUUAACACCAUUAAUAAGAUAGCUCCUAUAUGAUGGCAUUGCCAUGCUUGGACUAGCUGCUAGCCACCUCAAAUUUUAUGAUACGCCAUUAUGCUCUUCCCCAUUAAGUUCACUUUGAACUUGCAAAUUAAUCGUAUAUAUCCUAAUUCGAUCUAACAUAUAAAAAGGAAGAAAAUUAAAAGUUGAAUAUGUCAUUCAAUAACAUAUAUACUUGAAAGUGUAGCCAUUGAAUGAAAGUGCUAUUGUGCUUAUCUUGCAGCCACUUUGUUCUCUUUCUAAAUAUUGGAUAAGUGGUCUUGAUGUGGAUCAUAUGUUCCAUACAUUGACACGAAAAAAUCAAGCAUUACGGUCCCUUGUAUAUAAGAUAACAUAAGGAAUAAUAAUAUUUAAAAUGGCUCUAUAUGAAAAAUGGAACUCAUGCGUACUCGAUAUAAGGUAGGACUUCCUCAGUAUUCUCCAAGACAUAUAGAUGUGUCUGGUUCAAAAAACCCGAUCACCUAAGCUUACUGUGCAACCAGAUAAUGGCUUUGAAACUCCCAUCUUCUAGCUUGAAGGCACUCCAACUGUACUAACAUCAGAUAAAUGCUCGGUGCAAAACUCUACAACUUCUUCAGCUAUAUACCGCUCAAUAAUGCAACAUCCGGGACGAGUACGGUUCUGAACAAACCUAUUUAGCACUUUCAUAUGUCUUUCAAAUGGAUACAUCCAUCUAAAAUAUACUGGCCCAUGUAGACGAACUUCUCUGACAAGAUGUACUACUAGAUGAACCAUGAUAUCAAAGAAUGAAGGGGGAAAGUACUUCUCAAGCAAACGCAACGUAACUACUACAUCUUCUUCCAAAUUAUCUAGCUUGGAAACAUCUACUGUCUUUGCACAUAUAGCAUUGAAGAAGAAGCACAAUCGAGUUAUUGCAUACCUUGCAGGCUUCUCCAAACAGAACGAAUUGCCACAGGGAGCAAUUGUUGCAUCAAGGCAUGAAAAUUAUGAGAUUUAAGGCCAAGAAGUCUUGAAUAUUUUUAAGAUACAAGAUUUUUUUAUAUUUGAACAAUAACCUUCAGGGACUUUCAUACCAUAGAAAGAAUUGCAAACCGCUCUCUUAUCUGCUCUUGACAAAUUCUAGGGCCUUGGAGGCAAGCGAGUACGUCUUUCUCAAUACUCGGGUUGCAAAUCAUUUUUGACCCCCAUGUUCAAUAAAUCUAACCGAACAGCAAUCUCAUCUUUAUUUUUUCUAGGGAUCUCCAGCAAUGUACCAAUGAUACUAUCGCAAACAUUCUUCUCAAUAUGCAUAACAUCUUGGACAUGCCUCAUAGGAAGGUAUUUCAAAUACUCGAGAUCAAAGAAUUUUGAUUUCUUAUUCCAACAAACUCUGUCACCAUCAUUCUCAAAAACACUUCCCCCAUUUUUCGAGCCCCAUAUGUAAUUAAUAUCUUCAACCAUGUCCUAUUCAAGUUAAUGGUUCGGGAGGCGUGCCAUAUUCAAGUUUUCCAUUGAAAGCUGCACGCUACCUCCGACAUGGAUGAUUGAUUGGUAACCAUUUUUUAUGACCAAUGUAACAAAUUUUGGGGCCAUUUUCAACCUGUGACUAGGUGUAUCAUCGCCGCAUAUUGGACAAGCUUUAUAUCCUUUAACGACACUGUAACACCCCGACUCUAAAUUAAUCCCUUAUUUAAUUAUUUAAAGAAAAUUACAAAUUUACCCUUAAGAUAGGGGUAUUUUGGUCAUUUUCUUACCCGAAGAGAGUUUGGGGCAGUGACUAGUAUUUUUGGAUAGGUCGUACUGAGACGAGUUCAUAGACACGUAGUGGGCUCGAAUCGAAGUUGUAACGAGAGAGAUAUGGUCAAAAGAAACCCAAUUGCACAAUCAUAAUUAUUUCGAAAUGAGAUUUUUAUAAAAAUCAGAUUUUUUUUUCUCUCUCUCUCUCUCUCCUCGUCGGUCUCUCUCCCUCUCCUCGAAACUCCGGCCAUCGGCCACGGCUGUGGACGGGGCCGGUACCAAAAUGACCGAGGCGUUGUCCUCCUCUAAUCCCAGCUAGGUCCCGCCGUCAGCCGCCAUGGUUUCGCCGGAAAAUGGAGAAGAAGCGGCCGGCGUCGUCCGAAGUUCUCCGCCGUUGAUCUCCCUCUUCCGGUCACCGAUUCCGACGAGUGAGGUAUGGUUUCUCACCUACUUUUCAUGCUCUAGCUGCCUGCUGGGUAUGAUUGGAUUGAUUUUUAGCGUAGGCAAUUCGAUUUUCGCAUUGAAAUUCGGCUAAUUUUGGAAUCACGAUUCCGGCUAGUUCUGGUCAGUUUUUGGGGUAGAUCCAAGAACAAAAGUGGCUCCAAAUAGGGUGUUAUACCUAGGGUAGGAGUUUGGAGCCAUGGUUUUGAGAUUUUCCGGCGAUACGUAAUCGCUUUAGACACCCAACGCUGCCCGCACGUGUGGCAGUGCGUGGGCGAGGGUAGUGAAAUAGCACUAUGUCUCGAUGAGAUCCUUAGGUUGUCACGAGUGCGUAGGAUUUCGCGGAUCUCAAUUCGGACGUCGUUUGACUAUCGAACGGAUUUUCGUAUAUUGCGCGUCAUCCGGGUUCGAUAGGUUGGGACCGUUGGAUGGUCUCGAAUAAAAUAUAUGUUAAUCUAGGUAUUUCUAGGAUCAUGUAGGAAUUCACGGAUUAUAAAUCGGAGCCCCGGAUAUUCCGAAUAAAUAAUUUAAAGUUUAUGUUUUAUAAUAACCGUCACAUCGUGCGAUCGUGAGCGAUCCGACCGGCCGAUCUGGACCAAACUUACAGAACGAGUGUCCUAUACCUUGAAGAACCCAUAGGAAUUUUCAGAUCGAAAUUUGGAGGUCGUGGGCCCCGUGGGCCCAUUUGACUAGGGGUAGGGUAGUUUGACCCUUAGUUGACCGUGAGUCUCCCGGAGUAAUCUCACCUUUCCAGGGGGAUUAUCGGGUGCUAGACUGUUGUUGAGGUUUACACGAUAUUAGUAGUAAAUUAUAUAUUUAUAUACAUUUGUAAAGGUAAAAAAUAAGUCCAGAAUGUCAGUUUGAAGUGCUUUACGCACUACCUUAGGUACCUCCCCGGAUUUUAGUUACACUACAAGUACCACCCUAUGAAAGUUAGGUCCCACGUGGCGUAGGUUAUCCGGCGUGCGGACAGGCCCUAUACGUGGCAUUGGUAGUAUCGGUGUAUGGGGAGAUUACGUGAUAAUAUGUUGAGGUCACACGUGGCGUAGGUUAUCCGGCGUGUUGACAGACCCCAUACGUGGCGUUGGUUGUACCGGCGUAUGAGGAGAUAUUGUGAUAUGAUAUUCAGGUCUCGCGUGGCGUAGGUUAUCCAGCGUUGAGACAGACCCCAUACGUGGCGUUGGUUCUACCGGCGUAUAAGGAGUUUAUGUGAUAUUAUGUUGAAGUCGCGCGUGGCGUAGGUUAUCCGGUGUGUCGACAGACCCCAUACGUGGUGUUGGUUGUACCGGCGUAUGGGGAGAUAUGUGAUAUGAUGUGCAGGUCUCGCGUGGCGUAGGUUAUCCGGCGUUGAGACAGACCCCAUAUGUGGCGUUAGUUGUACCGGCGUAUGGGAAGAUAUUGUGAUAUGAUAUUCAGGUCUCGGGUGGCGUAGGUUAUCCGGCGUGUUGACAGGCCCCAUACGUGGCGUUGGUAGUACCGGUAUAUGGGGAGAUUAUGUGAAAUACAGAGAAAUGAAAUAAGGUAUUGCCUAUGUGUGGAAUUGGGUUUUAAGGAAGAACUACGUGUGGCUUGAUCCCUCAGGGAGGGUACGUAGGCAGCCUAAGGUUAUUAGGUGUAGCCGCGGACAUAGACGUGAUUGUGUUAGGAGGUUAAAACCUCGUAUGUUGAAAUUGAGAAAAUUAGAUGAUGUAUGUUGAAAUUUAGUAGUCGUAAUUUAUAUUUAAAUUUAUCGUUUGCCUUGUUUAAGGCAUGAAUUGAUUUGCUAGCAUGCUUGGUAGUUGAGAAUUAUAGAAAGGCCGAAGGCCGUUUAUGUGAAUUGCAUGGAAUUAUAUUGUGCAUGCUGCCAGUUGUAGUUAUUAAAUGUGUUUUUAUGCAGGUUGAAAUUUUGGGAAAUGUCCAAUUUACAGGGGAGACUCUGCCGAAAUUUCGGCAGAAAGUCUCGGUCUUUAGUAAGUGGGCCUGACAUCGAGGUGAUGUCGGGGAAUCCACAGGAUCCGCCUCGAUUUUUGGAAAAAUCGGGGCGGUUCCUUUCAGACACAACCAGAUAAGUUCUCAUAGGCAGAAAAAUCAUUAAUUGUUCACAGUAAUACACCUAUGAGUGUAAAGUAAUCUCCUAUGUGUGCAUCAUACACUCCUUUAAUCCCAUCCCACAAAGAUUUUAAAUCAUCAAUCAGAGGCUCUAAGUAGACAUCUAUAUCAUUUCCAUUCUAUUUAGGACCAGAAAUCAAUAAGGUCAAUAUCAUGAACUUCCAUUUCAUGCAUAGCCAUGGUGGGAGAUUAUAUGUAACUAAGAUAACCAACAAUUGUAUCUGCUACUUAAAGAACUGUGGGGAUUGAAUCCAUCAGAUGAGAGAGCCAAUCUCAAGUUUCUUGGCUCUUUACUGAACUCGGGCCAUUUAUCAUCAACAAGUUUUUAAGACGGGAAAUUCGCUGGAUGAGACAUAUGACCGUCAAUUGCUUUUCUAGCAACAUGCCAAGUCAAACUCUUAGCUGUCAUAUGUGAUUGAAACAUCCUUUUAAACCUUGGAAUUGGAGGAAAAUACCACACCACCUUCGCUGGCACACUCUUUUUCAAGAUUGAAUCUUUGCAUUCCUUCCACCUUGAGAUACCACAAGUAGGACAAUUAGUUGAAUCUUCAUAAUCAUUCCUAUACAAGAUGCAGUCAUUGGGACAUGCAUGGAUAUUCUCAUAACUCAUCCCUAAAGGAGAUAAUGUCUUUUUUGCCUCGUACAUAGAGGAAUAUAGUGUCUUUCCUUCUGGAAGCAAAUCUCCUUGAAGUAUCAAUAAUUCUAUAAAACAAACAUCACUCAUCCCAUGUUUUGCUUUCAAAUUAUAUAACUUCACCAAAGCCGACAACAUCGUGUACUUACUGCAACCAGGGUACAAGGAUUGAUCUCAAUCCCCAAUCACAUUGGCAAACUCAUAAGGAUCAAAUCCAAUAUCGCCUAAAUCAUUAUCAUCCAUCCCUACUUCUUUAGAAACAAAACUGAACCUACUUUGCUCAUCUUCUUCCACAUUUCUACUAGCAUUAGUAGUCAAUUCCCAAGGUUCUCCGUGCCAUGUGCAAAUCUGAUAGCUUUAGUCAAUUCCAUUAAAGUAUAAGUGGUCCCUCAUAAUUCCAACCCCAAACAAUCGAAUAUUCCCACAUUUAACACAUGGACAACGAAUAUGAGUUGUAUUUCCAAGAUUUUCUACAGCAAAAUUCAAAAAUCCUUCCACCCCUAACUCAUAUGCCUUCGGUCUUCUAUCCGCAUGCAUCCAUGACUUAUCCAUCUCACACACUAUAAAAUCAUAUAUAUAAUAAAGUGAAAAGACCAGCAAUGAAACACUACUUUAUUCACAUAGCAAAGAAUGAAUUGAAAAAAAAAAUUAACCAAGAAUCAGACGACGGUUUUUACAAAAAAAAUCGUCCUGUAACAGAGGGUCAGACGACGGCAUAUCUAGUUAUCGACGUCUUUAAGCUACCCAAACCCAGAUAUUUGUAUUGCUUUUUGAAGAACCGGGUUCUGGGUUCUGGUAAACAAAAGAUGACGGUAAAUGGAGAAACACCGACGUAUCCUAAAACUUGAGACGACGGUUUAUUUCACCAACCGUCGUCGUAGUUUACGAAAAACAGAAGUCUAAAUCUCCCAUCCUCAUUCCUUUUCUAAGAACCCUUAACAAAAUGCAAACAUCAAAAUAUAAAAGAGCCAUAUAUAGCUCCCAAUUAAGAAACCAAAGCUACCAAAACAUAUAUUAAUAAACCAAAGCUACCAAAAUGAACGAAAACAUUUAUGGGUUUUACAAACUAAGAGAAUAUUGAGAGAGAGCUGAGAGAAUAUACUUACAUGGAUAUUGAGAGAGAGCUGAGAGAAUAUAACAAAUGCUUGAGAGAGAGCUUAGAGAAUAUACACAAUGCUUUGAGAGAGAGCGAAAAAUUUAAGACAAAUUUAUGUUGAAGAGAGAGAAGGAAAUAUUUUAGGGUUAAAGGGAAAUUCUGAAAAUUUUAGAUCACCGUCAAAAUUUUCAAAGGACCGCGUUUUUCAAAGACGGCUAAGGAAAACUACCGCCAUUGUAAAUCAUUUUACUACGACGGUUGAGGAAAACUACCGCCAUUGUAAAUCAUUUUUAUGUCGCCUCUAUAAAAACCGACGUCUAAAAUAUUAAAUAAUUAGAUUUGGUUUGCAUUUCGUGGGAUUCUAACGUGCGUAAUUGACCAAAAAGAGCGAGAGAAAACCAGCGUCGUUUCUAUAAAACCUAAACCCUAAACCCUAAACCCUAAACUCUAAAACCUAAACACUGAAAAAAUUAACCAAAAAUUGCUAUGGACUCCUUACAACAAUGCCUUCUAUAUUAGUAGGCUAAAAUCGGGAUUAAAUAAUUUUGAAUUUUAUGACCACCAAUGGAUCACAUAAACCUUAGGGUUAUGUUUAUGGAAAGUAUAAGGAUUAUUGUGUUUUGUCUCUAAAUCUUUUUUACUUUUGUUAUCACUUGUAACUUUGAAAUCUAAAAUUAAAAUUUUCAGGCCUUUAGGGGGGAGAUAUUGUCUCAAUGUGUUUAUAGAAUUUGAGACUGCGAAGGUUCUAGCUGAUUGACUAAGGAUGAGGCAGGAUGGAUGGAAGGUUUGCUUGGAGAUUCUACCUUUGUCAGCUCUUCUGGUUGACAUGUUGUUUAUUCUGCCUGAGGAACUACUUCUAGAUUUUUCCCUUUUCUAGCAGAACUAGUCUCUGGAAGUACUUGUGUGUCAUCCUUAUUCUUGAGGAAGACGCAGUAUUGCCUUUGAACUCUCCUCUUUUGCAUUCUGGUUAGCUUCAGAGUUGGUCUUCGGCUUUUUCCAAUAGAAUAUCAUCUACCUUCUAUGAUAGUUGCAAAGGGCUUGUCAUUUCCAGGCAUCUUAACUGGUAUUUCCUUCUUUGGCUGCUCUAUUAUUCUCUUGUUGCGUUGGGCAGGCCUUAAAUAGUCCUUCUGUCUGGCUCUAUCUCUAGGUGGAGCCGGAACUAGGCCUUGUUGGUAUGAUGUUCCAAUCCUGUCAAAAACACAAGGUGUGGGCUGACUUUGCCUAACCAGAGUUACCUCUAACUCACUUUCACAUUUGCACCUGUUGCACAAAACUACCCCAGCCGAAAUGGUUGCUUUUGGUCUUCAAUUAGCCUAUCUUUGGACUCUUCUGCCUAUGCUGGGGCUAACUUUUGCUGUUAGUUUGCCUUUCUUUUGUUUUGGCCAAUUUAAGUUGACCAUGUUGACUUGAGGUUGGGGAAAAGGGUCUGUUGUUAUCGAAUGAGGUUUCUCAGCCAGUUUUAGCCUCCAUGCUGUUAUUCCUUCCUGUAUGACGUCCCUGAAAACAACACAACUAUUGGUGGAAUGGUCCCAGGAGUUAUGCCAUCUGCAAUACUGUCUGCCCUUGAGUUCCUCUAGCUUGGGCAACUUGUAGGGUGUUUCUAUUGCCUUCUGUCGCAGCAUGUCAUCAAACAGGGCAUCAACCUUGGUUAAAUCGAGGGAAUAGACUUUGUUAUGAGCUGGUUUGUUUGGAACAAACCCUCUUGUGAAUGGUGGUGGCUUUUGGUCCUUUGGUGGCUUUGUUAAAGCCUUGCAACUGAUGAGAUGUUUUAAUUUCCCCAUUUCUGCCACUGCAACUUCUCUCUCCUCCGAGCUUUCUAUGCCUUCUUCUGAUUCUACCUCAACAAGAUUUACUGAAGAGGAUGGGGUUUUGUAAUAUGUGCCUUUGAAAGAGUUCCUCUUCUAUUGUUCUUCCCUGAGCAGCUCCUUGUAUUUAGAUGCUUUGUCUGCUAGUUCUGCCAGAUCUCCAAACAGCAUCCCAUCAAAUUUUUUUCUCAGAGAGAUUUUAAGGGAGAUUUGAGCCAUUUGGAUGAAGUGCCCUUCCUCCAUAGGGAUUCAAAAUUUCAUUUUGAGCUUUUUGAACCUGGUUAUGAAGUCUUGGGCAGGCUCAUCUUCCCUCUAUUUCCAGGUUUGAGGGCAGCAAGAUCACUGAUGGUGACUUCUGGCUGAAUCCUAAAAUAGUAGUCAUGGAAGACAUUUUCCAUCUAUUUCCAGGUUUGAACAGAAUUGGCUGGUAAGCUAGUAUAUUAGAUGAAGGCUUGUCCAGAGAGAGAAUUUCGAAAAAGCCUUAGUUUUAACAGAAGGUUAUUUUCUAUGGCUAUGCACUGGAAAGAGAAUCUGCCUAUAUGCUUAACUGAUGAAGCAUGGGUGUCUUCUCCGUUGAACAAGGUGAAGUGUGGUACCUUAAAGCCCAGGGAUAGAGGUAUUUGAUCGAUAUAAGCUGGAUAAGGCUUUCUGUAGGUGGGCCUUUCUCCUCUUCUGGCCUCAGGUUCCAUCAUCUCUCUGAUCAUUCUAUAAAGUGCCCCCAUGUCAUUCAAAGCAUUGACAUGAUGCGGGGUUCGCCCCUGUUCUGGCUAGUUGUGUUCAAUCCUUUGUUCUACUUUAUAUGGCCUGGGCAGAACUUCCUCCCUAUGCUCUUCCUCUUUUUCGAAAUCUGGAUGAUUCCUUUAGUUUGCCCCCGGUCUGUUUUUGUCAUUGUUGGCAAAGGGUUUAACUCCUACUCUACCUCUCAUGCCACUUGCUAGUGGAGGGAAUGGAUUGGGGUCCAUCCUUCUAGGUCUGUAGGGCAACACAACUGGUUGCUCAGGCAGAAGUGCCAAGGCCUGAUCACGUGGGGCCACUAGUUGUGGAAUAGGUGGAGGUUCUGGCUAGUUCUGAGGGGGUCUGAACUGGUGCAGAGCCUUCUGGAUGAACUGAAUCCUCAUGUUCUUGGAUGGGAAGGGCUCCUCCCCUCUGUCCAGCUUGGAUUUCUCCAUGUCCUGGUAUUCCAGCUAUCUGUGUGAUGAGAGGCUUCUCUUCAUAUGGCCAUGCCAGUCCUGGUAGAGGUCCAAAAGGGAGAUCUAGCUGCUGGACCACCAUGUCUAGGUUUGGAAUUUUGGCAAUAGUAGCCUCACGGUCCUUCCUGAACUGCCUGUUGACUUGCCAUUACAUCAUGGUUGUCAUGUUGUUUAGAGUAUCUUGGCUCAUUUGUGCUGUGGCUUCUUGCCGAAACACAGCCUCCUGUAUCUAGUUUAACCUUCUGGAACCAGACAUGGAACGUCUACUCGUGGUACUGCCAUGGGCUGAUUACCUAGCAUCACUUUCUUUUGACUCAAGUCCUUUUCGGAGAGCUGCUUGAUCUCUUUUCAUGGCAUAGCGUGGAUUCUGGCUAGAACUUCCAAUAUUCAUAUACUAGAGGAUUUUUCUAGAAAUAUAUGUAUUGAGAAGUCCCACUGGGCGUGCCAAAUUGUUCAUCCGUUUUAGAUUUGUUCCUGUGAUGGUAGGGUAAAGUUCCUCAUUGACUUGAAAACCAUUGGUGGUCAAUAAGUCAACUUUCUUUUGUGUACAAAUGUGCCACUGCUAGCAAUAAAAACCCUAGCAGACUUCUUAAAAAUAGAAAACUUGUGCCCAAGUUAUUAACUUCUAAAUAAGCGAUUGUGAAUUUGGGCGAGGAAUAUCUCCCAAGUAAGUUCUUUUCUUUGCCUCAGAUUGGUGAGGACUUCACAAUUUUUCACAGUACAAAACUGGUAGUUCUAGCUAGAAUAAAUGAUAAGAAAGUGAACUGUUUUCAGGCAGAACUACCUUUUACAAAGCUUAAAAAGGAAGACCAACUCUAAAAAGACAAAAAGAGCUUUUGGACUUCAAUUUCUGCUUGGAUAAAUGCUUCUGAUCCGGGCUGGACUGGGUAUGUUUGUGCUGGACUGGACUAUCAACACCUUCAACUGUCAAGUUUUAGCUGUCAAUGAAUACCAAUGUUCGAGUGUGGCAAAGCUUCAAUCUAUUUCAAGCCGUGCAAGGCUUUUUGAACGGACAGAAUUGGAACCUCUUCAGUCUGGAAGGGGUAGAAGUGGCUGAAUUUGGUGAUUACUGAGCUGGAACUGCACUGUAGUACCUGUUCUGCUUGAUCAGGGCUCUCCAUAAAUUUGUUGAGGUUUUAAUAUUGGUAAAACCCGAAGCUUAUGUUGAACCAACUUUGUAACGAGAGAAAUCUUGCUUUGAAUGACUAUUUCUCUGAAACUAAACAGAAGUUAGAGAUUCUGGAAUAUAGCUGACUUGUUUCUUAUGGCUCAAUGAGCUUUUGGUUGCUUCAGUGUUUUGAAGGCUUUUGAGAUCAAGUGAUCAUUUUGAGUUUUUAUUUUUGAUUGAUUUUUUGGCUGUCCUUUUAUCUGUUCACCUCAUCUCAUAUUUAUAGAAUAUACUGGAGUGUGAUUUCUAAUCUUUUAAUAAUGGGCGGCAAAUCUUUUAAAAGAUCUUUUUUUCUUUUUUCAAUGUCAUAAGAGAAGGAAGCUACUAUUCUGACAGAGAAAGGUUGUCAACAAUCAUCUUUCAAUUUUUCUAUGUUCACUUUUUGUUCUUUGUAAAGAGAAAGAACACAAUCUACCAUGAUGGUCAGUGUGCUUUUCCUGUUGAACAACUCCCUCGUUCUCUACUUAUCUCUUGAAAACGUAGUCUGCUUAUCUCUUGGAAAGACCACCUGAUUUGGUGCAGAGCUUCUCUAUAUAUAUAUAUAUAUAAAGGGAUUUUGAUCUUCUUCUUUUGGCUGAAAAAAUAGAGAAGUCUUUCUGUAAGACCUGCCUUCAUUAAUUUUCUAUCAACUUCUCUGUAAUAGUUGAAAAUUUUGACUUUUCAAAGCCAGGUAUUCACGUGGGGUUGUUUAGAAAAGAUCUGUUGAUUUUGUCAAUCUUUUAGGGUAGAGAUUAAAUAGCGUAAAAAGGCUGGGCUAGUCUCUUUUUCUUAGUAGAUAAAAAGCCCAAAUAUUUUGUCUCACUGCCCUUUUCUGGAAAAUAAAUGGGCUGGGUGUGUUGGAAAUUGGCCCAAUCUUAAGAAAGACUCUGGUGGCUGCCCAAAAUUGACAUAGGCUUUUCUUGAUUUUGGGCUGGGCAUGCCAAAUUAGGCCCAAACAAUGCCCCUUAAGUCUGAAUUGUUUUUGGAAUAGUUUCAGACUUAAUGAUUUGGCCAUUAAUUUGUGCGCGCCAUUUCCUUCUGUUAGCCCACAUCUGCCACGUCUGCCUAUUAUGAUCAAGACUUCGUGGGAAAGUGGGCAGUUACUAGCUAGUUAUUAUCAGGUGGCGUCUUGUCUUCUUCUUCCCACGAUUUCGAGUCUUUCUAAGAAAUUUAAAAAGACCUCAGCUCCUGUUUACUCAAAACCUAACUUCUUCAGACCUUGAUUUUCCUCAGUUUUCUCAGAAUUUUUACCCUUUUCUGCGAUCAAACCCUGCUUCCUUUCAGUUUGAUUCCCCUAUCCUAGCUCAAAACCCGAAAAUGUCUUCUCCAAAAAAUCGUGCCCAGACUUCUUCUUAUUCUGUUCCUCCUACCUACAUUACUGGGGCCGGUGUUGAUAAGCAUGUGAUUGAAGUCCGGAGCAAGCUUCAUCCUUUUGCCCAGAACGUUCUGGACAAGAACGUGUUACAUUUGUUCGAGAACACUCUUGUUUUGGAGCCUCAUCGGUUUGGUUCUGUCCCGACUGAAAUGGCAGAAUUGUUUAAAGAAUAUACUGAAGCUCCUCUAUGCUUUCAGAGCUCUUUCGUAGAUUUCAGUUUUAUAUAUAAACUAUCGUGUUUCUCCCUAUAACAUGUCGUUUUUAAGAAUUGUUGUCAAUGUUUUAUUUCCUGCUACUAUAAGACGGCGAUUAUUUAUACAUAUGAGACGUGUAAAUUAGAAUGAGACGUCAGUCUUUGGGAUUUAAAUUAAGUUUUUACGAUUUAAUGUCAUUUUAGUUCAUAUAAGGACAUAAAUGUCCUAACCAAAAAUAUAUUUAUGUACAUUGUCAAUAAAUUAAAAUAAACCUAAACAUUGUUAAAAUAAAUUAGAUCACUUAUUAUUCUGUAAUUACUUGUUAACGAAUUCAGCCCAUUCCAACCUGACUUCGUCAAUAUGUUCUUAUACAUACUGAACUGGUUCCUUUUUCUUAUCAAACUGCAAAUAAAUAACAAAAACCAACGUGUUAUAAAGAUUACAACGACUGCUUUUAAAGAAAAAGUUGUGGUACUAAAAUAAAGAAUUUAUAUCUUAAGUUUUGCCUUUUACCUUCUUCUCAAAUGCUAGGCCUGGAUCAUGAAUUAUAUCUCUCAUGAAAUGCAUCACGUAAUAGCCACACUCUACAUUUGUUGGUUGUCGAGGAGUGCCAUGUAGAUUUUUCCAUAUGACUGAUUUACAUGAUGAUUAAUUGCCUGUGUGAGAGUUAUACAUUUUGAUUGAACUGUUUCAAGAAAAUGAAAAGUGUUAAUGAUAAAAAUAAAAAUCUAAAGCAAAAAUAUUAAACGUCGUGGUAAAUAAGUGAAGACGAUGGUUUUGUUAAAAAAGUGAUGUUGUAUUUCAUUUCAAACGUUGGUAAAUAAAAACCGUCGUUGUGUAGAAUUCUAACGUCGGUGACGAUGAAAAAUGACGUAUAACCAAAAAUUGUUUGUAAAUGAAAGUUGAACAGAAAAAAAUAAAACUUCCUUAAAUGAAAAACACAAACGACGUGGUAUUUCAAUUAAAAUGACGGUUUACAGAAAAUACUGACGUUGUAAAUGAUUUCAAACAUCGGUUUGAAGUUACCAUCGUGUUUUCAUUGUAACGUCGGUAUUAGAAAAAGCCGUAUAUCAUUCAAAUGCAAAUAAAAAAAUGUUAGAUUUUCAUAGAUAAACUUACAUAUUCACUAUAUUUCUCAUGUCCUCGUCAACAACGCGGUUUGGCAAUGAAUCCAUGUAAUAGAUAGUCUCCUUCGCUGGUCUCACAAUUAUUAACACCCAAUGACCCCUACACAUAAUGAUCCAUAUAGGUUAAAUAUACUAGAAAGAAAAAUAGGCAUCAAGUAUAGUUAAGGGGACUAACCUUGGAUUACAAGGCACCAUGUAAAAUUGAUCCCCAUUUGCGUUUUUCAGGCGGUCUGAGAGAUGUUUCAAACGGUAAGAUAACGUUCCAGAUUGAGAGCUGACUUGUCCAAGGUCCACGAAGCCAAUAAGGUUUACCAUAUUUUCUAUUUUUAAAUAGUCAAAUAGGCACCUAAAUAUAUGAAAUUCAAUUAAAUGAGAUUUUAACUUUAAAGAAAGGAAAUGUAUAAUGCAAUCACUGUGGAUCCAAUCUCAACCAUGGAAGGAAAUUGUAAAAUAUCUUCACACAAGAGGAAGGUAUCAUGGUUAAUGCCAAAGGCUUCCUCUGGAAUGUGAAUUCUAAUGGUCUCGUUAAUGGGCUUCAACUUGGUCUCGACAAAUUGAAAUAAGGCUAACAGAGGAGGUGGCAUGUCUAGCUUUGAGAGAUCCUGUUACAACAAAUAAAUAAAGAAAUAUAAGUUAGUUUGUACACUAAGUAAAAUAAACGACUCUAACUAAACCAAUCAAACCGACGUGGUAUAUAAUAUAAUCGACAGUUUCUAGAACAUACUGAAGGAGUAAAGGUUAUAGACGACGGUAAAGACAUAACCAUCGUUAUGUAAAUGUUCUAACGUCGCUGCAUUAUGGAAAGGUCGUCUAAUUAAAAUGCAGUGAAGCCUUUAUUGAAAUACACGACAGUUUAUAAAAUAAACACCGACGUAGUAAAAUACUGAGACGACGGUUAUCAGCAACGUCUAUUUGAAAUUAUAAAUCAGAAAAAAUCAAAUAUCAAAGAUUUUACCGUUUCAUCUUGCCAUUGUUUAGCAACAUCAGCAUCAUUCGUGGGAUUUUCUUCCUCCAAAACAAGGGGUCUCACAUUAGAGCAGCUUGCUUUGUCAGACAUUAGAUUUUUUGGAGUAAUUGGAGUUUUAUUGAGCAAGUUGGGAUCACAGUUGGGAAUUAGUUGACUGAAUUGUUUCAAUAAAAUUUCCCUCUCUGCUCUGACUGCCUCCAAAACAGUUUCUUUUGCCUUAGCUUUAAUCUUUUUGGUUUCUUCUCUCACUGCCUCCAUAACACUUUCCUUCAAUUUGUUAGCAAAUUUUACUCUCUGCUGUCUCGACAAAUUGAAGAAUUGAGUUGGGGAAACCCCAGCUCCAACACCUCUAACUCUCCCACCAUGCUCAGGGGUUCCCAAAGCCAAGGUCAAAAUAUCGUUGCUCUCAGAGACAGCAGAGUGCCCUCGGAAACUUGUUUUUUCAAAUCAUCCUAAAAGUGAGAGAGAGAGAGAGAGAAUGUUAGUGAGUGAACAGAUAGUAAAACAGAUUAAAUAAACAACUAUACAAAAAUAUUAACCGACGUGGUAAAGACUUUAAAAAACUGAAAUCAAUCCCCAAUAGUAACAGGGACCAUGCAGCAACGAUUUGGUUGACAGUAGUAUAGGUUGGAGAUGCUGUUGAUCAUUAGAUACUAUUUUUUUAAAUAUCAAUUCUGUAACAUCCAGACCUAAAAAAUUAAUGAUUUUGAUUUAAAAUUAAAUUUAAAUAAGCAAUUACGAAUUUACCCUUGGGGAAGGGGUAUUUUGGUAUUUUUUUUUUAUUCAGAAAGAGUUUGGGGCAGUGACUAGUAUUUUUGGGUAGAUCGUACUGAGACGAAUCCGUAGACACGCGGUAGGCCUGAAUCGGAGUUGUAACGAAGAAACGGUGACCAAAAUUAGUCCAGUGGCAAACUUGUAAAUAUUUUGAACUUGGGUGUAGAAAAAUCUGAAACUGGCUUCCUCUCUCCUGCGUGCACACGUCCUUCUCUCUCUCUCCUCUCUCUCUCCUCGAUACCAUCACUCUCUGUCUCUCUCUUCGAUUCUCUCAAUUCUGGCCACGGCAAGGGCCGGGACUGGUUCCGAUCAACUCCUCACAAAGCCCCGAACCAGAACCACCACUUUUCUUGGCCGGAAAGCUCGAGUUUCGCGUGGUAAUCUCGACUGGUUUGAACCAGUUUUCCUCCGUCAUUGUGCCGCCGCCAUCGCAGCCCAAUCUCGGUUAAACAAGUGAGGUUUCUUACUCUUUUUCCGAGCUCUAGCUGCCUGUUGGGUAGGAUUGGAUUGAUUUUUUGUCUAGGAUCCCGAUUUUGAAACCUAAGUUUUGACGAAUUUCAAAGUGAAAUUCCGGCCGGUUGCCGUCCUAAUUAGACCUCCCCGUAGUUGAAUAAAGUGAUCCUCGCUUCGAGUAGUAGCUAAGGUAGGAAUGGUGAAUUGCGGUGUGGAGUUUUUCCAUCACUGAAAAUUACUCUACACAUCCACGCGUUGCCAGGGCAUGUGGAGGCGCAUGGGCAAUGUGGUGAGACCACAUUUUAUCCUGAUGUAGUCUCCUAGUCCUCACGUGCGCGUAAGUGUGCUCGAAUUUCAAUUCGAAUGUUGUUUGACUAUCGAACGGAUUUAUGCAUAUUGUUUCUUAUCCGGGUUCAAUAUGUUCGGACCAUUGGAUCGAGUCCAAAUUUACGUAUGUUAAUCUAGGCACCCCUAGGAUCAUGUGCGAAUUCGCGGAUCGUGAAUCGGAGCCCCGAAUGUUCCGAUUCAAUAAUUUGAAGUUUAUGGUUUGCGAUAACCGUCAAUUUCUGACCAAACCUACAGGACGUGUUUCCUAAACCCGUAGUCGGACCUUAGAAUACUCGUUAUGCGUGCACGCACCGGGAACUUGAGAAAAUUAGUAUUUAAUUUGUAAAUUCCGUUUUGAAGUGAUUUUUUAUUAAUUAAGGGUGCGUAUCUCGAAAUAGGUGCUCCAUCACUAGCACGCAGCAGGUAGGACCCUCUUGAGGUCAGGCAGUGUGGGACUACUUGUGAGUGGACAUUUAUUUUAUAUAUGCAUUAUUUUCAAUGAUUGAAAGAAUAUGCAUGAAAUAUAUAUAUUUUUUGGAAUAAAGAUUGAGAAAUUCAUAUGUUGUUAUAUCAGUAUUAUUUAAUUUAGAAUUUGGUUUGAUUUGAUGAUGAGUUAUAUAAAGGUCAAGUUAUUCGUGAUUAAGUCUUGGAUGAAUUUUGGGGGAAUCGGGAAUUGAAUAUUAUGGUUUAUGGUGGGAACUUAUAUGAUUACACUGUGUGGAGUACCAUCCCCUAGUUACUAGGCUUCCCACAUGUGGCGUUGGAAAUUUUCCAGCGUGUGAUGAUGUAGUCUGCACGCAUAGGACUUAGUAUUGGAGCUACACGUGGCGUUGGAAUUUCCGGCAUGUAAGCUAUGGAGUUUCGUCCCCCGGUUGGACCGCUCAUCCCUAGACGCAGGAUAGCAACUGAAAAUCUUGCGGGUUAGCCAAACAAUCCCCCGGUUGGAUUGUUUCCCCGGUACCUAAGUAGUGUGAUAAAUAUUAUGUAUAUUUAUAGAUAUAUAUAUUUCUAUGUGUGUGUGUGUGUGUGUGUGUGUGUGUGUGUGAGUAUAAAUCAGUUAAAGUAUAUGUAGUGGUUGGGUAAGAGCAGUAUAAAUUUUGGGGAUAAAGUUUAUGGAUAGAGUGAUUGAUCUCAAAGGGUUUCGGAGAAUGAUGUUUUUGAUCAUUAAAUAAAAGUUAUGAAUCUGCAUGUCUUGAGCAUUAUUUUUAGACGGUGGGGUUAUUAUGUUGUUUUGAAUGCAAAUUUUGUUUUUCCACUCACAUGUUUUCUGUUUUGCGCCCCCCAAACAGUAGUCGCUCAAGGGAGAGUUGCAAGCCAUGUUCGAGGCCCCGAACUGUGAACAUCAGUAGAUUAGGUUUCGAGUAAUUUCUUUCUACUCAACUGGAUGUUCUUGUAAACUAAAUUCGUUAGAUGCUCUAUUAUUGCCCCUGUUAGGUUUUACUUGUGAGGCCAGAGGCCAUUUAGUUUAUACUGUUGAAUAAUAAAUGCAUGCUGCUGGUUGGGAUUAUAUUGUGCUUAUGCAGGUUGAAAUUUUUGGGAUUGUUCAAUUUACAUGGGAGACUCUAGCAAAAUUUUAGUAGAGAGUCUCGGUUUUUAAUAAGUGGGCCAGGCAUCGGGGUAAUGUCGGAAAUAAGACUGGAUUCGUCCCGGUUUCCGAAGAAUUCGAGGCGGGUCCUGUCAAGUUCCUCCUAUUAACAAUAAUAAAUUAAAUAUUUAUAUAACUGAUAACAGUUCCUCAUAUUAACAAUAAUAAAUUAGUAUUUUGUAUAAUAAACAUGUUUAAUGAAAUUCAUCUUCUUCUAGCAUGUUUAUUUAAAUUCUAAGUUUUCUGAAGAAAAAAAAAAAAAAAAAGGAGAAGGAAAUGUCCUAAAUUAAAUCUUAAAAGUUCAUUUUUUUCUGUCCCUAUAUAUUUUUUACCCAAUUAUAAUUUGAGAAAAAAAGGUGAAUUAACUGUCAUUUCACCUUCAUCAUUUUCAUGAUUUAUAUAAGAUUCUUCAAAGAUCAUUUCCACAAAAAAUUACUUAAAUUCGAAUCCAUUUAACCGUCUAAUUAAAUCGUUAGGACCGUUGAAAUAAAAUUUAAAGUGAGUUUAAAGUGAGUCCUACUAUGUCUCCCUCAAAUAAGAUCAUUUACAGGAUCUGUCGAGUCAUAUGAGAAUGUUUAGCUUUUCGAUCCCAAGAGUUUGGUUCGAUUUUCAUAUAUAUAUAUAUAUAUAUAUAUAUAUAUACAAGUCAAUUUACUUUAAAAAGUUCACCAAAUUUUAUUUUUGGUCUCGGUAGUUUGCUUGAGGGCCUUUUUCUGUCAAUCUAUUUGUUGUGAUUGAAAGAUUUUAUAUAAAACAAAAGAUAUGUUUUUAUCUUAAAAAAUGCUUAUUUUCAGAUCUUUACAUAUAGACAUACAUAUGGCCUGAGAAUUCAAGCAAUAAAGACAUAAGCUGAUGAGCAUUCAUAAUCAUUAGAAUGAGUACUGAAUGGUCAACUCUUUCAAAAUACUUCGGAAAAAAACAAAGGACAAUACUUCCUUCCUUACUCAUAAGAAGGAACUCCUUCUCACCUUCUAUUGUCCCUCAACCACAAAGUAACAAGUGUUCUCUUUUUUUAAUUGUCAAUUUUUUUUUUUUCACUUUUACUGAACCCCUAGCUUUUUACCAAAGCAAAAAACACAAAACAAUAUUCCCAUUGUUUUUUUUUUUCAUUUUGAUUUUUUUCUCAACUUUUUGAAAAAUAACAUUUUUCCUUCUUCAGUAAAAAAUUGAAGUCUUUGUGGUUAAAAGCUAAGGUUUCAGUAAAGGUUUAAAAUAAAUAAAAAGUUUUGACAAUUCAAAAAACAGAACACAUAUCACUUUGUGGUUGAGCCGCAAUAGAAAGUAAGAAAGAAUUCCACCUUACCCAUAAGGAGGGAAGUAUUGUCAAAAAGAAAACAUCUUAAAAAACACACAGAAAACCCACCAUCACUACUUAAAAGAAGUAGAGAAGUCCAACAUUCUGAUUUUUAUACACCUACGUGACGUGAGCAUUCAAUAAUCAUCCUACACAUAUGUUGAUGUGAGCAUUCAAAAUCAUUAGAAUGAUUUAAUUGAAGACUCAACGUACGGACGUCUUUUUCACUUAGAUUCCCUUCCUGUACAAACUUGAAUCAGUUCCUCCACGACCCCAUCAAUCUCUUCAUCCUCUUUCUUGUUCACGUUGUCGCUUAUUUUCAAUGCCUUUUUUCUCACUCCCUCUCCAAAUUUCUCCACAACCACAUCUCUAAUCACCUUUGCGACCUCUUCUCUUUGCAAACUUCCUUCACCUGUUCUCUUAACCUCCACACCAACACCCACCUCCUCCACUAGUCUAGCGUUGAUCGGCUGGUCAAGAUGCAUAGGCAUGGCUAUAAUUGGAACACCAAACUUGAUGCUCUCCAACACUGAGUUCCAUCCGCAGUGACUCACAAACCCCCCAACACUAGAAUGCUGCAGUAUCUUUGCCUGUGGGGCCCAACCCUCCAUUAUCACUCCCUUCUCUCCCACCCUCUGUAAAAACCCUUCUGGUAACACCUCUUCAACCCUAGUACUUCUCUCCUCCUUAGAAAAUCUUAUAACCCAAAUGAAGCUCACUUUGCUAAGCUCUAAUCCGUGAGCUAUCUCUUCUAUUUGCUCCUUGGACAGAAAGUACUCACUGCCAAAGCAAACAUACACAACAGAAGACCUUUCCAUUUUGUUCAGCCAUUUCAUGAUCCAUGUUUCCUCAUCAACUUUUUGAUCCAUUGGCUCUUGAACAAGCGUGCCAACAGGCACGAUCUUCUUCCCCGUUAAAUCAGAGAGAUAAUCAAUAUAUUUUUCUUCAAUCUCGCUGGAUGUCUUGACCAAAAUGAUGUUACAAGAUCGAGCACUGCAUUGCUGAACACGGUCUCCGUCUUUGAUGCCAUUUGCUGAAGAUUCCAACAAAUUGUUGAACUUUUCAGCUUCGUAAUGUUGAAGAUAAAUCGAAGGAAAAGGAAACUUGACACUAGGGUUCUUGAGAUGUUGAAUACUAAAUGAAGUAAAGGCAGCACCCAUGGUGGUGAAUUCAAUGGAUGGAAAAUUUUGCAAUGAAGCUAGAGAGGGCGCCCAUGGUUGAAGAACAUCAUAUAUGAGCAAAUCUGGACUUAGGGUUUUGAGGAUGUUGGAGAAGUUGUUGCUGGACAUGCUGAAAGCCGUUUUGAGAGUGGACAUGAGAUGGGGAGGGAGGCCAUUGGUGGUGUGGUAGUGCGGUGGGAGUUCAGGCAAGUCAUCAUGUGGAAGAUGGAGUUCCACAAAUUCAAUGCAAUGAGAAUAUUUUUGGGAGAGUUUAGGCUUGAUGGAGCUGAGAUUUACAGGCGUGGAACAAAUAAAGAUGUGAAAAUUUCUCUUGGUGGUCAGCUUCUUGGCUAGCUCUAGGUAGGGAGAUAUAUGGCCGUGAGCUAGCCAUGGAAGCAAAAGAAUAGUAAGGCUUCUUUGGUCAGAGAAAACCAUAUUUUGUUUUCCUUUGACUUGUUUUCCUUUGACUCUUUUGCUUGAGGUUGCUCGAUUAUAGGCUUAUUGGUAGUUUGUUUGUGGCUAGCUCUAUGCAUAUAUAUAUAUAUAUAUAUAUAUAUAUAUAUAUAUAUAUACACACACAAAAACGCGUGAUGAUUGGAACAUGCACACGUAAGUUCCAGAGAGUGAUGAUUGGCCUAUGAUAAAGACUCGAAACAAGAAUAGUUUAAAUUUUCUUCUUUGUUUGGCUUGAUAUAAGACGAAUGCACCAAACAAACCGACUAAAUGCCGACACAAUAAUUAGGUACGUAAUAAUAUCAACUUUCAUUAUAUAGAUCUGAGAAACAAAAAGUUGAACUUUGAUGACAAGCGAUAUUAAGGAAGGGCACAAUCGAACUUAGGAUCUCGAAUGUUGAAGUACAUGCUCUUAACAACUUGAGCUAUAAGGUAUUUGUAAUGACAAUUUAUGGUUUUAAUUAUACUUUUGAAUAGUUGCUUCCUUCUCUUUCAUUUUUAUUUUUAUUUGUUUAUAUUUAACUCUAAUUUUAUUUAUAUUUCUGGUCAAGGUAUAAAGACUUUGAAUCUCUCUCCAAUUAUUUUUCACAGCCGAAACUCCUUUAGUUUCCACAAAUCUUUUUAAACAUUUCAGGCAUAUGUAUGUUUCCGAGUCGGAUGGUUCACGUAACCAAGAAAUUUAAACUUGUUUUUGUUUGUUCCUCCGAAGAAAGCACAACAAAAGGACAACCUACAACCAAUACUUCUCAUUGAAUUUGUUGCCGUGAAUGAUUAGGACUCUGCCCAAACUAGUAGUUGCGUUUCUGAAUUGUUUGAAAACACAUAUCAAAUUAUGAUUUCUCCUCCCCGAAAGAAAAAUUGACGUAGAAGUAUCAUGAUCUUGAUGACACAAAUUAGAAUCUAGGGUUUUCGAAGUGCCUAAUGGACAACUACUUAUUUAGAAAUAUAUAUAUUUUUGUGGCUAAAAUUUAAAUUUAUUAUAUAUAUUCUCAAUGCAGAAACACAUAAAUCUAAGUUCGAAUUCAUCCUUUUUUUGUUUUUUUUUUUUUGUUUUUUUAACCCAGAAGAAAAAUUGAGUCCCACUCUGCUGUGUAGAAUGCGCGUUUAGUAUAGAUUUUUUUAUUUUUGAGUCUCUUAUCUGGUUCCCGAGCUUCUACAUUUAGGUCUCGUGUAUUUAUCUGCAUUUUCUUAAAUCUAAAUCACUCAAACAAUCUAACCACUUAACAAAUGACACGUACUCAAACUUAAAAUCAGAAUGGAUGGAGUAGAGGCUUACACCGAUGAUUCUUGGUCAAGACUUGAGAGACAGAUGGAGACGAGGCAUGACAUAAAGUCUGAAGAAGAGAAACGAGGAAGCUUCAUUUAGAUGGUGGUGUAAGUGCAUACGUAAAGUCCAGAUUCAACAGGAAAGCAUCUUAAACGUAAAGAAAAUAAGUUUACCAGAAGCAAAAGAGAUACUGAAGUAAUUGUUUAUCAACUGAACUUAAACGAAAUAUUAACUCUUUGUUGUGCCAUAAGCACAAGAUCUUAUGAAAAAAAAUUCAAGAUAAACCAUAUAAUAUUGGGAGAUUCACGUUUAUACCGAAUAUAGGAAUUCAAAUUAUAAAAUAAAUAAAUAAAUAAAAUAAUCGAUAUGAAAUGGACUUUAGAAACACACACAAAGCCUAUUUACAACAUAACAAAAAGGUUUUUCCCUUCUUUUAAAUUACAAAACUGCCAUUGAUUUCUUAAAACAAACCCAACUCCAAAACCUCAUUAAAAAAGCACAAAACACUCAAUAGGGUGUCAAAGUAAUUUAAUAAUAAAAAAUAAAUUCAAUAAGGCCAAUUGAAUUUUUUGGAUUUUUUUUUGGGUUUGUUUAUAGAAAUUAAUGGUGUAGGGUUUAUCUAUAUUAUUGGUGUUAAGAAUGAAUAAUGACUAAAUAUCUCUAUAAUAUUUUCUAACUCACAAAAUAAUAUAGAAAAUAAAUGCAAGAACAAGAAAAUAGCAAUAUGCAAUUUAACGAAGCUGCUUACAAUCAGUGCAAAUGAGCAAACAAAUUCGCUAUUAAUUUAUGAAGUGUUUUUGUAUUUACAAUACCGCCUCUUGAAUGUCCACCAUACAAUAAUAUAGUUGCAUCAUUAAAAACUUUACUUGAAAAAUCGUUUGGGACAAAACUUAAGCUAAGAGAAAAAGAGUGCAACACAAAUGAUAUUGACAUCACAUAUGUCUCUCCUACAGAGUGAGCUUUGGUGAUGCUUGUAUAAAAAUUGCUUUCACAUCAUUAUUGGGAGAUGUAUGUAUGUCAUCAAUCAUUUGAAUCUUGUUGAGGUUAAAGUAAAACCAAAAAAAUAUCAAGGGCCAUUUUCAUAUAGUUUUUCACAAUAAAAAUUAACAAAAUAACUUCAUGUUCUUUAAUAUCAUCAAAAAAAUAAUAUAAACAAACUCAUAGUUUACCUUUUCAAUGAUAAGUGUUUGGAAAAUUUACAUGGAAUAAUAUUUGGUAUGCUAUGCUAGCAUCUCAUAAGCUCUUCAAGAGACCUAAAUUUUAUGAUAACUUCUUAAAAAAAUUUGAAUACUUUUCAACAAUAUUAAACUUGAAUUCAAACUCAUAAUUCAAUCAAAGUACUCAUUGAGGCAAUUUAGAUCAUUUUCAUUUUAAGAAAAUUGGGUGCAUACAUUGAGCUUCAUGCCCUUUACCUUCUUAGAGAUUUUCUUCGAGCAAUUUAUAUUGCAUGACAGAUUAUAUCUCUUAGAAUUUGUUCUUAUGUAUUCUUCAAGAGAUCUCUUCUUGCAAUAUGCUUCAAACACUUCAUAAUCUUUAUAGAUUUUUCAUGUAGAUUUAAGGUCUCCAUGAAUAUUGAGAUUGAAACAAGGAGUAAAAUAAAAGUUUAAGAAAAAUUUUCCCUGAUUAUUUUGUAAUUAUAAUGUUGGUGAAAACCUAAUUUCCUUUCUGAAAUUUGUGAAAUUUGUUAUUUGGCUAAGCUAAAAGUAUAAUAUUGACAAUAAAACGUAUACGAAAGUUUCUCUUUGGCUGGCUUCUUGGCUGGCUCUAGGAAGGGACAUUGCGGCCAUGAGAUAACCAUAGGAAGCAUAAUAAGAAUGCUUGGAUGCUCUGAACAAUCCAUUUUCUGACUCUUUUUCUUGAGGCGGUUGUUUUCUUAGGCCCAUCAGAGUUUAUGGUCGACAGAUAAGCUUCAAACACAUGCAUUGGUCGUGUCAGUUGCGAUAAACUCUUCCCAACAAUCUGAGACUCACAUCACUCCAAACACAUAAAAAGAAGUGGAAAUUUGCUAUUCUUUGUCUUUGUUUGGACAGCUAAUAGCAAAGCAUUGGAAACAUCGAAAAAAGAAAGUUAAUUAAUUUAAGAAAAACAAAGAAAUCCUUCUUUUUUUUUCUUUUUUUUUUCAGCAAACCGAAACAUAAAAUCCGAAAAAGAAGAAGGCAUGUCCAAAAUUACAUCUUGAAUUUAUUUUGGAGAUUCACUAUUAUACUCAAAUUAUAUAUGAAAUAAAUUUUAGAAACACACAUGACGCCAAUUUACAAUAUAACAAAAAAACUUUUAACUUCUUGUAAAUUACAAAAUUGUUAUCGAUUUCUUAAAACAAGCCUAAUCCUAAAACCUCAUAAAAAAAAAAUCAAAACACUCAAUAAGGCAUCAAAGUAAUUUAAUAAUUAAAAUUAAAUUUAAUAGGGUCAUCUGUCAUUUUUUGGAUUUUUUUCGAAGUUGUUUAUAAAAAUUAAAAUAAUGUAUAGUUUGUUUAUAAAAAUUAAAUGAUGUAGAGUUUCUUUAUAUAAUUAAUGUUAAUAAUGAGUAUAUGAAUAAAUGUCACUUUUCUUUAUUAACCAUUUAUAAUAUAUGAACUCAAGACUUCCUAUCGAACACCGAAUGGUCUUUCCAUUCCUUGUUAAUUCAAAGUCUGAAAAUGUUCGGUGUCAGCUCAUGAAUUUAAAGGCUUAAAGGCUCAAAACUUGAACGAAUAUGAAAGAAAAAAGUCGUUCACCGUUCAUCCUCUUCCUGCAGCUGUGCAUGCUAAUCACCCACUGAAUUAAACAUACAAAUACGCUUUAUGUUUUCUCAAAUUGUUCUUUGAACUAAGUAGAGGUUGGAAUACACUCGGGGUCAACAUUGUUCAAAUACAAAACACUUCUUAAUUUUAUAUUUUAUCAAAACAGAUCGAAACUUCAUUCAAACUGAGAACCUAGAUUACAAAACUACCAGAAAAACUGGAAUCUGCACUGUGGCCUCAUUAAAACCUUGCUUUAAAAAACUCCUAAAAGAGGAGAAUUCAGUCAAGAAAAAAGAGUACCACAGCAAGUGAAAUCCGAUAUCAUACUUCAUUCCUUUCUCAUACAAAGUUGAAUCAACUGCUCUACCACCCCAUCUAUCUCUUCAUCCUCUCUCUUUUUCAUGUUGUCUCUCAAUUCCAUUGCCUUUCUUUUCAAACCCUGUCCAUUUUCUUCCACCACCACAUCUCUGAUUACUUUUGCUAUCUCGUCCCUUUUCAGCCUCCCGUUCUCGUUGCCGCCUCCUCCCAUUCUCUUAACCUCCACACCAACUCCAACGUCCUCUACUAUUCUAGCGUUAAUAGGCUGGUCAAGAUGCAUAGGCAUGGCUACAAUUGGAACGCCAAACUUGAUGCUCUCCAACACUGAGCUCCAUCCACAGUGGCUCACAAACCCACCAGCACUAGAAUGCUUCAAUACUUUUGCCUGUGGAGCCCAACCAUCCACUAUUAUUCCCUUCUCCCCCACCCUCUCAAAAAACCCUUCUGGUAAUACCUCUUCAACCCUAGUACCUUUCUCUUCCUUAGGAAAUCUUAUAACCCAAAUAAAACUCACUUUGCUAAUCUCUAGCCCAUGAGCUAUCUCUUCUAUUUCCUCCUUGGAUAAAAAGUACUCACUGCCGAAGGAAACAUACACCACCGAAGAUCUUUCUCUAGUGUUUAGCCACUUCAUGAUUUUUGUUUCCUCCGAAUCCACUUCUUGCUCUAUAAGGUCUUGAACAAGUGAACCAACAGGCACAAUCUUCUUCCCAAUUAGAUCAGAGAGAUAAUCAAUAUAUUUUGCUUCAAUCUCUCUAGAACUCUUAACUAAUACGAUCUUACAAGAACGAUCGCUGCACUGCUUAGCACGGUCUCCAUCACUGAUGCCAUUUGAUGAAGAUUCUAACAACAUCUUGAUCUUACUAGUCUCGUAAUAGAUUGAAGGAAACGGAAAUUUGACACCAGGUUUCUCGCCAUGGUGGGUACAAACUGACAUCAUGGCAGCACUGGUUGUGAAGAACUCGAUGGCUGGAAUGUUUUGUAACAAAGCUAGAGAGGGUGCCCAUGGUUGAAGAAAAUCAUAAAUUAGCAAAUCCGGGUGUAGGGUUUUGAGGAUGUUGGAGAAGUUAGGGCUUGCCCUGUCGAAGGCGGUUUUGAGAGUGGACAUGAGGUGGGGUGGGAGGCCAUUGGUAGUGUGGUAAUGAGGUGGGAGUUCAGGCAAGUCGUCAUAUGGAAGAUGUAGUUGCACGAGUUCAAUGCAACGAGAGUAUUUUUCAGAGAGUUGUGGCUUGAUGGAUCUGAGAUUUACAGGUGUGGAACAAAAAUAGAUGUGAAAAUUUCUGUUGGUCAGCUUCUUUGCUAGCUCUAGGUAGGGAGAUAUGUGUCCAUGAGCUAACCAUGGAAACAUAAGAACACUGAAUUUUCUUUGCUGAGAAGAAUCCAUUUUUUCAGACUCUCUCCAUUCAGGUCGUUUGUUUUAUAGAUCUAAUAAGUGAGAUGAAAAGAUGACAAAAUAUAUACAGAUGAGUCAUGUGAAUCUAGGUUUUUUCUUCGUAGUCAGAAGAGUCGUGCGUAAGUGCAUGCGUGUAUACAAGACAAAAGACAUACGUUAGACUUCUUUAUCUUCGUUCGUGCUGAUAUAUAUUAAGAAACAGACCCUUGCAACUCUAAUAUCCUAGACAAAAAUUCAAUUUUAAAAACUGAUGCUAUGUCCUGUGUUUUCCUAAACAAUCCCUAUUUUCUGUAGUCUUUCAAUUAUUCUAAAUUUGCUCAACAUUCAAUAUAACAUCAAUUUCUUAUAAAUCCCUGAACUUUCUCUAGCAUUCAAAAUUUUAAAACAUUCUCAAAGUAAUUCGGCUUCAAAGGAAUGGUAAACUUAGUAAUGGCUUCUUUUCCCCUUUCACGAUGCAGUGGCUGAGAGUUCUGAGAACGGAAGUUGUAGUUGGGUGACUUUGAUUCUUUUUAGCUGAUGCCUACUGCUUGAAUGAAAUGGAGCAAAGAGGUCAUCAGUACUUACACUGCUACUAGGAGGGUAAGCUUGAUUAUGUGUAUACUAUAACUUUAGAGUUUUGGUAUUUGGAAUGAUGAUAAUUUCAAUGUUACAUUUAUUUUGUUUACUACACUAUGUUUCUUUGUUGAACUCAAAUGUCAUGCUGAUAAAAAGAAAUAUAUUGUUGUAUGAAAUUGAAUCAAUAAGGAAAUUGACUGAGAUUUAAAAAUAAAAUUACACAGACACAGCAUGCAAUAUUAAUGCAAUAUUAAAUCUGUGUUAAAUAAUGUAGGACAGAUAGAUUAGCUGAUCGAGGAGCAGCUGGAUAAGCCCGUGCAUGUCGUUGUGCCAGAAAAGCCCAAUUCGUGCAAGUAUGGGCCCUGAACUCUUAAUUAGGCUAUGAUCUGUCAUUUUGAAGAGAACGGCGUGACAAGUGCAACUCACUGCUGUAUUGUGACAUACGGACUAUUUUAGUCAAAUUCUAUCAUUUACAUUGCAUUUUCAGCAUUUAAAGUUUUUUAAAAAAUUUGGAAACUUUUGUUAUUUUCCUUUUUUGUUUUCUAAUUAGCUUUCUUAGCAAGUCUAGGGGUUCUCUUGUAUAAAAGGAAUGCAUUGGAGCAUCCUAAACUAUUCAGUUUAUUAUCAAUCAAAUACUUUUGAGUUAUACUAAAUUUCGGAUGGAUCCGGCAUGUUACUUGCAGGGUUAUCAUUCGAUCUCCUUAUUCCCUAUAUCUCGCUACGUCAGCUGUCAUGGCCAACUGGGGAAGUCGUGUAAUGGAUAUCACUUAUGGUGUGCACCAUGUGUAGUAAAUAGUUGUCCAAAACCUUUCCCGCAGCUCUAGUGCAAGGGUGUAUUGUGUGCACGUUUGAGGCGUGCAUAUAGGUUCCGUAAAUUUCAUGAGCUUUUUAUGGCUAGUUCUUUCGGGAAGUGCAUAGGGAGUGAUCAACUUCUUGGUCACUAACCUGUUUGAUAUUCUUAGUAAUGGGGUGUUAGUUGGAUUGACUUAGACUUUUAGUUUGCUCUCAAGUGGUCCCGAGUUGAAGCCCCCACGGUAUCCGUGUGUGUGAAUUUUCCCCUUCCCUUUCCUAAUUUAACAACAACAACAAAAAAUACUUAUUUGAUAUCCUGGUUUAUUUAUUUAUUCUUUUUUAAAAAAAAAUUUAAAACUUUUUUUAUUAAAAGGGGUAAUAUCAUACUAAACUCACACACACUACAUAGAUGAUAGGACUUGAAUUCACCAUAAUCGUUUUUUAGGAGCAAUUACUUAUGGUAAACAAUUACUUCAAACCACUACACUAGUAGUCAUUAGCGGCGUUUUAUAUUCUUGCACAAGCUAUGUGGUCACUAAUAUUUUGUGUAUUAAGGGCUUGUGGUGUUUCAAUGUUGAUAAAAAUGCCAAAUCAGAAUUCAAUACAAGAGUACAACCACCUAAAGGAUAGCAAUGAACAGAUACUAUUUUAUCCACACAAAAAAAAGUUUAUCUGAUAUGAGCAUUAUUCAAAAUCAUUAGAAAAUGAGUACUGAAUGCUAAAAAGACGCUAAAACGUAGAGUCAAAGCCAACAUUCACAUGAUCGGCCAUCAGAUACGCUUAGCAUUCAAAAUCAUUAAAAUUAUUAUUGAAGUCUCAACUCCUUUUCACUUAAAAGUAGAUAUUUGUUUCCCUUCUCCUACAAAUUGCAUCAAUUCCUCCACGACCCCAUCUAUCUCUCCAUCUUUGUUUUUCAUGUUGUCUCUUAAUUCCAAUGCCUUUUUUCUCAUGCCCUCUCCAAUUUUCUCCACAACCACCUUUCUGAUCACCUUCGCCAUCUCUUCUCUUUGCAAAAUUCCUUCUCCUGUUCUUUUAACCUCCACACCAACACCCACCUCCUCUACUAAUCUAGCGUUAAUUGGCUGGUCAAGAUGCAUAGGCAUGGCUAUAAUUGGAACACCAAACUUGAUGCUCUCCAACACUGAGCUCCAUCCACAGUGACUCACAAACCCACCAACCCUUGAAUGCUUCAAUAUGUUUGCCUGCGGAGCCCAACCCUCCACUAUAAUUCCCUUCUCCCCCACCCUCUCUAAAAACCCUUCUGGUAACACCUCUUCAACUCUUUUACCUUUCUCUUCCUUUGGAAAUCUUAUAACCCAAAUAAAGCUCACUUUGCUAAGCUCUAACCCAUGAGCUACCUCUUCGAUUUGCUCCCUGGACAAAAAGUACUCACUCCCAAAGCAAACAUAAACAACCGAAGACCUUUCCCUUUUGUUCAUCCAUUUCAUGAUCCAUGUUUCCUCAUCAACUUUUAGAUCCAUUGGCUCUUGAACAAGCGGACCAACUGGCACGAUCUUCUUCCCCAUUAAACCAGAGAGAUAAUCAACAUAUUUUGCUUCAAUCUCUCUAGAUGUCUUCACCAAAAUGAUGUUGCAUGAUCGAGCACUGCAUUGCUGAACGCGGUCUCCGUCGUUGAUGUCAUUUGACGAAGGUUCUAACAGAUUGUUGAACUUUUUAGCUUCGUAAUCUCGAAGAUAGAUCGAAGGAAAAGGAAACUUGACACGAGGGUUCUUGAGAUGGUGAACACGAAGUGAGCUCAAGGCAGCACUGGUGGUGAUGAACCGGACCGAUGGAAUAUUUUGCAACGAAGCUUGAGAGGGUGCCCAUGGUGGAAUAAAAUCAUAAAUGAGCAAAUCUGGCUUUAGGGUUGUGAGGAUGUUGGAGAAGUUAUUGCUGGACAUGUCGAAGGCCCUUUUGAGAGUGGACAUGAGAUGAGGAGGGAGGCCAUUGGUGGUGUGGUAAUGAGGUGGCAAUUCAGGCAACUCUUCAUGUGGAAGAUGAAGUUCCACAAAUUCAAUGCAAUGAGAGUAUUUUGGAGAGAGUUUUGGCUUAAUGGAGGUGAGAUUGACAGGCGUGGAACAAAUAAAGAUGUGAAAAUUUCUCUUAGAGGUAAGCUUCUUGGCAAGCUCUAGGAAGGGAGAAAUGUGGCCGUGAGCUAGCCAUGGAAGCAUAAGAACAGUAAUGCUUUUGUGCUCAGAGUAAACCAUCUCUCUCUUUGGCUCUUUUCUUUCGGUUGUUUGAUUAUAGGCUGAUAGGUUCGGUUAUGGCUAGCUCUAUGUGUGUGUGUGUAUAUAUUUAGCAUCACAGAAGUUGGAAGGGACGCGAGGAGUCUUCGUGUCAGUGCAUACUUAAGUCAAGGGAAAUACGUGGCAUAAAUUUUUGGGGUAAUGUUAAGUUUAUCACAUUUUUAUACGAUAUUUUUAAUAAAGAUGAAGUCCACCAAUAUAAUAGAACCUAUCUUUAUUAAAAAUGUGAUACACAAUGUGAUAUAAAAAUAUGAUACGCAUAGCAUUUUCCAAACUUUUAUGAUAAAGAUUCAUAUGAGGCCAAUCACACAAAAGAAGUUCAAACAUCUUCUUUGUUUGGCCUGAUGUAAGAACCGACCAAUGUUUCUAGAAGAAAGUGCUUAGAAUACUUUUUUAUCUUAUAUAUAUUGGAAGGUAUUUGAAGUUGGAAUUUUAAUCGCCAAUUAAAAAAAAAAUGUUCCCUAAAGGAAGAGUGCCACUGCGUCAUUGGGGAGAUUGGAUCGUGAGGGAGAAAGGGGUUAUGCUGUCGAACAUGCAGUUUUAAAGAUUUUUCUUUCUUUUCUUUUUUUUUUUUAAACAACAAUUGUUGUUCAUAGAAGAAGCAGCAUGAUUUGGCAGAGAGGUGGCAUAGAUUCAAUGCAUAGAGAGACAUGUGGCCGUAGGCUGAGCAUUGACGGAUGAGAAUACCGAUGUGCCGAGAAAUAAUCUAAUUCUUAGAUUCUUUUGUUGGUGUACAGGUGUACAGUUAUGGUACUCAUGAUGUAGAUGAGUCAUGAUACAAUCUUUGAAGAAGAGCAACGUGGAAGCAACCAACAUAUAUAACAACAAACUACACUCACAAUAAAGCAUACGAAAGCAUAGAAACACCUUUUUACUUGAAUGUCAAUGUCAUAUGUGGUAAGAGCAUGUAUAAGGAAGUAUGUAAAUUUAUGUUGUCUUUUAGACUCUCUUUUUCUUUACUUUGGUUCAACAUGUAUGCUCCUCAACGACUGAUGACUCUCUUAUUGGCUGUAUUGUGGAGGAUGUUUAAGCUCUGCUAAAAGGAUUUCCACCAAACAAGUUCAUACAUACUUUCCGAGAAGCAAAUGAAGCUGCUCAUAGGGUAGCACAAUAUGCUUUGCACAUAAAUGAUAGUUUGUCUUGGUCAGAGGUGCUCCCUGCGUUUGUGCAGGACGCCCAUUUGGAACAUUCAGAUCGGAGUUAGGUGUUACGUUAUCAUUCAUUGUAUUAGUUUGCUUAGUUAAAUAAAGUUUUUUCUCGUACCGUCGAGGUUUUUGCAAUUAUACUCUAAAGGCAUAAGUAUCAUUGUACUUUUACGAAUAGUUUGGCACAAUAAAUUGUCGUGAAUUGAUCACUAAAUUCUGGGACUGUUUUGGAUUAGAUUGAACUGGCAUAAGCUGGAUUAAGUACUGACCUACAUUUGAUAUUGCAUCAGACUAAGAAACUAGAUUGCAAAAUAGUGAAAAUCUAUGUUUGAUGCUUUGUCGAACUAAAAAAUAAUUAUUUAAAUAUUUAAAUAUAAUAAUUUUUAGAUAAUUAAAUGUAAUUUAAGAUCUUAAAAUUAUUAACAUACUUCCUAGUUACCAAAUUGACAUGUGUUGGCAUAAGCCUUCUUAAUUAAUCAAGAAGAUUUAUUUCUUUGAUUAAAUAAGGGAUUUACUUUCUUAUUUUAUAUAGUCGAUAUAUCAUUGUACAAUUAGGAGAUAUUCUCCUAAUUGAUUACUGUAUCUAUUUCUUUGUACAGCUCUCAUGUAAACUCCUAUAUAUACCUCCUUAUGGAGAAGAAUACAAUUAACCUAAAGUAUUCAAACCAUAUUCAUAUUUUACCAUGGUAUCAGAGCAAUCGAUCCUAGCUUGUCUCUAAAUCCUCAUAUCAAAUUCCUCAUAUUCAAACACAAACCCUAAAUCAAAUUCUUCAAAUCCAAAUUCCUCACAUACAAAUCUCCCACUCUCAUAUCAAGUCCUCUUAUCAAAUCAAAAUCCCUAAACACAUCCCUUUAUCUUACCCUCAAAUCAUUCUGCUGCCAUAAACGCCGUCUCGUUUCCUCACACCGACGGCUCCUCCACCUCCACUCCCCAAAUCAUUGCUAUUCACAGCGACAACUCCUCAUUCCCUAUCGGCGUCACCCUGACUGAGACCAAUUAUGCCUUAUAGUCUCAAGUCAUGGAGAUGAGCAUUGUUGCCUGUGAAAAAUUGGGGUGCCUAACUGGCUAAGGUGUAUGAGAGGCAAUAUGUCCCUAAUUCCCUCCUCCGUGAUUAGGGAGGGUUCACACACUCUCUCUAAUUCCCUCAAUUUGGAUUCUGUGUUGAUUGUUCCAUCCUUGCACCAUUGUUUGUUGCCCAAAUUACUACGACUUUGAAUUGCACUGUAACCUUUCGGCCUACUCAUUGUGUUAUUCAAGACAUUCUCUGUAGCAAGACGAUUGGUUGUAGUACGAGGAGGGGCAAACUCUACUACGUGGACUUGGCAUCUAACAGAAGCCAGAGUCAGUCAAGCUUUCAAGAUUGGGGGUGCUAGUGUUGAGAAACGAACUGCCGACGUCUGGUUAUGGCAUAGGCUUCUUGGACAUGCUUCGUUUGGAUAUUUACAAAAAUUAUUUCCAUCCUUAUUUACCGGUUUAGAUAUUUCAAAUUUUAAGUGUGAUAUUUAUGAACUGGCCAAGAGCUAUCGUGUUCCUUUUCCCUUGAGUUCAAAUAAAAUUUUGGUUCCGUUUUCUCUUGUUCAUUCUGAUAUUUGGGGCCCUGCUAAAAUUUCCACUCUAGGGGGAGCUCGAUGGUUUGUUACGUUUAUAGAUGAUUGAACCCAAAUAACCUGGGUUUCCAUUCUCAAAACUAAAAAGGAAGUCAGUUCUAAGUUUCAACAGUUCCAUCAAAUGGUGGAGACUCAGUUCAUACCAGAAUCCAGGUUCUCCUCUUUGACAAUGGCAGAGAAUUUCUUAACCAUGAUCUUAACAAGUUCUUACAAGAUCAUGACAUCAUACAUCCACGCUCAUGCCCAUACACUCCCCAACAAAAUAAAGUGGUUGAAAGAAAGAACAGACAUCUAUUGGAAGUAGUUCGUGCCUUUCUCUUUGAUGCCAAUAUGCCUUAUUCAUUUUGGGGAGAAGUCAUCCUCUCUGCAGCUUACCUCAUCAAUCAGAUUCCCUUUAGUAUCUUAAAUUUCCAAACACAACUUCAAGCACUUCACCCCCAUAUCCAAAUACCUCCCAGCCCAAACCAGGAACCCCGGAAUUUCAAUUGUAUUGUAUUUGUACACUUACAUGAUCACCAAUGAAGCAAAUUGGAUCCUCGAGCUGAAAAGUGUAUUUUCAUUGGCUAUGCUCUUCAUCAGAAAUGAUACCGUUGUUAUCAUCCUCCAAGUCAGAAGGUCUAUACCUACAUGGAUGUCGUGUUCUGGGAACACGAUAUAUAUUUCUCAGCCGCACAGGAGGAGAAUCAAGAAUCACUCCCUCCAAAAAAUUUUGAUUUUUUCCCUCAGAACUGCUCCCUGCCUCAAAGCGACAUGUCGCACAACUCACUCAACUGGUCACCCCUAGACUUUCUUGUAGGCUAACAGUUUGCUUCAAAACGACUAGUAGCCUACUUCAUGCGACUGAUCAUCCUUUUUUGUUCCUUCACAGCCGGCAACUCUGUCUCAAAGCGACCGGUAGCUAAUAGAAAGCGACCGGUCAACUCCACACUACCAAAAUCAGGAUGAGGAAAUUGAACCGUUUCAUGAGAUUUCUCCCGCUCCAUAGAUGUCUUCAGCUCUAGUACCACACCAAUCAUCUAUUAAGAACGUCAUUCAGGUAACACCUUCCCCUGAAACUGAUAACACUAAUGAAAUAUACCAUGAUGAUGUGAUUUCAGGAAACAUAAGGGAUGCAGACAUCCCUACGUGUCUUCUCCUAGAAAGGACAAACCGUGGUAAACCUUGAGUACAGUAUGAAGUAGAUCUUAAAGCCAAAGAAAAGUACCCCAUCAACAAUAAUAUAUCCCUAAGCAGAUUGUCGUAAUCAGAUGCACAUUUUGUGAAGGAGUUGGCCGACAUAUCUGUUCUCAGUAGUGUAAUUGAAGUACUAUGAGACUCAAAAUAGAAAGAAGCCAUGAAAGAAGAAAUGCGAGCGCUUUAGAAGAAUGUCACAUGGGGCUCGUGCCUUUACCUCACAGAAAGAAGAUAGUGGGAUGCAGGUGGGUCUAUAUUGUGAAACUCAAAGCAGAUGAAUCCAUUGAAAAAUAUAAAACUAGACUGGUGGCAAAAGGGUGCACACAGAUAUGGGGUGGACUACCAGGAAACCUUUGCCCCAAUAACCAAGAUCAACACUAUCAUAAUCCUACUGUCUCUAGUAGCAAAUCUAGACUGGCCACUACAUCAGUUUGAUAUUAAAAAUGCCUUCUCACAUGAAUGAAGAAAUGCAAGCGCUCUAGAAGAAUGUCACAUGGGGCUCGUGCCUUUACCUCACGGAAAGCAUAUAAUGGGAUGCAUAUGGGUCUAUAUUGUGAAACUCAAAGUAGAUGAAUCCAUUGAAAGAUACAAAGCUAGACUGGUGGCUAAAGGGAACACGUAGAGAUAUGGGGUGGACUACCAGGAAACCUUUGCCCCAAUAACCAAUAUCAACACUAUCAGAAUCCUACUGUCUCUAGCAGUAAAUCUAGACUGGCCACUACAUCAGUUUGAUGUUAAAAAUGCCUUCUCACAUGGAGACUUGGAGGAAGAAUUCUACAUGGAUUUACCACUAUGAUGUAGUGUAGCUCCUAACAAGAAGAAUCAUGUUUGCAAUCUCAAAAAAUCACUAAAUGGUUUAAAGCAGUAUACCAAGGCAUGGUUUGCAGAUUCACUAAAUCCAUGAAAUUUUUUGGAUACACUCAAAGUAAUUCAUAUCAUACUCUAUUCUUGAAGCACAAAGGUGAAAAAAUCACUGCAUUAAUCAUGUAUGUGGAUGACAUGGUUGUAACUGGGAACGACACAUGAGAACAACAGAAGCUGCAAAAGUAUUUGUCUAAGGAAUUUGAGAUGAAGGAUUUAGGUCAUCUGAAAUACUUUCUCGAAAUAGAAGUAUCGAGGUAAAAAACUGGGAUAUUUAUAUCUCAAAUGAAGUAUGUGAUGGAUCUACUCACCGAAAUAGGAAUGUUUGGAUGUAAGCCUACUGACACACCCAUUGAGAUGAACCACAAGUUAUGUGAAGACAUGGGCCGGGUGCCUACCAAUAAGGAACAAUACCACUGCCUUGUUGGAAAAUUAGGAAUGCAGUUGAUCUGAUCGGAUCUUAAGGUAUUUAAAGUCAACCCCUAUAAAGGGACUAAUGUUCUCCAAGAAUGGAAACCUUGAAGUUAUUGGAUAUACAGAUGUUGACUGGGCUAAUUCCAUUACAAAUAUAUGCUUUACAUCAGGUUAGUUUACAUUUGUUGGAGGUAACCUUGUUACUUGGUGAAGUAAAAAACAGAAUGUGGUUUCCACGUCUAGUGCAUAAGCAGAAUAUAGAGGAAUGGCUUAAGGAGUUUUUGAAUUAUUGUGGAUCAAAAGACUCUCGACCGAAUUGGGCUUCAAACUAGAAAAGCCAAUGAAGUUACAUUGUGACAACAAGUUAGCUAUCGAUAUUGCUCAUAAUCCAAUUCACCAUGAUCGAACCAAACAUGUUGAGGUGGAUAGACAUUUCAUGAAAGAAAAAAUUGAGAAUAAGAUCAUCCGUCUACCAUUCGUAAAAUCAAAAGAUCAACUUGCAGAUGUCUUAACAAAAGUUGUUUGUGGAAGAGUGUUUUAUGACUUACUUACCAAGUUAGGUAUUAGUAAUGUAUAUGCACCAACUUGAGGAGGAGUGUUGAAGUGAGCCUUCCUAAUUAGUCAAGGAGAUUUAUUUCCUUGAUUUAUUAAGGGAUUUACUUUAUUAUUUUAUAUAGUUGACAUAUCAUUGUAUAAUUAGGAGAUAUUCUCCUAAUUAAUUACUAUAUCUAUUUCCUUGUAAAGCUCUCAUGUAAACUGAUAUAUAUAACUCCUUAUGGAGAAGAAUACAAUUAACCUAAAGUAUUCAAACCAUAUUCAUAUUUUAGCAACAUAUACAUUUCCUUUCCCCAAACCAGAGGUUUUUUUGUUUGUUGUGAAAAUUAAAAAUUCCACACAAUUUAUGUAUACUUGAGUCAUUAUUUAUAUGCAAGCACAAAGAAUUUAAGGUUUGAUAUGCCAAAUAUUCGAUUAAUGUAUCAAUACCAACCACUUACAUCAACUUGUGUGUCAAGAAUUUAAGGUUUGAUAUAUGCAAAACUCAUAAUUUCUUCAUAUAUGCAAAAGGCAUCUACAUGACUCGAAAUUAGAAGUUGAGCUAACCGCACACAAUUCCACCAUUAAUACAUACAAGUAAAUUAAAUAUCCACAAUUCCAAGAUGAACCUAAGAAGCCCUAUGAUGAACAAAAGUUAUAUCUCGCAAGUGCACAAAUCGAUAUGAUAGUAUAGCAAGCAAAUACGAGAGUCGUUCCCAUAAAGAUUUGUACAGUUUAUUAAUUAAUUCCAAAUAUGAAUACUUUAAGAAAAAUAAAAAAUAAAAUAAAAUAUUAAAAUAUUAAAAUAGCUUAAAAUAAGAUUACUCGAUUUUAAUCUAAGUGUAGAAAAUUAAGAAAAUAAAAUAACAAAAGUUGGAAAUUAGUUUUGAAAAUCAAUGGAUGAAAACUAGGACUCCGACUUUACCAUAACAAUCUUAUUUUAUGCAUCGAGUUAAUUUUGAGAAUAAGGUGCCAAUUCGAUUCCAAGGAUUCGUUCUCUCUUUAUUUUGAUGAUUCAUUCAGCUGCAAUGUCACCAAGUAUUCUCAAUUAAACCUACUAAUGAACCACAUAGCCAAAUUUACGAGAACCCAAUAAGUGUAAUUAAGAAAAACAAUCAAGAGCAUCUUAACUUGAACCCCGGUUUAAAUAACAACUCAUUCAUUCAUAGUGCAUAUAAGAUUAAGGAAGAACCCCUCACCCAGUCUUAUCUUAGACAAUGCAAAAUACAUAUAAUGGUCAAUUACAAGUAUCAAGAUCACAAUUAUAAUAAUGAAUGAAACGAGGAAUAUAAAUUGAUUAAAAAUAAAAUAUUAACUCAAUAACAUAGAACCAUCAUGUUAGGUUACAUCGGAUCCCUAGCAAAGAAUUUAGUUACCCAUAGCCAUCUUCGAAACAAACAAUAUACUUAUGAACAUAUAAAAUAUAAAGUUUGAAUUAAGAUAGAAAAACCCUUAAAUGAAUCCACUGUAGUUGAACUCCUCAUCCAGCAAAUCUGGAAGGCUAUGAAUUGCUAAGAAUAUGAGUAUGUGAGUUGGAUGUUUUGAGAUAUUUAACAAUAUGCUAGGGUUCACCCAAUGUCACACCCCGGGAUCGGCUCCGCCGUAGCACGAUAUUGUCCGCUUUGGGCCCCCCUCUCUGCCCGCACGGUUUUGUUUCUGGGAGCUCACAAGCAACUUCCCAGUGGGUCACCCAUCCUGGGAUUGCUCUAGCCUCCAACUCGCUUAACUUCGGAGUUCCUACGACUCCGAAGCCAGUGAGCUCCCAAAAGGCCUCGUGCUAGAUGGAUGCGGGUGUGCACAUAUAAGGCACAUCACCCCCUCUCCGUUGGUUGAUGUGGGAUCUUACACCCAAAAUAUGUCCAGAAUAUGUAUUUAUUGGCUCUAGGACUUUCCCCAGUCAUAUAAGGAAUAGGAAACUUAAAACUCCCAAACCCUUGGAAAAAUAGCCAAAAAGGCCAAAAAUUCCAAGCUAGAUUCGAAUCGUGCACUCGAGCGCCAGAAUAACUAUAUAUUAAAACACCCAAAAAAAACUCUUCGUCCCUGGUACUACCCCUCUCCUUCCCCCCACAACCUUCCUACGUCUCUUACCCAGCCGACCAAAAUAAGCCUCCGCCACAACAAAAAUUUUAAAAUUAAAAAUGAAUAUUUGUGAACAGUGUGGAUGUCAUUUGAAAAUGAGUAGUUGCGUGCUCCUCCGGAAGCACACACUAUAAUAAGAGGUAAAAAUUGAUUGGUAGCAUACUCGGCCAAACGUGUGAUUUUUCGCCCACUACAGAUCCCAUACUACCCCCAAUAAACUGAAAAUCCAUAACUCCAAUGGCUAUAAACCCCAAAUCCUCAAUAACUUUGCAUUUUUCAUGACGUUAAGCCCAAAAGUAUGUAACUUUGCAUUUUUCAAAGGAUUAAUUACAUUUUUUGUCAUUGCGCUUUGGCUCGAAAUCAAAUUUUGUCACCAUGUUUUCAGUUUUCUUGAUUUUGUCACCCUACGUGCCUUCAAAUUGACAGAAAUAAAGGAUUGGACAAGAUUUGUUAAUGACUGCAAGUGGGGUAACGAAAUCAGAAAAAUUAAAAGCACGGUGACUAAAUUUGAUUUCUAGUUGAAUUUCACUAAAAUGUAUAGGGACGUGGAAUAAUUUUCGAGGAAGCUAUAGAGGGUGCCCAUGGUAGAAGAAAAUAUGAGAGCAAAUUUGGGCUUGGGGUUUUUUAGGAUGUUCGAGAAGUUAUUGCUGGCCAUGUCAAAGGCCCUUUUGACUGAGAGUGGACAUGAUCAAGAUGGGGAGGAAGGCCAUUGGUAGUGUGAUAGUGACGUGGCAUUUCAGGCAAGUCAUCAUGUGCACACAUGCACAAAUUCAAUGCAAUGAGAGAGUAUUUUUAAGAGAGUUUUGGCUUGAUGGAGCUUGAGAUAUAGAGGUGUAGAAAAAAGAAAGAUAUGUGAGAUGUACAGGAGACCGUGUGCUUGCAUAGGUAGUUUUUGUAUAGUGGAUAGAGAUGUAUUACGGAGUCUUGCCGUGAGUGCAUGCAUAGGUAAGUUCCAUUCUUAAAAAAGUAAACUCAAAAAUUAAUAAUUUUUAAAAUAUAAAAAAAAAAAAAAAAGAGUUUUCAUGUAACAAUUUUAAUAUUUAAAAACUUAUUUAGUAUUGAACUUUAAACUAUUUUUAAGAUCUAAAAAUAAUUGAAAUUAAAAUCAGAAAAUUAGGGCCUGUUUUGGAUUUGAAUCUAAUUUUAUAAACUCAAAAAUAAAUUUUAAGUUCAAAACUAAAAAAACCCGUUUUGUAUGCCUUUUUAAUAAUCCGAACCUCGAAAAAACUUUUAAACACCAACAAAUUAAAAGGAGAGAUUCACUAUUAUACCCAAUAUAGAUCCCAAAAUAUAAAAAACUCUUAUAUGAAAUGGAUUUUAGAAAUACAAAACUCAUUUACAACAUAACAAAAAGGCUUUUAAAUUACAAAACUGCCACUGAUUUCUUAAAACAAACUCAACCCCAAAACCUCAUAAAAAAACUCAAAACACUCAAUAGGGCAUCAAAGUAAUUUAAUCAUCAAAAUUAAAUUCAAUAGCGUCAGCUGUCAUUUUUUGGAUUUUUUUUGGGUUUGUUUAUAAAAAUUAAAUGGUGUAGGGUUUAUUUAUAUUAUUAUUGCUAAGAAUGGGUAUAUGACUAAAUAUCUUAUUUAAAAAAUAGAGAAAGGCGGUUUUUUUGGAAUUUUAUUUUUUUCUACUCAUCUCAUCGCUCGAGCUACGAUUGCUCUUAGCUCCUUCUGGUCAAGCUCAAGCUUCAAGCCCCCAUGGCAGAAGUUUGAAGCUUUCUUGCUCCCUUUCUCUCCAUCUCUCUCAUAAGUAACUUUAAGGGCUAGGCAUCUGAAGAUUGCCCUCGCUGUCUCCUCUCGUCUUUGCGAUUCUGUCAGUCAAAGUCUCAACAUCACACCAUUGGCUCGCCGUGAGCUGGAGUUGCACAUCUCUUAUGUCUACAAUCGGGUAAUUUUGAGUUCCCUUUUUGUCCUAGUUACUGAAGAUUAGGGAUUAAUUUUCAUUUGGGUUAUGUUUGAUUUAUUAUAUAUAGCUUAUUUAUAUCUAAUUCGAUUUGAUUUAUAUGAAUUCUUUUGUGUAACCUAAACUGUAAUUUUUUGCAAAAGCAUGAACAGAUAAAGGGUUUUGGAAUGGUACCUCUGUAAUUUCUUGAUACGUUGCCUUUGUGAUGAAUAUGAAGCCCUAGUGAAUCAACAGAUAGCAAGACAUUAGAACUCUGGCAUGUGAAAAUGGGUUUUGGAAAAAAAAAAAAAAAAAAAAGAAUGCCCAUAAAUAUUGUGGUAGAUAACAUGAUACCUCUUAUUUAUCUCUUUUAAGGUUGAUUUGAUUUCCUUUUUUGUUGCCUUUUUUAUAGUUUGUCAUGAGUUUCUUGUUCUUCAAGUAAAACCUUCUUUUCGAACUAUCAGUCAAACUAAUGCCAGAUACAUUUUAACGGCUAUAAACUUGCCUGCAUUAUUUAGAUGCUCAUUCUCCAACUUGGACCAUUGGAACAAAUUGUUCAUUAGAUUAGAGCUAUUGAACUUGAAAUGAAAAGGGUAUAUCUAACUUGAGUUUCAUGUCAGCUUCGAUAUGGCUGCACGUGUGGAAUGAUAGAAUCAUUGGGAUUUGGGGAUUUGAGUAAAAGUUCCACAUCCCUCUUAUGAUGACUUCAAGGGCUGCUAAAAUAAAAACACCCCAGCUUCACGAAAUACAUGGAGAACUCAAUGAGGGUUAGAUAAAGUUCAGCGGUUAGAUAAAGUUCAGCUUCUCUAUUUGAUUUCAUGGGUUUUCCCAUGGGUUAGAGAAGGAGAUGGCAGAGAGGGUAAGAGACAAAGAGGGUUUGGGACCUUCACCCUUGUCAGAUCUCUCUCUCUCUCUCUCUCCCACCUCCAGCAGCUCCAUACCACAACUAUAGUCCAAAUCCAAAUACUGAUUCGUUUUUAGGAAUAACUCACCCAAGGUCAAAUCCGAAAUCUCCGCCAAGGUCCGUCAAGGAAGAAUCUGGGAUCUAAGAUUUGGCAGUACAGACGGGAUUUUCCGAUAUGAGUGGAGUCGAUUUCGAUAUGCGUAUAUGGCGGGUUUUUUUGGGAAUAAUCUGGGUUGUGGUCGUUGUCAAGGAUGAAGAGGACUGAAGGAGAAGGAGGUGGUUGGAGUGGUUCUUUAGGCGGCGACAGGUUUUUUAUUUAUAGGGAUUCUUAGAUCUAGGUCUAAAACGAUUAAUUAAAACCAUUAGUUAAUCUGGGUUUAGUCUACGCGUUUUUUGUUUUAGAUAUAGAUCAUUUGACUUUUAUUACUUUUUUGUUGUUUCGAUUUUACCCAUUGGUGUAAAUAAGAAAAACACAUUGAAAAUCUAAAUUUAAUGCAUUAUUUCCUCAUAAUUAAAUUUCAUAUUUUGAAUUUGGAUUUCUUUCCUUGAUAAUAUUUACCUAAUAUAUAGAUAAAAUACAAUGUAAUUAAUGAAAGUAAAAACUCACAUAUUAUACAAAUUAUUUAGGCAAGCACCCACAUGAAAUUAUGUACCUAACAUACAAGUAAAUAGUGUUAUUAUUAGCAAUGGAAAAAACUUAAUGAUAAAUCGUGUUACCUAUAAGUUAGAAACAUAAAUUAAAAGACUACCUAUAAGUUAGGAACAUAAAUUAGAAGACUACCUAUAAGUUAAAUACAAAAAUAGGCAAAUAAAAAUUGUAUGUUAACUAAAAAAUAAAAAGGUACAUAAAAUACUAUUAUACAAUGUCAAAAAUAUGAAAAACGCAUAUAUACCUAUGCAAUAGGUAAUGGAACAAUAUACCUACACCAUAGGAUAAUAUAUUUAUAAGAGUAUGUAAUAUACCUCUACCAUAGAAUGACAGAAAUAAAAAUUGUUACCUAUAACUCAUGUGCUAAACGAUGUGCUACUGUAUUUGCUUCCCUAAAAACAUGUAAAAUAGAGGUUGAGUAAAUUGAGCCAAAAUAGACCCGUAGUCAUCCACCAAGCACCCCAAAACAAAGCUCUGUGGGAGUGGACUAUGGAUCACCCAAAAAAGUGCAUGGGCAUCACCUUCCACAAUCAAAUGCUCUGGACGCCAAGCAGUCAAUUUCCAUGAUGGGAGCAUUCAUGUACGUACAACAUGCCAAUUACAACAUACCUACACCAUAUACGUACAACAUACUUAACAUACCUACAUCAUGGGAACACUCGUGUAUAUUUGAAGACAUGGAGACAUGUGCACGGUUCAUGUGAAGUAAGAAGAUGAAGAGAGAAAAAGUAAAAAAGAAGACAUGAAAAAAAAAAAAAAAUGAAGUGUGAAUUAUAGGUAGUGGUUAAGAGAAUUUACCCAUGCACCCAAGGUCCUAGGUUUAAUUCUCCCCUCCUCUAUUAUCACUUGCAUGUGUUAAUAAAAAUAUUAUAGGAGGUUAACAUUAGGUCUAAUAUUAAAUGUGAUAAUUAUUUAAAAGGUCAAAUAUAUUAACUGUAUGCCUGAUAUGUCCCCUUCGACUAUAAUGAGUGGAAAGUUAUAAGGGGUAAGUUAUAAGGGGUUCACUUUAUAGCCAUUAGAUAAAUCCAAGGGCUGGGGAGAAUUGAGAUAAAGUUUCACAAUUGGGUAGGUGAGGAACCCAAACCCGAAUUGAAUAUCCAGCACGUCCAAAAAGAAGAAGAAGAGGGAAACACGUCCGAAAAAGAAGAAGAAGAGGCAAGUUCGAAGUUUGAACAGAAAGAACUCAUCUCUCUAAAACCCAGAGGUCUGAGAUACCCAAUGAAGACAACGGCUAACGACAGUUGAAGGCAACGAUUCGCCACUCCGUUCUCCAGACCCUGAAAAAGUAUUUAUUUGGAGUAGAAGGGGCAAAGGUGUGGAUUCCAAAUCAGUGAAGGGGCCAAGCAGUGGAAGGGGAAGGGGAGAAGCUGUAUUCGUUGGAAGUGGUAGGUUCCAUUUGUGGAGCAAAGAAACAGAAAGACCCCACACAGACACCUUGCAAUAACCAGCAUUUGGUGAGUAAUUUAUGGAAUUUGAGUUUAGGGUUAGAGUAAUGGUUUUCCCCAAUUUGUACCAUAAAUUUUGUUGGAUUUGGCAUCUCUUCAUUGUGCUUCAGUUGCAUGUUAAUUUUUGCUUAGGUAUAUGUUAAAAAAAGAAUGAAAAUCAAGUCAAUAACAAGUGAAUAACAUGUCAAUAAUGAUAUGAAUAAGAUAAUGGUGUUGAAUUGGAGGAGGCCCUCAAAACCUUCCAUAUUUGAAGCAGUGCAUAGUGCAGAUUAAGAAGAGGCGCUAGAAUAUAUAUAUAUAUAUUUUAUGAAGUAAAUAUGAUUUCCUUUGUUACUAAAUUUGCCUGAGAAACAUUUGAACAGAUAAUAAUAAACUCAUGAAUAGAACUGCAAAGCAUUUGAUGAGUAAUGUAAGGAAUUUGAGUUUAGGGUUAGAGUAAUGGUUUUCCCAAAUUUGUACCAUCAAUGUUGUUGGAUUUGGCAUCUCUUAUUUGUGCUUCAAUUGCAUGUUAAUUGUUGCUUGGGUAUAUGUUAAAAAACGAAUGAAAAUAAAGUCAAUCACAUGUCAAUAACAUGUCAAUAACAUGUUAGUAAUGAUAUGAAUAUGAUAAUGGUGUUAAAUUGGAGGAGGCGCUCAAAACCUUCCACAUUUGAAGCAGUGCAGAGUGAAGAGUACCUCUCUGGCACUAGAAUUUAUAUAUUUUGUGAAAUAAAUAUUAUUUCAUUUGUUACUAAAUUUGCCUAUGAGAAAUGAGAACAGAUAAUAAUAAACUCAUGAAUAAAAGUGCAAAGCAUUUGAAAUGAAGGUUGAUCUAUGACGAUUGUGGGUGACUGAAGAAAAAGCUAGAAAGAAAUAAGGAUGUGGCAAUUGCUUAGCAAGCAGAUAGCAGAGUACAUGCUUUGCUUUGCUUCCUUCCACUAUAUUUCUUAUUUAUUUAUUUUGGGUUGUGUAUGAGAUGACAAUAAUUGUCAUGUGUGUGAAGUGCAGAACUUGCCUACAUUGCACUCACACGAGUAUGGAUCCAUAAAUAAAACACGUGAAAUUGUUUGUAAUUCACAUAAUCAUUGCAUUAACAGGUAUUUGCACAAAAAUUGUCAUAUUGCUUUGAUGAUGUUAAAGCCUGUGAUCAGUAAUCCCUAUGCUCAUGUACUUUGUAAAAGUUGUAAUGUGCCUGGUUGACUAGUUGUGAUUGUGCAAAUACGUGGUAGUAUAUGUGUUCACGUUAUUUCACAUUGUAUUUGAGGAAAUGGGAUCCAACGUGGAGCUGGUAUGGCCAGAGGCAAAGGUAUAUUCGUCACGGGUGAACAACUGCUCACAUGCAAAUUCAUCUCUAGCUGCAAUUCGAGCGAAGUUGAGUGCGGAACAAUUAGAACAAUUCAAGAUAUCAUGCUUUGGCCAUCUUCUGAAUAUAGAUAAGAUUCAGUUUAGCGGGAAGAUUGUGCAUGGGGUUGUGUUGCGUAGAGUAGCGGGGCAGGGUGUGAAAGACUUGGAUGGACUGAGUUUCUUAUUAGGGUGUGACGUUGCUCAGUUCACUCGUCAGGAUUUCUGUUUGAUCACAGGGCUUCGUUUUGGGGAAGUGCCUGAAGUUUCCAGUGGAGAGAGUGAUGAAAUCAGACUUCAGAAAAGAUAUUUUAUAGACGAAGGAAUUACAUGCAAUGCUUUAGAAGAAGCAUUUCUGAGGUGCACAGAGGAAGAUGACAUCUACAAGCUAGCUCUUGUUUACUUUGCUGAGUUAGUGGUUUUGGGAAGGGACAAACAUUUGAACAUCAAUCUAAAUUACCUGACCCUUGUAGAGGACUUGGAUGCGUUCAACAGGUAUCCGUGGGGUUCGGUGUCCUUUGACAAAACCCAAGACAGUCUAUUUUCUGCACCAACAAAGUACGUGAAAAGCUUGGAAAAUGAAGAGGGAAGAGGGAAGGGGAAAAGUAAGGUAACGGGAACAAGCCGGAGAAAUGAGAAGGGCAAGAAGGAUAAGCAUGGUGAAGCGCAAAGGAGUGGCUGGAGUUUUAAAGGUUUCACGUAUGCUUUCUAGGUACAUGGUAAUAAUGUUCAUGUCAGUUAUGUUUUGUUUUUCUUUAAAACAUAAAUAAUGACUUUUGUCCUGUGAAUUGUGUAGAUUUGGGUAUAUGAAUUAAUUCCUAGAAUGGCGGACCUGAAUUACUGCAAGGUUGUUGAUCCGACCGCUGUCCCGCGUAUUUUGCGAUGGAGAACUACUACGUCUGUUCCAGAGAUGAGAAAGUUGAACAAUUAUUUUUUCCAGAGCAAAGAGGUUUGGUUUGCAGCCCUUGGAACUAUUGAUAAGAUUGAAUGAAAUUAUGAAGUAGAAUGAUUUAAUAUGACUCUUGUCUGUAUUCUGAAACAGUCAGUUCAGUUGCGGGCGCUAUGUCCGAGUGAAGAGGAAAUGAGACAACCAUAUUGGAGUUGGCCACAGGAUUGCCCUGCUGUUGUCUCGGCAGAGUCAAUUCCUUCUUCAUGUGGUGAUCUUGAUGAGUUGAACAAGGUGGUAAGCUUGUUGAGGUCCGAGUUGUUUCAAGUAAAGCGGGAAAAAGACGUCCUUCACUUAAAGGUCAUACGGAUGGAAAAACUGUUGGACCAAUGUUUAGGUCCUCAGUUUGAGCAGGAAGUAAGGAGGGACCUAGCUUUACUGAAACAGAGGACGAAUCGUUGUGUCGUCUCACAUCUAUUUAAGGGAUAUGGGGAAAUGGAUGACAUUCAAUGGGAUGAAGGGCCAAGUAAUAGAAAUGAGGGAGAGGAAAAGGAAGAUGAAGGGAUUGAAGGGGGUGAAGGGCCAAAUAAUAGAAAUGAGGGAGAGGAAAAGGAAGAGGAGGGGAUUGAAGGAGAGGAAAAGGAAGAGAAGGGGAUUGAAGGGGGUGAAGUGCAAGGAAAACCAAGUGAGGUAGAGGAAGGGCCAAGGAAAAGAAGUGAAGGAGAGCAAGUGCAAGUAAAAAGUAGCAAAGGAGAGGAAGCCCAAAGACAGAGCAGUGAGGGAGAGGAAGUGAAAAGAAAAAGCAGUAAGGGAGAGAAACUGCAAAGGAAAAAAAGGGAAGGCAAGGAAGUGAAAACACAAAGAAGUGAGGAAAAGGAAGUGCAAAGAAACCAAUGUGAGAAAGAAGAUAAUGAAGUUAUGUUGCUUGGGGGUGACAUUGGCGAGAGCACGAAGGGGACACUGCUUGAGUUUACUGUCGGGGACAUUGAUUUGGAUGAACCUACAGCUGUGCUAUCUCAGUUGAACGUGUGGUUGAAUGAUAAAGGUAAAGCUGUGGCACAAGGGGUCCAAUUACGGAAAAGGAAGAGGAUCAUUCCUAUGUGGAAGAUCAUUGAAGGCAGUGAAUUGGUUCCAAAAACUGGGGCACAGACAACCGGACUGAAGAUGUUAGACCCAAUGAAGGCGAUUCCGCAUGAUGAUCUGGUGAAUUUGCUGAAACUUUGUUGGGAAUGGCGCCAGGACCCAAAGUAAGUCCCUUGCAAUUAUAAGAUAGAAGCAUGACUGUAUAUAAUUUUUUAUAUACAGUGUUCUAAAACUAUUUUAUAUUCAUAGUUUGGUGAUGCAAUUUGGCAACGUGGAAGCUGAGAUUGAAUUCUUCGCUUCCCUCGUGAAAGCUGAUGGUUGGCUGAAAGGAGAUGUAAGUGUAAUUGAUUAUGCAUUUGUUUUAAUGUACAUAGAUUAUGAGAUUGACAAGAAAAACAUGUUGCAGCACAUUGAUUUGGGGUUGUAUCUCAUCCGGAAGCGACAACAACAGUUGGAGACAGAUUCGGUAGAAAUAGCGGACUGGACAACGACCGAUGUUUUUUUUAUGGUAUGUCAUCGGCCUUGACCAAGUGCCGUUAAUAAUUACACAUUUUCCAUACACACACUAGUGGAGGUGUUUAACCAUUGAUUGUUUUGUAUUUCACAGAAUCACAUUCGUACUUGCUUUGACGAUAAUAAAAGAAAAAAACAGCAGCUUGGGUGAAAAAUCAGAAAAAGUUUACUAAACGUUGUAAAUGGGAAGGUUCCUCCGUGUGGGUUGGAUUGGCAGAACGUCUAUAAGGUGUAUACUCCAUUUAUGUUGACGAAGUACAAGCAUUGGGUGGCUGUAAUGAUUGAUCUGGUAUUGUGUGAAAUCAAAGUGUACGAUUCAAAGGUUUCACUAAUUCCAGAUGACAUCGUCAAGGAAGAACUCGCCCCGCUAUCAAUUACGCUUCCAAAUCUUCUCAACACCAUCGACUUUUAUGAAGAAGGUGUUUAUGCAAACAAUUACAGCCGAGAUUGGUGGUGUCCGUGGCCAAUAGAGCGUGUGGAUGUUCCACAACAGUCUAAUGAGUAAGCACAACUUGCAAUUUAAUUUUAUUACUUUCAAUUGUCAAUUACGUUAAAAUGUCAUUAGUUGAAUUGAUCGAGUUCUUGUUUUGCUUCAGAGGCGAUUGUGGCAUGUUUGUGUUAAAGUACAUUGAGCUUUUCAGCGCUGAGCUUCCGUUAGCUACUUGCACCUCGCACAACAUGCCUUUUUUUCGGUUGAAAUUGGCUGCGGAGAUAACAAGGGGAGAUGCUUACUUCCCAUGAUAUUGGUUGAAGAUGACAAAUGGUACAUGAGAAGGUUUUGGGAAUGUCCAUUCUCAAACUAAUGUAAAUACAUAAUAGAGGGUCCUUAUCGAAUUCUACCGCUAACUCCUUCAUGACAUUUACAUGUUUGUUAACCAAACUGCAUUGAAUUGGAAUUUUAAGACUGCAUAUGUGAAUUGGGAUUUGAAGAUGGCUUUUUAAGUGUAUUACAUCAUUGCAAAGUGAUAUGUCAUUGUUGAUGCAAGCCACCAUUAAUCGCAAUGUGUUGCAUCAUAAUAGGUGUCUAAACAUGCGAAAGGUUUUCGGCAGCUCAGUAGCAUAAAAGUAGAAACAUAGACAAUAUACACAAAAUGAACAACAAUUCACAAACGCACCGACAAGCAAUACACACACAACAGACAAACAAUAUACACAAAAUUGGCCUGCCAUAUACAGAGAAUAGACAUGCAAUAUACACACAGUAGACAUGCAAUAUACACACAAUAGACAUGCAAUAUACACACAAUACUCCCUUAACACACACAAUAGACAUGCCCUUGCCCACAAUAAUGAUGCAAUCUACUUCAGUCCCCAAGUACACCAACCAUAGGGAAGUCCUAUUGAAUAUGAUAUUAAACUUAACAGUUGUUCUUCCUACUAAAAGAAAGAAUAAGGUCCGUUUCCCCCCUUCAUUCUUACUUGAGUGAUACUUGUGGCCCCAAUAAACAUCCAAUUUCGGGGCAAUGAUAUUCCAUAUACAUGCAGCAAACUAUCAAUAAACCUUCAAUAAACCUUCAAGAAACAUUCAAUAUCGUUUCUAUAACAUGCGAAAUACAUGCAGUUACCAAAUAUUACAAAAUGGGUAAAAUGGUCUCAUUGGUGGUGCAUGCAACAUGUGUUGUGCGGGAGAACUUUCACAAUCUUUUAAACCGUGCAGUUAAAUGAUCAUUAAAAGAACAAAUAAAAUGACAAUUGAUACAACUAAUAAAACUAAUACCAAGUCCUUAAUGGACUUCAGCAUGUUCAGCACUCUAGCAUCAUACGUGUCAUCUUGAUGUUCUGCUUCAGCGGAGGUUACAUCAACCCAUUCGAAUCCAUUGCAACUGGUGGCUCCCUAAUUGCAGGCAUCAUAUAUGGAAUAUAAUUCUGUCAGAGUUAGACAUACGUUUUUUUUCACCCACAUACAUAUUCUUUAAAUUAAAACUUACAUAGGAGGUUAGACACUUCUAGAAUGGCUUCCCUCGAUUUUUGUCAGAUUUUGAAACCCGAAGCACCAUUGUAGCUCCACAAUACUGACACCUCUUUGUUUGAGCGGGAGAUGAAGACGAAGACAUGUUGAAUCUUCUCAGUUGUACCUCUUCUCACUCAGAUCUUCUCACUGAAACCUCUUCGGACUCAUACCUUCUCACUCAUAGUUGUCAUUUAUACCCCUUCGCUCAUAACCCUAAACUUGUCACUCAGCUCUCUCUCAUCUCUGCCCAAAUCGAGUUCUAUUUCUUUUUUUUGGGAUCAUUUGGUGGGUUGGUCACGAUGUCGACACCUGUACCGUCAGCAUUGUGACAUCUUUUAGCCCGAAAAGCAAUAUAAACUACUUUACUACCAAAUAUAUUUUCUGAAUAAUAAGGGGACACUGCUUCAAUUUUAUUAAUUUAUUUAUAUUUCAUUAAGGCAACUAGUUGGAUAAGAAUCCGUCAUUAUUGGUUCCAUUUUAAUAACAUUACUAGGGAUAGUUGGGUGUGGGAAAAUGAAAAAGUAUAUGAUGGGACCUUCUGUCACUAGUCAGUAAUCCAUCACAUUUGUAUCAAUGAAUUUGAUAGUGGGAUAAACCCAAAAAUGGCUAUGCAAAUAGCCAUUUAAUUAACUUUUUGACUGUCUGACUCUGUAUGCACCGUUAUGACGUUUUCCCUUCUUUUGUCUUAAGUUUUAAUUCACUUGGGUUCAGUUUCUUUCAAAAGGGUCAACUUGGAAAAACCCCAACUGGAAACACCUUUUCAAAACACUAUAAACAGAGGCUAAAACAAAACGUGUACCCCCAAAUAUUAUCAUUUAUCCCCUCUGCCACUCCUCAAAUCGUUCCAUUCCAAAAACUUUUCAAUGAAUUCGAAACACUUCACUACAGUCGGAGGAAAGAGAAGGUAACAUGUCCAUUUGGAUAUGCCCGAAGCCUUCAUCCCGGAGUCCGCUUGGUUUCAAGUGAUGUUAUACGUGGCAACCGAAUCAUCGGAAGAUCUCUUCCGUAUGGCAUCUGUGUGCCGAUUGUUCCAAACUUUGGCAAACAGUCCACAAGUGUGGAACACCAUUUCAAUGGCAAAGUACCCAGACCAUCCUAUCUGGUACCGUGCCAGACCUGCGGUCCAGCAUUUCUUGCAACAAUGCAGGGCUUGCGAUAACCCUGAGUCCAUAUUUAGAGAAGCAUUCGAAGGUUUUUCCAGGCACGGUAAGGUGGAAGCGUUGUAUGGGAUGCGCAUUGCAGCCACGACAGGCCAUAUGGAAGCGGCAUAUGUAGUUGGACUACUUGGUAUGUCCGGAAUUGGUCAGUCAAAAGAGGAUGCAUUACAAUUCUUGUGUUCUUUGAAUCAACGUAACAACAUUGAUAUGAAAGGAACCAGGGAUGCUUUGACAGGAAGAUUUCGCGGAGCAUUUGUUGCAAGACAUAUCGUAGAUAUGUUUGACUAUGGGAAGAUUAAGUUCAAUCGCUGCAGCGCUUGUAACAACAAUGAAUGGUAUUUUGUUAUUCCAGGCUGGCCUAGUGAAGACAAGAUAAAUCCUGCGUUGUGGACUUGUUGCAAUCGAUGCAAAUGGCACCGUGAGAGUAUUUUUUGGUUCAAACUGAUGCGUGAGUAUGUUGUGCGAGGGAAUCACGUAUUUUUGCAUUAGUUUUAGUACGAAUUUACGGUUUUGAUGCAUUGUGGACUUGCUUCUCUUCACUUCUAGGUUGGCUGGCUACGUUGUACAAAUGUUGUUUAAAUGUUGUUCAAAUGUUGGUAUUUUGUCAUAAACCGUUUUAUAUAUAAAUGUAUAAUAUUUAUUAUAUAGCGGAAUUAUUACUUACAUCAUAGACGGCUAGGAAUGACAUUUUACUGACACAGAUAUUUUGCUCACCGACCCCAAUCUUCAUAUUUGGUAAACGAAAAGUCAUGCAUGGAGUAAAUAGGUGUCUUUUCACCAGUGCUUGGGAAUGACAUUUUCCCACUUAGCAUAUCCGAAAGGAUUUGGUUACACGUUUCUUAACCUAGGGGAUUGAACAGUGAAUGACGUAGAAUAUUUUUUUUGUGUGGAAGGAGUACAAUGGAUGACUUGUAUAUUUCCAUAUUAUGUUUCAAAACAUCCCUUCAACCUAAAAAAUAAAAGAAUUAACAAAUUGAAGAACAGAGAAACCGAUGAGCACUACAAAUGGCCUAUUCGCAUGGAAAAUAAAAUUGUUUUCAACAAGUUGGACUAAAUAUAAUUAACAAAUGGACAGCCUAAAAAGUAAUAUCAUAAUAAUUAUAAUAAUUGUGGAUAAAUAAUAAUAAAAUACUAAUGUAGCAUAACCAUGAAACACGGAAUGCAGUAGGAAGAUGAAAUCGCAAUAAGUUCGUAAAAAUUUUCGAAUCGUUUUUCUAAUUUUUGUGUAUUUAGUUCUGAAUUUUUCAAGAAAAAAAAAUAAAAUAAUAAUUUAGGGUAAAAUGGGAGGAUGUGGCCAUGUUCAGUAACGUACACUUGUGCAAGUAGUCAAAAGUGACGGGCUGAGAUCGCGGCAGGUGUCAUAUUCUUUUUAAUUUUGGAAUGUUUUGUUAAAAAAUCUUUGAAACUAGGUAAUAAAUAGUAGGAAAAUCCUAAAAAUGGCCCAAAAAUUACUCCGGCCUCCUUUUGACGUCAUAAAACUAGGAGAACCUAUAAAUCAUUCGUCUCGCAAUGAAAUAAUCCAAAUUGUUUUACAUAACUCACUUUCCUCUUAACCCUAAGUAUUGAUGUUUGUUAACUUAAACUUCAAUAAUCUACUUCAGCAAGCAUCUCCCGUUAAUGUUCGGAAAUAUUUUUAAAAAUGCGUAACAAUGAAUCGGAGAAUUCAGCAAGGGAGAUGGAGUGUCAAUGAGUUCGUAGCAAUUUUCGGAAAUAAUUUUGAAUUUUUCUGUAUUUAGUUAUGAAUUUUCCAAGAAAAAAGGUAAUAAAAUAAUCAUUUAGGGUAAAAUGGGAGGAUGUGGCCAUGUUGACUGACGUACACUUGUGCAAGUAGUCAAAAGUGACGGGCUGAGAUCGCGGCAGGUGUCAUAUUCUUUUCAAUUUUGGAUUCUUUUGUUAAAAAAUCUUUGAAACUAGGUAAUAAAUAGUAGGAAAAUCCUAAAAAUGGCCCAAAAAUUACUUCGGCCUCCUUUUGACAUCAUAAAACUAGGAGAACCUAUAAAUCAUUCGUCUCGCAAUUAAAUAAUCUAAAUUGUUUUACAUAACUCACUUUCCUCUUAACCCUAAGUAUUGAUGUUUGUUAACUUAAACUUCAAUAACCUACUUCAACAAGCAUCUCCCGUUAAUAUUCGGUAAUAUUUUUAAAAAUGCGUAACAAUGAAUCGGAGAAUUCAGCAAGGGAGAUGGAGUGUCAAUGAGUUCACAGCAAUUUUCGGAAAUAAUUUUGAAUUUUUCUGUAUUUAGUUAUGAAUUUUCCAAGAAAAAAGGUAAUAAAAUAAUCAUUUAGGGUAAAAUGGGAGGAUGUGGCCAUGUUGACUGACGUACACUUAUGCAAGUAGUCAAAAGUGACGGGCUGAGAUCGCGCCAGGUGUCCUCUUCCUAUUAUUUUGGCUUUUUUAGUGCAACAAUCUGUGGAAAUAGGUAAUAAAUUCUACGAAAAUCCAAAAAAUGCCCGGAAAAUGAGAAAAUCAAAAUUAUUUGUACAUAACUCACUUUCCUCUUAACCCUAAUUCACGUUAACACAUAUAUUUCGGAUAAUAUUCGAUAUAUAAUUUGUAAUAAUACAAUAUUUAGUUUGACUAAAUACAAUAAUAUGUUUUGUUAUAAUAAUGUACAUCCAUAAUAAUUGCACAUGCUUUGAAUCCAUCAUUGCAACUACGCCUAGAGCUUUCAAGACGUCAGUUCGUAUUCAAUAAGUUGUCCACAUGCAACUGCACCUAGAGUUAUUAACACGUCAGAAGUAUUCAAUAAGUUGUCCAUAUGACGCCGCAUUGGGAAUCAGUAAUAUAUUUUCAAUCAUGUCCAAUCACAUUAAAUAAUGCCAUACUUUUUCUCAAUAACCUCACACAAGUGAAGCAAUUUUAAAACCCUUAGUUAAUAUUUGUCCUACUCUAUAUGAGUGAUUAUAUAAUCAGUCUGCAUUAUUUUGCACAGUAUAUGUUCACUUUGAGAGGGAUUCCACAAACAUAAAAUAUAAAGAAAGCAAGAAAUAGUAGGAGAUGAACCAGUACAAAAAACAAUAUAUAAAUGGUACAUAAUAAUUCCAUAACCUUGUCACAAACGCACUCACAAAAGCAUUUCCAUAAACCUUGUCCUAACAUAUAAUAAAUAAAGGCAACAUUGCAUAUGAUGCAACCAUGUCCAAAUCUGAUACGUGAUCAACAAAAAAUGGACAUGGCAGCAACAUAUGACUGAAGUAGAUGGGCUCUUUGCAUCUUGUGUUUUCGUAAUUAAAGACAUCAAAAUAUUAAGGUUUAAAUCUUCCAUAGUAGUUAGCAUCAAAAUAGCUUUGAAGCAGAGUGUAACGAAAAUUCCAAUUCCACUGAUUUGCCUCUGCUCAAACACGAGAACCAAAAUGGUUACUUCCCUUGCUGAGUAUAUUUGGUGACGUCGGAAACGGUAAUAGAUGACCAAUCAAACCCGGGUACGACGAGUUUUGCAUAGGAUCGGAAGUAGUCGAAUCCAGCUUGCAUCACACGCUUCUUUGACUCCACUGCAUUAGAUGAGUUCUUGUAUUUUUGAACAGCUACACUCCGAAGUCGUUUGUGUCUACGCUUCAUGCGCUGCAACUUCGCCCUAUCCAGAUUGGCCUGCCUUUUGUCAUCUUCAAUUUGGCCUUCAACAAAUUCCAAACGUGCCCUUGCCCUUUGGAUUUCAUCACCAAGUUGAAGAUGCCUAUCCUUCCAAAAAGCAACAACUCUUUCAGACUCAAAACUUCCAACAAAAUGGUCAUUCUGUCUAGGAAUGUGACAUUGCUUGUCUGGUGACUCACUUACGUGUCGAAGGCGGUCUUUGUUUGGAGGGGUGUUUAUUAUGCUCACAUCAAACUUGGUUAGUAAAUCCAUUCUUUGGGGGGAAUGAGUUUGUUUGCUUGAGAGAGUAUCGGUAGAUGGAGACAGAUUCGGUGGAGGAGUGAGUUUUGUGUGGAAGGAGAAUUUAUAUGAAAGGGGUGAUAGUAAUACCAAGAAAAGGGUUCCCGCCAAAAAAUAUUUGGUUGACAAUGUAGAAAUUAUUUUUUGGUCUGAUACAAUCUAAGUUUAAUCCUAACUAGUUUGGUUGAGUUAACUAAGUAGAUGUCACUUCCAUUGACUUUCUUUCAACCACUAUCAGUGGUGGAGGUGUAAGAAGAGUGUGAGGUUGACAUGCUUGAAAAGCAAAAGCUGACACCUAUUUUUAAAAAAUUCUCGCCAAAAAGUACAUAUGUUGACUAUACACAAGCUUUGGUAUGUUGGUCUAUAAACCUAUGUUCCCUUUCUCAAACGAAAUUGCAUAGGCAAUCCUCAUCCUCCCAAAACAAAGAGGAUAAUUCAAGCAUGUCAACCUCUUCAGGCGCCAACAACACAAUCGAAGAUGACAAAUUGGAGUCGCAGGUUCUAUUUCCACAUUGUACUCGCCGACCCCUUCCUUUUUCAACAUCAUUUGGGAGUGAGGGGGACUCCGAUGAUCCAUUAGAGGCAAUACAUGCAGUCAGUGGCAAGCUGGAUUAUAAUUCCAGACUGAUCAAUUCAUGGCACGAGAAAUGUGUUGACGAGGCAAUUUUGGCUGAUCUUAACAUUAGAGUGAACAAAGCGUUCUCCCAAAAGAACAAGUACUUGAAGCUGAGUCAUAAAAGGAAGCUGAAAGCUGAGGAGUUGGAUACAGUAAUGAAUGAUGAAAUGAAAGGUUGUUUGAUGAACCAUAUGCGAUGCGAAGAGCACUAUAGUGAACUGGAGUUGGCAUUCAACGAAGGAUUCGACAAAUUCCGAGCAUUUGCGGCAACUACUCAUACAAGUUAUGAUUGGAACUAUGUGUCCCCUGAUGUUGUGAGAGAGAUACUAGACGAUGGGGGUGACAUGAAUGAGCAUAAGCACGUCAAAGCUGCUCGGAAGAAGCCGACCGAUACGACUAAGUGAUUGCGGCUACCGCUGUUCAGUUGGUUGAGGGUGACCGUGGUAUUGCACAUAUACUCCCUUAAUGUCAUUAUCUAAUUUAAAUUAACACAAAUAUCAGUUUCAUUUGAUUCAUAUAUAAUUAUUGGGACUAUGUAUUGCAAGUCAUCAUGUGUUAUAAUGUCUAACAUUAUAUUUUGCAAAUAUGGAAAUAUUAUUCAAUAAGAAGUCAAUAUCACAGCAAUCCGGGAAUCAGUAAAUGCUCCUUAUCAUGUCCAUUUACAUUAAAGAGCUGGCGUACUAAUGUGUUAAAAAAAAAACUGACACGUGAGUCAUAAGUAACAUAACAUGUGCUAUACAUUGUUUAGUGAAUGGUUUUUGGUUUAUUUAUAUAUAAUAAAAUUCCAAAUAUUGCUGAAGAUUUAUUUCGUCUAUAUCACUAGGGAUAUGAGUGGCCAUAAGCAUGUGACACCUGCUAAGAAGAAGCUGACCAGUACGACUGAGUGAUUGUGGCUACCGUUGUUCAGUUGGUUGGGGAGAUCGUGGUAUUGCUAAGAGGGAGCACAUAAUAUGUUUUGCAAUCAAAUGUUCUUUUGUGUGUGGAAUUAUGAGUAUUUAUGUAAUUUAGUGUACCCUUUAAUAUUUUUCACCUAAGUAUCGAAAUGUAAUUAGCUGCAAUGUUAUGUUUCUUUUUUACACGCUGCUUUCUAUUUGCUCUGUUCCAACAAAGUGCUUCAAGUAUCCUUCAGUUACAAAAGUGUACAAAAUCGUGCCCCUAAUAACCAAUCGGAAAAAGUGGCUACUGUUGGAAAUGAUUACUGGUAAUGGAAACAACAGCUGGCUGCUGGAAAUGCUGCAUUAGCCUGAGGAUUUGAAAAAUGAAUCUCUGUUAAAACAUAAUUCACCCUAAACUGCCCAUUUUACAUGGUAAAAGUCAUUGCUUCUUCACAUAACUACAAAUUUCAUACUUGAUCAAAUGUCUAUGAAAAUUUAUAAAUAGGGAGAAGACGUAAAAUUAACAUAUCUCCAAAUUUCAUGGAAGAAUGAAACCAAGCAAAUUUUCAUUUCAAUUACCAGUGGACAUAGUAAGAGCUCAUCGGUGGACAUGAAAAAAAAAACACAAUAAUAUUCAAAAACUGAAUCUAUAAAACUUCACCUGAUCAUUAAUCUUCAUAACAACCACAUUUCGUCUAAUACAAAUAUAAAUCAUUCAGUUGGUCCGUGCAUCCUGUCAAAAUCGUCGAAUAAUGGGUCACUACGAUGUAUUGGAGUUGAUUCGUCAUUGUUCGACGGUGAUGUCCUGCAUAAACAUCAAACACAAGCACAUAAAAAUGUUACCUAUUCAAAUUUUAGAUGUUAUUACAAAUAGUGUUAGCAUCUUACGGUGUGUUCAAGGCUGGGCAUUGUCUUCUAUCAUGACCAAUGCGUCCACACUCCCGACAGUGUCUAAUCCCUCGCUUCAUUGCCUUUUUCUUUGCUCCCGUUACUCCUUUCGACCUUCCUUUGCACCUCACUCUCUUAGGGUCUUUCAUAUAUUGUGUUUGAGAGCUGGACCCUCCAACUUCGUUAUUACUUGGUCCAUCCUUCAGCAACUUCAACUUCACCUGCAAACUUUUUAAAGUCUCUGACAGUAGCUCACAUCCUUCUUCACUCAUUAAUGCAUCCUCAACCACAUCUGAAGCAAGUCGAGACAUUGUACACCGCUUUAUUAGAAGGCCAGGAUCUGCACAGUCUUUAAUUUCGUUUCCAUUUGCAUCUGACACCAAUCCAGAUUUCGCAGUUUUCUUCCACCUCUUCAAAAUAUAUUUAUCGGGCAUAUAUUCAAUCUGGUCCCUUCUGAACAAUGCUAGGAUGUGCUUGCAAAUAAUUCCAACAAAUUCAAAUCUUUUGCAGCUACACGAUGCGUGGUCAGAAUCUUUGACAUAUACGACUUCUGCCACUCUUGUUUCCCAAUUUUUCCUUUCGCUCACGUUAAAGACAACUUUACAAGCAUCCUCUGUUUUGAGCUCUAGGAAACAUGCUGUACUUUGUAUUAGUUCUUGCUCAAACUUUUGAAACAUUGUCCUUGUGUACAAGGUAGCCAUUUGUUUGUUCAUUGGCAUCGGUAGAAGACAUUGAGCCACUUCAAAUGCAUCUACAUGAUCAGCAACUAACUCUUUUUCACGUUGAUGAGAAAGUGCCCUCUCAAAUCGUAUUAUGAAAUCCAUCAACGAAUUUCUCCUUGAUAUGUAUUGCUUGAAAAAACCAUGAGAACCUUCCGCUCUUUGGCUGCUUGACAUUCCAGCGGUAAAAAAUUGUCGUGCGUAGGCUGGAACCCAAGAUUUCCUUAAAUCAAACAUUGAACUUAGCCAUGGAUGGUCAGUCAAACCAGCCUUUGUAACCACAAUAUUCCAUUUUGCAUCAAACUCAUCCUUAUUGUCAGUAUCCCAUAUGGCUUUCUGAAAUUCACGCCAAUACUCCUUAUAAGCAUCACGUGGUAACUUAACAGAGAACUUUGAUGUGAUGUGCCAUAUGCAAAGUCGAUGAAAUGUAGUCGGGAAGGCUAUUGAAAUAGCUAUGGCCAUUGCCGCAUCUUGAUCUGUAAUGAUCGUUUUAGGUUCCCCACCUGGCAUGGCUUUCUUAAACUCCUCAAACAUCGAAACAAACGACUCAGUCGUUUCCUUGCUCAAAAAUGCGCAUGCUAAGACAAUUUUCUGACCAUGGUUAUUAACUCCCAACAUUGGUGCAAAUGUCAAGUCGUAUCGAUUCGUGUUGAAUGUGGUAUCGAAUACAACAACAUCUCCAUAAAACCCAUACGCCCGUCUAGAAGUUGCAUCUGCCCAAAAACAUCGACUAAACCUGUCAUGCCCAUCUCCCUCAAUCCUGAAAUAAAAAGCCUCAUUUUUUUUCUGUUCAGCCAUAAAAUACUCGGUCACUAGUUCAACAUCGUGGUUCCUCAGCUUCCCAUUCACACUACAUUCAAGAUUGUAGAUAUCUUUUUUGAUAAAACCGAUUUUAUCCAUUCCUCCGGAUUGCACCUCGAAAAUACUUACCUUCUGAUGAAUGGGAAUAUUAACUGAACCCAACUGUUUUGUGAGUACUUUUGUAGAAUCUGAAAUAUGACGGUGUGAUCUCAAUAAAUGCAUUCUUUCUGAGGGUGUCAUCUUAUGAUUGUGUCCCUCUGCAAAAAGAGAUAUGGUAUACUUCUUGCUCCCAUUUGUCUUCACAACCACAAUCUUAGCUUUGCAAUUGCAUCUACUUAUUCCCCGUUGUCUUUUUCUCUCCCGAGUUUCAUCCUUCCUGUAUGCACCUUGUUUGAAACAUACAAAUUCUUUCCUCAAAAUCUCUUUCUUAUUUUCCCCCAAAAGCUAGAAUGAAGUCGAAUAUCAAAGCCAGCAAAGAAUGCAUAUCUAUUAUAGAAACUGUAAACGAGGUCAAGCGAGUCAAACUUCAUCCCAACUGCUGGUGUUUCAUCAUUUCUUACUUCAGGAAUAUAAACCCUCCCAUUAGCUGUUGCACAUUCAUCACUCUCUGAGCUCCCAGACAUUUUAUCUACGUAUAUUAUUGAUCCACUUCUAUAUUACUGCAUAGUAAUUAUUCAUUCAUUAAUCAGUCAUUACUGCAUCACAACAUAUCAAUGCAUUCCACUUACACAAAACAUUGCCCAAAUUGACACAAAAUACGCAUAGCCUAACUUCCGAUUACACAAAACGCAAGCAAAAUUUCAUAAAUGUUACGUCAUCUCUUGUGAAAUAAUCUGGUAAAAAUAACAUUAGAACCAACAUGUUCAACUAAGAACACAAAUGCAAUUCAAACCACCAAUUACAGAACUUCACCCAAUAUCCUCUCCAACUGCUUACUCCUAAUGUCAUUAAGCCUAAGUUUAGGUUCUUUUACCUACAUUUCAUAAUUUUCCACCCCGACCAACAACAAUGAACUAAGUAUAUUGAAUAUUCAUAAGGAAAUGACACAUUAUUGAUUCCAAAAAUGAGGCAUUAUUGAUGCCACAAAUGACGAAUUUCCCACCCUCACAAAAAAUAAACCUAACCCAAUAAAAUCAAUCCAGCAAGUGAACUUACCUCUCAAAAUCAAUCGGGAGCUCUGCAGUCAGUCAGCUUGAAAGAAUGUGGUGGACAUUAGAGAAGACUCUUUGGUAUUUGAGACUCCAUCUCUACCAAAAUCGAGGAACAACUGCUGCUGCGGCUUCUAGCUACAAAAAGAGAUAUGCUACUUUGCUUUCAUCUGGAAUCUUGUCAGCUGAAUGAAAAAGAGAAGGGGUUUUCACUUGAGCCAUAGAAUCAAAACAGGGCAACAGCUAGGUAAGAGCCAUUCUUCGUAAUACCCAGGAUACCAUAGAUCGCAGGCCUCCCAACGAGCUAAUGACAAUCGAGUGACUAUAAGGUUCGGGAGAUUUGGAUCCUUCUAAUUGUGGGUUUGCUUUACAUUCAAAAAGAGAGGAUUGUGUUCUUCAGUUUUUCACAGAGAGGGAAAGAGGGGAACAACUGAAGUUGGGUUUCUAACGGGUUAGAUUUCAACCCGAUUCUACAUGCACCCUCUUUUAAAAAACUCACCGUUGGAUGAAAUCCAACGGCUCUUACAUACCCCUCAAAAACACCCCUUAUAACUUUCCACUCACUAUAGAAGCCCUCUGAUAUGUCAACGGGUUUGUCCACAAGAGCCCAACACAAACUCAAGCCCAGAUCACUUGAGGAAGUGACUGGACCCCAUCAAGUUGCCUAAAGCCAAUCUUCCCUGAGCCCGCCCAAGCCUAGAAAAAGUAAAGAAAGGCAACCCAGGCUAGAAAGCAACCACACAAUCGUGGCCUGACACAUCGAACCAAUCACCUCACCUUUGAGAGGCCUAAUGACACAUGGGACAAGACCUACUGUGUGUCCCAUCAAGCGUGCGCUACUCCUAAGAGGAAAUACAAAAGCAUGAGGAUCCCACUAGCCAUCCAUUUCGAAGAUGCCACACCAUCACUAGACCAACAAUCCCACAUUGAAAAGGACCAAAAAGAGGUAAAUCGAAAUCCCUACAUGCUUAAGUACAAUAUUUUCAGUCAUUCCUUGAGAAGAAUCUGACCUAGACAUCGGAAGGUGGUUGGUGAAUCCACCACAACCACCACUUUAGUGACCCCUGCCUCUCUUCCUUUUCAGGAGAUCGGAGCCACCAUCAGCAAUGCCUCGCUGCAUCGAGUGCAAGGAAAAGGAGGUCUACAUAAGUAUGCUCUUCAAAACCUGACGGUGCACACUUGAGAAAGGAUUGACCUAAUGGUUUGAACGCACUAUGAUUGAUGGUGCGAAAACCAAGCAUCAACAAUAACUAUUGACUUACACAUAAAAGAAAAAAGAAUUAUUGACCUAAAAUAAAUCAAAUAAUUAGUAAAAGGAUAACAUAAACGACAUUAAAAAAUUUGAAAAUUGAGAACUACAAAUAUUAGCUAACUCAUCAUAAGCUUGCUGUAGUGUCAACAGGAUCUAGCCCAGUAAAGAAGGUCCAAACCCUCAUGAUACCUUGUAGUGUGUGUGUGAGAAAAUCCCCCUCCCUCUUUUUAACAUUUCAUAUGUAAGUUCUAGAUACUUGGAAUGGUUCAUGUAGCAAAGGAAUUUUAAAUUUGUUUUUGUUUGUUUGUCCUGUAUGCAAAGGCAGAGGGAGGCCUAGGCUAAAAGUGGCAUUGGGCCUCAUUUUAUCCCUUUAGUAUGUGUAUACUAUAUGGAGGAAGAUAAUAAGAAAAAAUGAUAAAAUUUCAACUUACACUUCCCACCCCCAAAAGAAAAAACAUUCAAUCUCUACCUGUGUGUACGAUGAAAUCACCAAAAAAAAAACUACAACCACAAUAAAACUUCUAGCAUUAGUCGUUCAAUGUAUGUUGAUUGGUUAUGAAAAGUGACAUUGUCCUUUUCUUGGUUUAUACUAGCUCUUCAUUUAAUGUAUGUUGUAGGAGAUGCUAAGUUCGAAUUUCACUUUCCUAGGAGGAAAAAAAAAUUGACAUAGAAGUAUCAUGACUUUGGUAUGAAAAGGCCACAAAUUAGAAUUUUUUAUUUUCGAAGUGUCUAAUCGACAAAAAUCAACUAACUAUUGAUUUUGGUAAUAUUUAUUUUCUCAAUUCAGAAACACAUCCCAUAUUCGAAUCCAUCUUUAGGAGCUAUUGUCCUUGAACUUUGUAUCCACUUGAGCUUUAGUUCCUCAACUCUAUUUUCGUAUGUAACAAAAGUGGAGUAACUUUUGUUACAUUUUUCCUUCAAAAUGUGGGGCAAAUUGGUCAAGGACGGAUCUACAGUUGGGCUGGAGUGGGCUCCAGCACAUUCCUGAUUUAGUAAAUAGGCUUAAAGGUGCAGGCUAACAUAGGAAUUUUAGAAACCAGCCUACCCUUCUAUGCAUAAGUCAGCCUAUCACUCUAAUAUAAAAAGAAGGCUACCCAACGAAAAUAAUAGAACAAAAGCCUCCAACCAUCUGACCAAACAAAAAACACGCCUCCAACCAAGAAGUAAUCCAAGCCAAACAGAAAAAAAAAAUUUAAUAAUAAUAAUUGCCUAAAAGCCUAAAAGCACGAGAGAAUCAAAGAAGAAAUGACUCUCUUCCUCUCCAAAAUUGUGUCAAUAUAUCUUCAGUGGUUCUUCAAUCUUAGUAAGUUUCUCUCUUUAUUUUUAUUUUAAUUGUUAUUGUUAAGUUUUUAUGAUUUAGGUUUUGUUUGUUAAAUUUUGAGUCGCGCUAGGCGCGUGAUAGGAAAUUUUUUUAAAACAAAUUAUAAGUUGCGCUACGCACGUGAUAGGGAAAGUCUCCUGUACGCGCGUAGAGAUGCCAGUUGCUAGUAAAAAUUCUGGAUUCGUCCUUGACAUUGGUCCUUUUAAGUGUUUAGUCUUUUUUUUCUUUUUUCUUUUUUCUUUUUCCUAAAUUAGUUUAAAUUAAAAUUUAAACAAUUAAAAAAAAAUAAAAAAACAAAAAAACAAAAAACUCAACCCUCAACCCUCUAUGCUCUCUGUCUUCUUCUCUAAUAGGGUUAGGAGUUUCUCUAUCUUUUUUCUUUCAAUUUUUGCUUUCCCUCUCUCAACUUCAAUGGCGUUGUGCAUGUGUGUCUGGAUAAUUUUGGGCGGGGAGUGGGUGCAGUGGUAAAAUUGGGUGGGCCCUGAUUUGGAAUAGGGCAUGUGGUUGUACGGACUCUGCAAGGUAGACCGUUGGUUUCGAUGAUGGAUUUUUACAUAACACCAGAAAACUUUAUGACCAAAUAAUAAGCAAUUAUAUAUACUGUGGACUUCGAUGAUGGACUUUUUUAAAUUUUUUAUUUUAUUUUAGAAUUAAAAAAGAUAAUAGGUAGUUGUGUUUCAUAAAAAUAGAAUUCAUUAUCUGAUUUUAUUUUUUAUUUUUUUUAUAUGAAAAGUGUGAAUUUAUCAUAUUAUCCUCAUUUAAUUUAUAAUUUCAAUUCUUAAUUUUUGCAUUAAGCAAUGACAUUUUCUGGUAUUUUAAAUGUAGAGAAAAUAUGGAGAGUGGAGAGGGAGAGAGCUUCGGGUAUUUUUCUCCCUCAUUUUGACCGAAAAAAGGUAACAUAAGUUGCUCCAACACUUACGUGUGCACAUAUCCAUUUAAAUAUCAUUAAUAUAUCGAUAAUGUUAGAGGCGAUAAUUUCCAACUCGUUCAUGCUUUAUUUGGACAAUAUAUCGCGAUAUUAUCGAUAAAUAAAUGAAAAUUUUUGAGAAAUGGCGGUUUCGCACACAAGGAGAUUCGAACCCCUCUCUUUCUCAUCCACCUACUGAGCCUUAUCCAACAUGCUGCAAACGAGUUUGUUAAUAAAGCUACGACGUGUAAUAUUUAUAUGGUCCUAAAAAUUUCUGCAAGCUAAUAUUAUCUAGGAUAAAUUUCAAUAUAAAAAAAUCCCUGAUGAUAAAUUUAGGCAUAUAUUUAAUGUUAUUUAUUAUUUUAUUAUGGAGUUGCAUUUUUUUUGGGUUAUAUAUUAUGGAAUUGUACAGUCCCGAUCUCUUGGACCACAGGAGUCCAAGAGAUUUGUGGUCACUCCCCGUUGAAUGUAAAUUCAACGGUUCACUCAAUCUUAAACUCCUUUUAAGAAACUUUUUUGAACCAUUAGAUUAAUAUCCAACGGUGAGUGACCACAAUCUCUUGGACUCCUGUGGUCCAAGAGAUCAGGACUAUGGAAUUAUAUUAUUAUUCACUAUUGAGUUUUAAUAUUGUUCAUUAUAUGUGAUACUAAGUUUUAACUUUAAUAGGAAUUCUUUCUAUGUGGUACUAAGUUACUUAUAUAUAUAUAUAUAUAUUUUUUUUUUUCAAAGUCAUAUAUCUUAUCAUAUGUAAUAUAUUGUAGUAAAUUAUUAUAACUAAAAAAUUAUGGUGUGUUUAAUUUUCUUCACUAAUUACUACAUAUUUUCUAAAGACACAGUGUUUGUCAGAUUGCUACAUAAUCAACUUAAAUCACUCAAACUCAUCAUGCUAUGCAUUUUAUUCCAAAUUUUUGUGAUAAAAUAAAAGAAAAUUGACUAAAUAAACAUCCUUUAAAGUUUCAAUAAAAAAAUUUCAAAUUUUUCUCACAAUUUCUAUAAUUUUAUUCAAUUUUUAUCGAUAUUUGUAUUAAUAUAUCCGUAUUUUUAGACACCGAUAUUUUCGAAACUCUCGAUAUUUUAGCCCUUAUUCGGGAUCAUAACUGCUAGAAAGCAUUUACUGUAUAUAUAUUUUUUGUUAAAUUUGUCAUCGUGAUCGAGUUAAACGAUCCCAAAAGAAAAAUAUCUGGACUUACAAGACGUAACCUAUAAGGGGAAGAGUGCCACAAUUUUAGAUAUUUUUUAUUUGACAACAAUUUUUCUUCAUGGAAGUAUCACGAUUUUGACAGUGGCUAGAGAGCAGUUUUCAAAGAGUUAUGGCUUGAGCAGUUCUGGCUGAGAAUAAUUCAAAUUUUUUUAUUCCUUCGUCGCUGUACAGGUGUGUAGUGAUGGAGACGAGACGAGUCAUGAUCGACAAAAAGUUUGAAGAAAAGAGAAACGUGGAAGCUUUAUGUAGGCAGUUUGGUCUAACUGCAUACUUAAAACUCCCAGAUUUAAAGCCAACACAGUAGCCAGUGAAAAAAAGUCUUAGAACAGACUAAUGAGAAAAAGUCUUGAACAGAUUAAUAAUUUCAAGUUCAAAUCGCUAUGACAAAGAAAAAGCCAGACUUACUCUUCGAAAAGAAACUUACAAGUCUAUAAUAAUAUAUAAAAGCUGGCAAUUUUAUUGCUUAUGGAACACAUACAAACUUUGGUCUUCAUAGUAAUAUUAUUCUCACACACACAAAGAAAACCAACAUCAACAUUAAUUUUUUAGUGACUAGACAAAUUGCAAAUUAUAUGCUAAACGUCGUACUUGAUUCCUAUCCGGUGCAAAGUUGCAUCAACUCCUCCACCACCCCAUCUCUCUCUGCAUCCUCUUUAUUUUUCAUGUUGUCUCUUAAUUCCAAUGCUUUUUUUCUCACACCCUCUCCAAUUUUAUCCACCACCACAUCUCUAAUCACCUUUGCUACCUCUUCACUUUGGAAACUGCCUUCUGCUGUUCUCUUAACCUCCACUCCAACACCCACCUCCUCCACUAGUCUAGCGUUGAUUGGCUGGUCAUAAAGCAUAGGCAAGGCUAUAAUUGGAACGCCAAACUUGAUGCUCUCCAACACUGAGCUCCAUCCACAGUGACUUACAAACCCACCGACACUAUAAUGCUCCAAUAUUUUUGACUGCGGGGCCCAGCCCUCCACUAUCAUUCCCUUCUCUCCCACCCUCUCUGAAAACCCUUCUGGUAACACCUCUUCAACCCUAGUACCUUUCUCUUCCUUAGGAAAUCUUAUAACCCAAAUGAAGCUCACUUUGCUAAGCUCUAACCCAUGAGCUAUGUCUUCUAUUUCCUCCUUGGACAAAAAGUACUCACUGCCAAAGGAAACAUACACAACUGAAGACCUCUCUCUUUUGUUCAGCCAUUUCAUGAUCCAUGUUUCCUCAUCAAGUGUUUGACCCAUGGGGUCUUGAACAAGAGGACCAACCGGAACAAUCUUCUUCUUCACUAAAUCAGAGAGAUAAUCAACAUAUUUUGCUUCAAUCUCUCUAGAUGUCUUUACCAAAAUGAUCUUACAAGAUCGAGCACAGCAUUGCUGUAUGCGGUCUCCAUCCUUGAUGCCAUUUGAUGAAAACUCACACUGAUUGUGGAACUUUCGAAUAUCGUAAUCCCGAAGAUGCAAAGGAAAUUUGGCAGUAGGAUUGUUGAGAUCGUGAGCACAAACUGAACUCAAGAGCGCAGCGUUCAUGAUGCUGAACUCUAUGGCUGGAAUAUUUUGCAACAAAGCAAGAGAGGGUGCCCAUGGUUGAAGAAAAUCGUAGAUGAGCAAAUCCGGCUUUAGGGUUUUGAGGAUGUUGGAGAAGUUGGGGCUGGCCAUGUCAAAGGUCUUUUUGAGAGUGGCCAUGAGAUGGGGAGGGAGGCCAUUGGUAGUGUGGUAAUGAGGUGGCAAGUCAUCAUGUGGAAGAUGUAGUUCCACAAAUUCAAUGCAAUGAGAGUAUUCUUCAGAGAGUUUUGGUUUGAUGGAGCUGAGAUUUACGGGUGUGGAACAAAUAAAUAUGUAAAAAUCCUUGUUCUUAUUGGUGAGCUUCUUGGCUAGCUCUAAGAAGGGAGAUAUGUGGCCGUGAGCUAGCCAUGGAAGCAUAAGAACUCUGACCAUGGUUGGAUUUUGAGAAGAAUCCUUUUCUUUUUUUCUGACUCUUUUUCUUGAGGCACUGGUUGGCCUAUGGCUUCCUCAUAUAUAUAGUUUGUUUUCUUGAGAAGGAUGAGUCAUGAGCCACAAACGUGUUGUGUCAGUAAUUAAUUCUAAUUUCCGGAUUUAGAUGGGAUUUUCAGUUCAUAUCAUAAUAGAUGUUGGGUGGUGAUUUUCCCACUUCCAUUUUGUCCACUUACACUCUUUUUUAUUUUUUAAUGAUUUUUACUAUACUAAAAAAGAAAUGUGUAAGUGAAUAGAUGUUGGGUGGUGAUUUUCCCACUUCCGUUUUGUCCACUUACACUCUUUUUUAUUUUUUAAUGAUUUUUACUAUACUAAAAAAAGAAAUAUAUAAGUGAAUAAAAGAAGAACAAGAAAAUUAGCUCUCUAGAAGGAUAUAAAAAAUCGUACGAAAGUUCCAGAUUGAAUGGGAUGUACUUGAGAUGAAUUCGUAAUUAUUGGCUCUUCCAGGGAUAGACUCAGGCAAUUCCUUUGACUUAUUUUCUUGAGGAACUGCGUGACUAUUGGCUAAUAUUUUGUUUUAAUUUUUUCGAGAUAUUUGUAGUGAUGGUAUGCUUGAUAUACAUCAUUCAAAUCAUAAUAGAAGUUAGUAGAAAAACGUGCGAAAGUUCCAGAUUGAAUGGGGACGUACUUGGGAUGAAUUCGUUGGAAUGUUUCAGAUUAUUGGCUCUUCUAUCUAGCGCCAGACUUAGGAUUUCAAAUUUGAUUGUGCUAAAUUUACUUUACAUAUAUAAACAUAUUAAGUAUAUAAAAAAUUCGACAGUACGAUAUAAUUUCAUUGAUAACAGAAAAUAAUAAUACACCUAAUUAAGGGGGCAUAAUAAACCUUACUCCUAAAAUAACACUAUAUAAGUUGUACAUUUCGAGUCUUAAUAUAAUUAAAAUAAUUCAUUAUUGAUUCAUUAUCUAUAUGAGUUCGGUGACAAAGUCGACAGCUCUAAGAAACAGUCAUAAACAAUUUCUUCUAUUUUUCUUUUUUUUUUCCACGGGGUGUGCAUUCUUUUUUUUCUCUCCUUUUUUUCCCUAUGUGUAGAAAUGUGCAGCUUGUUAUAAAAUAACCUGGAAUAUAUGCGGAUAUUGAGCUACACGUAGAAUAGAUAAGACACAGCUUUUAACGAGGUUCGGCUAUGCCUACGUCCUCGGAGAGCAGCAGCAGUAACCUUUCACUAUAAAAUAAUAUGGCUACAACUUUAGUGUUUACAACAUAUGUGGCUCACUGAAUUUUCUCUCUAGGAGAAUUUCUCUCUGCUUUCUCUUCCUUUCUCUUUUUUUUUCUUUCUUCUUCUUUCCGUUUCUCUUCUUAUUUAUAGGCUGAAAUAAUCACUAUUCAUCACUAUUCAUCACUGUUCACCCGUGACAGACAAACUCUAUCAAAGCCGCCAAAUGAACAGUAAUGAACAGUAAUGAAUAGUUGUGUGAGCUCCAUAUCAAGACUUUUACAACACUCCCCCUUGGAGACCACAUGUCCCUAGAUUGGUUGCCUCAUUAAAACCUUGCUUGGAAAAACCCAGUGGGAAAAUCUAAGCGAAGGAAAAAGAGUACAACGUGCAUAUGUCCUAUGUUAGAGGACUCUUGAAUGCUCCCCCUGAUUUUGCAUGCUCCAACUUGAUUGCUUGCAGAGUUGUCGUAAUCCGAUGCCAUGUACUAACUUUUGGAAUGUAUAUUUCGGCAAUGAUUUAGUGAAGAGAUCUGCCAGGUUAUCACUUGAGCGGAUUUGUCUGACUUUGAUUUCUUGACUCUUCUGGAGCUCAUGUGUAUAGAAAAACUUUGGUGAUAUGUGUUUGGUCCUGUCACCCUUGAUAUAUCCUCCUGUGAUCUGAGCAAUACAAGCUACAUUGUCCUCAUUCAGAAUUGUUGGAGUGUCUGUUGUUGAGGGUAGGGCACAUGUGCUUCGGAUGUGAUGGAUUACCGAUCUUAACCAAACGCAUUCACGACUGGCUUCAUGGAGGGCAAGUAUUUCUGAGCGAUUGGAAGAUGUGGCCACUAAUGUUUGUUUUGUUGAGCGCCAUGAGAUCGCAGUUCCUCCACAUGUAAAUACAUACCCAGUCUGUGAUCGUCCUUGAUGUGGAUCAGAGAGGUAUCCUGCAUCAGCAUAACCAAUAAUACUUUGGGCGUUGGUCGAUUCACUGGAAUAGAAUAACCCCAUGUCUGUUGUCCCACGAAGGUAUCGUAGAACAUGUUUGAUGCCGGUCCAAUGUCGCCUUGUUGGAGCAGAACUGUACCUUGCUAACAGAUUUACUGAGAAUGAUAUGUCUGGUCUGGUACAUUGUGCUAGGUACAAUAAAGCACCUAUUGCACUAAGAUAUGGUACUUCUGGAUCAAGGACCAUUUCAUCAUUCCCUUUUGGACGAUAUGGGUCUUUCUUAGUGUCAAGCGAUCGAACGACCAUUGGAGUGCUAAGUGGAUGGGCUUUAUCCAUGCCAAACCGUUUCAAUACUUUCUCAGUAUAAGUUGAUUGAUGCACCAAAAUUCCAUUAGCACUAUGCUCAAUCUGCAAGCCAAGACAAUAUUUUGUCUUUCCAAGAUCCUUCAUCUCAAACUCACGUUUGAGAUAAUCAACAGUCUUUUGAAGCUCUGCAGAAGUUCCAAUUAGAUUCAUGUCGUCGACAUAUACUGCCACUAUCGCAAAUCCAGACUUUGAUUUCUUAAUAAACACACAUGGGCAAACAGGAUCAUUUGUGUAUCCUUCCUUCAGUAAAUACUUACUGAGACGAUUGUACCACAUUCGUCCAGAUUGUUUUAGCCCAUAUAAUGAUCUUCUCAAUUUAACUGAGAACAUGCCCCGUGGUUUGUUUCUGGCUGCUUCAGGCAACCUGAAUCCUUCUGGAACUUUCAUGUAUAUAUCUGUAUCCAAUUCUCCAUACAAAUAUGCGGUAAUGACAUCCAUGAGUCUCAUUUCAAGUUUUUCUGAAACCGCCAAACUUAUUAGGUAACCGAAUGUAAUUGUGUCCAUUACUGGAGAGUACGUUUCCACAUAAUCAAUUCCAGGCCUUUGUGAAAAACCUUGCGCAACGAGUCGCGCUUUAUACCUUGAGAUCUCAUUUUUCUCAUUGCGCUUUCUUGUAAAUACCCUCUUGUAACCUACAGGGUUCACAUUGGGUGGAGUUGGACUAAUAUGUCCAAAAACACUCCUCUUUUCCAAAGAAUUUAAUUCUGCCUGGAUUGCAUCCUUCCACUUGGGCCAAUCUUGCCUCUGUGUACAUUCAUUAAUAGAGCGUGGUUCAAUAUCAUCAUCUUUUAUGAUUUCAGCAGCCACUGAGAAUGCAAAUAUAUCAUCGAUGAUCAUCUCAUUUCUACUCCACAAUUCAUUAGUGGACGUAUAAUUUAUGGAGAUUUCUUGACUUUCAGGUACGGUUGCCACUCCAGGGGCACUUGUUUCACCAAUGACGUUUUCCUUGUCAAGAAGUACCUGUCCCUCUUUGGGGGCAUUUGAAUUAUGAAUUGUGGGCUCUCUAUUUAUUUCAUUUGGAUUCAUUUUGUCCAUCAACUUCCUCUUUCGAGGAACUGAAUCCUUUGAGCCUAGUGGUCUGCCACGUUUUAGGCGUGCAGCAGAUGAACCAUUUGCUGGCACAUUGCUUUGUCCAUUAUGGACAUCAAUCCGUGCGGGUGCAUUUGCAGCUGGGAUAUGAGAUUUCGUCACCUUUGCUGCAUUAUUAAAUGCAUCUGGCAUCUGAUUUGCAAUACUUUGGAGGUGAACGAUCCUUCUCACUUCGUUUUCGCGUUGAGCAGUAUGAGGAUCGAGAUGAGACAAUAUGGAUACAUUCCAGGAUAAUUCAUGUCGUUUUUCAGGAAUGAGCUUGCCUUGUUCUUUAGACACAGAUUUUUCUCCACCUAAAGGUGGGAAGAUUGUCUCAUUAAAAUCACAAUCCGCAAAUCGUGCGGUAAAAAUAUCACCCGUCAGGGGUUCCAAGUAUCUGAUGAUAGAUGGUGAAUCAACACCAACAUAAAUUCCCAAUCUGCGUUGAGGGCCCAUCUUAGUACGUUGCGAUGGUGCAAUAGGCACAUAUACCGCACACCCAAAAAUUCUUAAAUGUGAAAUGUUUGGUUGAUUUCCCAAUACGAGUUGUAUUGGAGAACCUUGAUUAUUAGCGACUGGCCUCAAUCGCACAAGCGAUGCUGCAUGUAAAAUGGCAUAUCCCCAAGCAGAAACUGGCAACUUUGUUUUCAUUAGCAAAGUGCGUGCUAUCAAUUGAAGGCGUUUAAUUAAAGCUUCUGCCAAGCCAUUUUGAGUAUGCACAUGGGGAACAGGAUGUUCAAUAUCAAUGCCUAAUGACAUGCAGUAGUCAUCAAAAGUCUGAGAUGUAAAUUCACCAGCAUUAUCGAGUCUGAUUGAAUUAAUGGGAUAAUCUGGAAAUUGGGCUCGUAAUUUAAUUAUCUGAGCCAAAAGCCUAGCAAAUGCCAUAUUCCGAGUAGAUAAAAGACAAACAUGUGACCAUCGGGUAGAUGCGUCCACCAAGACCAUAAAGUACCGAAAUGGUCCACAUGGGGGAUGAAUGGGUCCACAAAUGUCCCCUUGAAUUCUCUGCAAAAAUGAUGGAGACUCAACAUCAACCUUUGGUUGUGAUGGUCUGAUCACCAACUUCCCUUGUGAACAAGCUUGGCAAAAGAUGUCGCUUGAUAACAUAAUGUGUUUAGUCAACAAGGGAUGUCCUUUAGAGUUGGUGAUGAUCCUGCGCAUCAUGGUGGAUCCAGGAUGACCCAAUCUGUCAUGCCAAAGCUUAAAAGCAUUUGAGUCAGUAGACUCUUGGUCCAUGACACUAUGUGCCUCAAUUGUCCGUAUGGUUGUGUAAUACAACCCUGAUGAGAGCUCACAAAGCUUUUCCAGUAUACGCUUUUGGGUAUCACUGGAGGUAAUACAAAGAUAUUCCAUGUUUUCCUCUUUCUUUGUUUCAACAUGGUAGCCAUUCAAACGUAUAUCUUUGAAACUCAACAGAUUCCUUCUGGAGUUAGAUGAAUACAAAGCAUCUGGAAUGGACAAUAUUGUUCCAUUCGGUAACAUAAUUUGGGCUAUUCCUGAACCUUCGAUCAGAUCUGCAGGACCUGAUAUGGUUGUUACCUUUGCUUUUGUAAGCAUUAAUUUUGAGAAAUACUUCCGAUCUUGAAAGAUCGAAUGAGUAGUUGCGCUGUCUGCGAGACAAAUAUCUCUGCCAUAGACUUUGUUUUGAGGGCAUCCAUAAUUUACAUCCAUGCCACCAAAUAAGUAAAAUGAGCUGGAAUAUAUAAAGAAGACAACAUUACCACUUUUAUAUAAACAACACUUCAGCUAAUACAAAUAGUACAUUAAGGAAUUUAAUCUAAUUCGGACUUAAUAAAGAAGACAACAUUACCACUUUUAUUGGAUUGAAAUUUAAACAACACUUCAGCUAAUACAAAUAGUACAUUAAGGAAUUUAAUCUAAUUCGGACUCAUAACCUUCAUUCCCUUUUUUAGUAACAAAAUCAGAAACAUCUAGAUGCGUCUUGUUUAGCUUACGUGAUAUUUCUGAUGAGCCAUUUGUGGCUGGCGGAGCAUGAUCAAUGUAAUUUAUCUCCACUUUCCUGUUCUUAAGUGAAGCUUGAUAGAGAUCCGCCAAAUGCCUGGGCGUACGACAUGCGCGCAUCCAAUGUCCCCUUGCACCACAUCUGUGACAAGGGCUUUCAACAUUUCUAGGCACAUGGCUCAUCUGUGCCUUUCCCUUAUUACGGGAUGCAUUUUUGCCAUUCAUGGAUGGACCGCUCCUUGGACCUAAAUCCUCUGAACGAGCACCACGAUUUUUUCUACUUCCUUGCCAGUGGCCACGCUUGCCCCCUCGCCCACGUCUGUGGAUACUGCCACGAGAUGAAGUAGCAUUCACUUCCUGAGAUGUAGCAUUUAUUUCAGGAAGUGGUGCUGAGCCCGAUGGGCGAGAUUGGUGAUUCUUUAAUAAGAGCUCAUUAUUCUGCUCAGCUAACAAGAGGCAAGAUACAAGUUCCGAGUACUUCUUGAAACUGCUAUGUCUGUAUUGCUGUUGAAGGAGGACAUUUGAAGCAUGAAAAGUGCUCAGAGUUUUUUCGAGCAUAUCCUCCUCAGAUAUAUUUUCCCCACAUAGCCUCAUUAAUGAGGUAAUUCUGUGCAUAGCAGAGUUAUACUCGGACACUGACUUGAAAUCUUGAAAUCUCAAGUGGGUCCAUUCGUAUCUAGCUCUUGGGAGAGUCAUCGUUUUCUGGUGAUCGUAUCUUUCACCUAUAGCUUUCCACAGAACCAACGGUUCAUCAACCACCACAUAUUCGCUCUUCAGCGCUUCAUGGAUGUGGCGGCGAAGAAAAAUCAUGGCCUUCGCAUUCUCUUCAGGCGAAGCAUCAUUCUCAUCUACAAUUGUUUGUCCGAGGCCAUUGGCUCGUAGAUGAAUUUUGGCAUCCAGGACCCAUAAUAAAUAGUUGUCCCCGGAAAGGUCCAAGGCAGCAAACUCUAGUUUUGCCAAAUUUGCCAUCCAAAACUUUAGGCUCGAGAUCUGGAAUAUUAAGCCACUUAUUAAUAGGAAUUUCAGGUCCUCAUUAUUCAGGUAUAUUAAUUGAAUAUUAAGCCACUUAUUAAUAGGAAUUUCAGGUCCUCAUUAUUCAGGUAUAUUAAUUGAAGAUAAAAGUAAAGUGUUAUGAAUUUGCUGGUAUGGACGAUAAACCCGCACCAUACUUUAAAUAAAAUUAAAUGUGGGGUUAAAACCACCACCGAAUAAAAUAAGAAAAGUUAGUAUUAGUAACGGUCUCCCACUGAUAAUAUGUUUAGUAUUACCAAUGGUCCAUUUUUGUUAAUGGUUAGUAAAUGUGCGGUAAAGUAAAUGUGCUUGUAUGGGCACUAAUUCUGCUCCAUUCAUUUAAAUAAAAGUAAAGGCGUGGACGAUAAACCCGCACCACCCUUUAAGUAAAUAUUGUCGUAUGGGUAAUAAGCCUACACCAUACCAUAAAUAAAAUUAAAUGUGGGGUUAAAACCACCACCGAAUAAAAUAAGAAAAAAUUAGUAUUAGUAACGGUCUCCCACUGAUAAUAUGUUUAGUAUUACCAAGGGUCCAUUUUUGUUAAUGGUUAGUAAUAGAGAAGCAGAUAGAUAUAGUAUUGAGUUGGAAAAUUUUCAGAAAUAAAAGGAGAGACUAUCGUGCUGAUAACGUGUUAUAAAAUAACCUGGAAUAUAUGCGGAUAUUGAGCUACACGUAGAAUAGAUAAGACACAGCUUUUAACGAAGUUCGGCUAUGCCUACGUCCUCGGAGAGCAGCAGCAGUAACCUUUCACUAUAAAAUAAUAUGGCUACAACUUUAGUGUUUACAACAUAUGUGGCUCACUGAAUUUUCUCUCUAGGAGAAUUUCUCUCUGCUUUCUCUUCUCUCUUUUCUUUCUUUCUUUUCCUUUCUCUUUUUUUUUCUUUCUUCUUCUUUCCGUUUCUCUUCUUAUUUAUAGGCUGAAAUAAUCACUAUUCAUCACUAUUCAUCACUGUUCACCCGUGACAGACAAACUCUAUCAAAGCCGCCAAAUGAACAGUAAUGAAUAGUUGUGUGGGCUUCAUAUCAAGACUUUUACAACACAGCUUUUGUUUUCUUCCUUUUUUUCUCCACAUGCAGUGCAAAGGAUUUCUUGAGAGGAUAAAUUAUUCAAUUGGCUGGGCUAUAAAUUUUUUUUUUUGGGCAGCUUAAAAAACAGCCAUAUGAGUGGUGGCUUUGGUUAGUCAUGCUUAUGGUCCGUCCCUCCCUGGGCUCUUCUGCAAUAUUGCAUGUGCAUUCAGUGUUCAGGAAAAUCUGGAGCACACAGUUAAUCUAACCUCCUUGGCAAUGACAAGUCCCCCAAGCUGAAGGGUUUUAAUCGGGCACAUUUUUGUACUACUACAUGUGCAUGGAGAGAAAUUUCUUGUCAUGUUAUCCUCGUUGUAUUUCAAUUUCACAUGUUUCAUGCAUACACAGUGGCGGAUCCAGGAUUAUGUAAACAAGGGGGCUUAGUGUAAAAGUUCUGAAAUUUUUCUACAAAGAAAAUAAUGCUAAAAAGAUAGAAAGAUAGUACUUCCAUUCAUAAUUCAUAACAAAACCAAUAAUACAAGUUACAAUUGUCCACGACGAGUUUUCAUAUUCUGAAAACGUUGCAUUAUAAUUUCGUUAUCAAUACAAGCAAAAACAUCUCUCUCAAUGUAAACAAUCAAGCUAUCAUUCAACCAUUGAUCUCCCGUUCUGUUGCGAAGUGGAUUUUUAAUAAUAUUCAUAGCGGAAAAUGCCCUCUCCACUGAUGCAGUUGCAACCGGUAAAACCAAAGCCAAUAUAAGAAGCAAAUACACAAAAGGAAAUAUUUCAUGCAUUCCUUUCUCCACCAUUUUUUCCGCAAGACUACUAAUCCCUUCCAAUUGAGAAAAAUCACUACUCGAACGCAUAUGAUGAACAUAAACACCAAGUUGAUCUUCAAGCAUCAAUAAGUCUCUAUCCGAAAAAUCAUAAGGAUAAAAUUGAGCAAGACGAACUAGCUUUCGUUUGUCAAAAGCCACAAAGUUAUUUUUUGGACUCAAGCAUGCCAAACAAGUAAGUAACUCAGUACUUACCUCGUUGAAGCGAUCAUUUAAUUCCGCAAGUUGCCCAUCAAUUACAUGAAUAAAGAUCUCCACACGAUAACGAUGAUAAUUUGUCUUCAUUGGAGCAUUACGCCGUGAUCUCCCUGGAAUUACAUAUUCCUCAUCCAUGGUAGGAACUAUAAUAUCAUGUUUGUAACAAAACGAGGAUGCUUGCUCAACCAAUUCUUCAAACUCAUUAUCCCUCAUCAACUGCAGGUUUUCCUUGCAUGUUUUCACUAAAUUCAUUGCACUCACAAUGUCUUGAUCUUUCUAUUGCAAUGCUAGAGACAAAGUGUUUGUUAUUCCCAAUAUAGCUUUCAUUACAAAUAAGUGAAACACAAACUCAAAAGAUUGUAUUUCUCUCCAUAACUUAUAGGCUUCACCCAAACUAUCAUUAGGAUUAUCAUCAACAUGAUAUUUGAAGCACAUUCACCACAAAUGGGAACAUAGAAAUGAUACUAAUCAACGUACCAUAAUGUGAGUUCCAUCGUGUAUCGCCGGCACGUUUGAGAGUCCUUUCUUGAUUUAAGCCCCGCCCCGUUAUAAGACAAUCAUCUUCAAAAGCUCUCACAUGCUCUUCUUGGUAUUGUGCUCUAAGUGCAUCGCGACGCUUACAAGAUGCUCCAACCACAUUAACCAAACUAUUAGCCGUUGUGAAAAAAGAGUUGUUUAAGGACCCGCCCCGAAUUUUUUCCAAAACCCGAGACGAACCCUUUAAAAUUCCUGACAUCACUCCGAUGCCAGACCCAAAUACUAAAGACCGAGACUUUCUGCCGAAAAUUCGGCAGAGUCUCCCCUAUAAAUUGGACGUUUCUCAAAAUUUCAACCUGCAUAAAAACGCAUUUAAUAUUCCCAACUGGCAGCAUGCACAAUAUAAUUUCAUGCAGUUCACAUAAAUUGGCCUUCGGCCUUCCAAUAAUUCUCAACAGACUACCAAACAAUUCAAUUACCAAAUAUGACUAAUAUUUAGUCUGCGGCUGCACUAAUAACCUUAGGCUGCCUACGUACCCUCCUUGAGGGAUCAAGCCACACGUAGUUCUUCCCUAAAACUCAAUUCCACACAUCGGCGAUACCUUAUUUCAUUUCCCUGUAUUUCACAAAUCCUCCCCAUACGCCGGUACAAACAACGCCACGUAUGGGGCCUGUCAACACGCCGGAUAACCUACGCCACGUGCGACCAUGCCAUACUAUCAUAAUAUCUCCCCAUACGCCGGUACAACCAACGCCACGUAUGGGGUCUGUCUCAACGCCGGAUAACCUAUGCCACGUGAGACCUGCACAUCAUAUCACAAGUCUCCCCAUACGCCGGUACAACCAACGUCACGUAUGGGGUCUGUCGACACGCCGGAUAACCUACGCCACGUGCGACCUCAACACAAUAUCACAUAGCUCCCCAUACGCCGGUACAACCAACGCCACGUAUGGGGCCUGUCUCAACGCCGGAUAACCUACGCCACGUGAAACCUGAACAUAAUAUCACAAAUCUCCCCAUACGCCGGUACAACCAACGCCACGUAUGGGGCCUGUCCGCAACCGGAUAACCUACGCCAUGUGGGACCUCACUUUCACUUGGUGGUACUUGUAGUAAAUCCAACAUCCGGGGAGGUACCUACAGUAGUGCGUAUAGCACUCCAAACUGACAUUCUAGACUCUGUUGUACCCUUGUACAACCAUAUAUACUUAUAUGAAUAAUUCUAAUAGUGUAACCCUCCACAAUAGUCUAGCUCCCGAUAAUCUCCCCUGGAAGGGUGAGAUUACUCCGGGAGACUCAUGGUCAACCAAGGGUCAAACUACUCUAACCCUGGUCAAACGGACCUGCAAAACCCACGACCUCCAAUUUCUGAUCCGAAAGUCUCUAUGGGUUCUACCAUGUAUAGGACACUUGUCCUGCGAGUUUGGUUCAGAUCGGAAAGUCGGAUUUCUCACGAUCGCACGAUCUGACGGUUAAUAUAAAAUAUAAACUUUAAAUUAUUAUUCGGAACAUCCGGGGCUCCGAUUCACGAUCCGUGAAUUCCUACACGAUCCUAGAUUAACAUAUAUUAAAUUUGAGACCAUCCAACGGUCCCAACCUAUCGAACUCGGAUAACGCACACUAUGCGAUUAUCCGUUCGACAGUCAAACGACGUUCGAAUUGAGAUCCGCGAAAUUCUACGCACUCGUGACAACCUAAGGAUCUCAUCGGAACACAUCGCUACUUUUUAUACAGUGCCCACGCGCCGCCGCACGCGCCGGCAGCGCGUGGGUGCCCAAAGCGAUAACGCUUCGGCGGAAAAUCUCAAAACCACGGCUCUAAACUCCUACCCUAGGUAUAAUACCCUAUUUGGAGCCACUUUUGUUCUUGGACCUACCCCAAAAAGUGGCCGGAAAUGGCCGAUCACGGCGGCCAAAGUUUUGGCCGAUUUUCAAUUCGAAAAUGGAGUUGUCUACGCUAAUAAUCGAUCUAAUCCUACACAACAGGCAGCUAGAGCAUGAAAAAUAGGUGAGAAACCAUACCUUGCUCGUCGGAUUUGGUGGCCGGAGGAGGGAGAUCGAGCUCCUUGAAUUUUGGGUUAAAACCGGUCGGAUUUUUGCAUUUUCCAGCGAGCACGGGUGGUUCCAGUGGCUGAGAUUGGUCGGGAUGGAAAGAGGAAGAUGGCACGGUUCUUUUGGGACCGGUGCCACCCCGAGUGUUGGCCGGAUGCGGCGGCGGCGGCUCAAAAACCGCCGCUGUGAACAGUAACAGGGGGGGCUGUUCUGCGCGCAGGAGAGAGAGAGAGAGAGAAAAUCUGAUUUUAUAAAAAAUCCCAUUUCGAAAUAUUUAUGAUUGUGCCACUGGGCUUCUUUUGACCAUAUUUCUCUCGUUACAACUCCGAUUCGAGCCCACUACGUGUCUAUGAACUCGUCUCAGUACGACCUAUCUAAAAAUACAAGUCACGGUCCCAAACUCUCUCCGGUUAAAAAUAUGACUAAAAUACCCUUAAUUAAUUAAAUAAUUAAAUAAGGGUUAAAUUUGGGGUUGGGGUGUUACAAGUUGACAUCAAUGUUUUUCUUUGCUACCGCAACAAGAGCUAGUUGAAGUUGAUGAGCAAAGCAAUGAACAUAAAAUGCACAAGGUUGUUCUCUCAAAAUCUUUGUCUUAAGGCCAUUGAACUCACCUCUCAUAUUGCUAGCUCCAUCAUAACCUUGUCCUCGUAGCUUGGAAAAGCUCAAAUUCGCGGAAGAAAAGAAUUCAUCAAUUGCUUCCUUUAGUGCACUUGAAGUAGUGUCGGUUACAUGUUGAACCCCUACAAACCUUUCAAUUAUUUGUCCUUUGUCAUUCACAUAACGCAACACCAUCGCCAUUUGCUCCUUUAUUGAAACAUCACGUGCUUCAUCCACCAUUAUUGAAAAAUAUCUAUCUUUUACAUCACUCAAGAUAAGAUCAAUGGUUUCUUUGGCACAAGAAUUGACAAGAUCUUUUUGAAUUGAAGGAGCUAUUAACUUUAAAUUUCCCAGAGCAUUUUCCAACACAACGGCCUUAACUUUUUCAUCAUGAUCCGCAAAAAAUUGCAAGAGCUCUAAAUAAUUCCCUUUAUUACUUGAUUGUGCACUUUCAUCAUGACCACGAAAAGAAAUCCCUUGCCGCAACAAAUACCUAGUGCACUUAAGUGAUGCAUUCAAGCAAGUACGAUAAGCCGUGCGAGCUUGGCUUGUUUGCUUGAUCACAAUUGUUUCAAUGUGUGUAGUUUGAUGCAUCAAAUUGUAAGCAACUUCUCUAGCUUGGUUGUGAACACUACCAACCGGUCCAAUAUGAAGGUUAAAUCUUUCUUUCGCCUUCUUCCAAUUAUUGAAGCCUACCCCAGUGAAUGCAUCACCACCCACUUGAUCAAAAUUAGAUUUGAAGAGAUAACAAUGAAGACAAAACGCAGCAUCUUUAGCAAUACUAUAUUCCAACCAAUCAUGAUCAUCAAACCAAUGAGCAAUGAAGCGUCUAUUAAUUCAUGAUUGAUUAGUUUGUGGGAAUUUAUAACUUCUAGGUUGACAAGGUCCCUUUUGUAGAUAUGCUCUUCGGAUCUCAUCCCUAAUAUUAGGACUAUAAUCCGCCAUUCGAGUUCUUAGUCCAGGGUCUGCUUGAAGAUUAGCUAAGAUCUCAUCUACUUCAAUUGGUCUUGCAUUUGAACUACCCGGAUUAGACAGAGAAGAACUAUCCGUAGAUAAUUUUCUUUUAAAGAAUCGUUCCAUAAAUCUACAAAUCAAUUAAUUCAAUCAAUCAUUAAUUUUUAUCCAAAUUAUCAUAUGAAUAUGAAAAUUUCAAUAACCCACUCUCAAUAUUCAAUAUACUCCCUAAACUCAUAUCAAUCAAUAUUCAAUAUACCAAAUUAUCAUAUCAAAUAGCAAUCAAUAUUUAAUAUACCCAAUCAAUUCAUAUUAUCAAUCAAGCAUAAACUCAAUCAAUCUACAUUAAUAUGAUUAUCACUAUGAUUCAUAUCCAUAAAUUUAAUUACAUAAAAAAAAUAUCAAUAUGAUUCAUAUCCAUAAAUUUCAAGCAUAAACUCAAUCAAGCAUAAACUCAAUCAAUCAAUAUGAUUCAUAUCCAUAAAUUUCAUUACAUAAAAAAAAAUAUCAAUAUCAACAAUAUAUAUUAUCACUAUAAUUAUUAAUAUCAGAUUUUCCAUGCUUACUUACUUGUAGUUUAAAAAAUGGGCGGCGGACGGCGGUAGAAGGUGGUGGUGAUCGGCACUGGGCCACCGGUGAAGAGUUGAUGGAGGUUGUCCAAGGUUGGGAGGUUGGGAGGUUAGGGUUUGAGAGGAUGGGAAGAGGGGUUGUGGAAUUGGGAAUGAAAGGUUGGAGAAAAUGAAUCUGUGCAGAGCUGCUGUGCGUGUGUGCUGUUCUGUUUUUUUUUUUUUUUUUUUUAAACCUGGCCCAAAACGACGUCGUUUUGAGGCCAGGUCAAUUAAAAAAAAUUUGACUGAGCCUUGACCAAACGACGUCGUUUGGCAAGGCUGGUUUUAAAAAAAAAAUUACGCGCAGCGCAGCUGCGCAGGACAUUUCGUUGGGGCAUUUCGUCGAGCACAUUGUGUGCAUACAAGGGGGCUUCCAGCAGCUGUCCAAGGGGGCUUUCAUGGACUCCCUUGCCAAAUUUCCAGCCUUCCAAGGGGUCGUCCGACCCCUCUUGUCUCAACGUGGAUCCGCCACUGCUGCAUACACCUACUCGUUUUGUGUUUUGUGUGUGUGUGUGUGUGUUUUUUUCUGAGUGCUUGAGAGAGAACAUGAGAAAGGAGGAGGGAGGAAGGAGUAACAAAAGUGAAAACAAAAAUUAAAAACUGAAAUAUAUUUGAAAUUAUUUUCACUUUUGUUACGAUUUCCUCCUAUAUCCUCUCAUCUCUCUCAAUCUCACCCUCACUCUAAUUCUCACUCUCAUUUUCCUUUAUACUCUACCAUAAAAAAUGAAAAUUAAAAAGUAAAAUUAAAAUGGUUAUCGAACAGGCUAUUUUUCCACGUCACAUAUGACAUAUCAGUUGGUGUGAAAUGAACAAUCAUUUUUUAUCCCGAGAAUCUUUUUUAUUUUUUAUUAGGUUUUUUGAGAAUCGUUUUUACGAUGGAAUCCGACGACCGUUUGCCAUCUGGAAAAGUUAGAGACCUCGAAAAUGAGGUUUGUGUUAUAUUUAGUAAAUGCAGACAACUACAACACCACUUGUUAAAUGCAAAGCUCUUGAUUUGUUGGGUGAUAAUAAUAUUAAUUCACGCGGAAUAAUGAAGACCAUGUAAAGAUUGCUCAAAUUGCACGCAACUGCACCAAGCAAGAUUCUGAAAGCCUAAAACAAAAGGACAAAGUACAGCUAACAGUCAAGCAUUUGAAAAGUUUCAAAGGAAGAAACUGUAGACAAAGAAAUUUUGGAAAUUCGUGUUUACAAAAACCAAAGUUAAUCGAUGGUUGUAGGUGGUUUUAGUUCCCUCGUCACUUGUGGGGACCGAAAAUCAAAUCCCACGUAGUAUGGCCAAAUUCAUGUGGCACGAUUUGUAAGAUAAUAUCUUGUUUUAACCAUGUUUGUGAUCUUCUAAUGGCAGUUUACAUUGAUCUAGGAGUAUAGACUUAAACAUUAUCUGCAGUUCUUGUUAAAAGAGUGUUUGAAUUGAAAAUAAGAACCUUGAGAAUUCCUAAUUCCAUAUGGAUUAAAAUUAACAACCAAUUUUAAUGCAAACUGGAUUACUUAAGUGUUUUUUAAUGGCCAAAACACUUAAGUAAAUGCAUAUAAAUAGAGGUCCAUUCCCUAACAGUCAAUUACUCUACUCAUACAGAAAUCUCACCACAUUGGAGAGAGAGCUCAAGAACUGCAUUGGAGAAGAAUUUCUAUCUUACCUAUUGAAGCUAUGUCGAAUCAAGGUUAGUGUUAAUGAAUGAAGGCAUGACAGAACUUACAUGAUUAAAAGCAAGUGAAGACGUGGAUUAGUUGGACUUCCCUCCCACUAGAGAAGUGUGAGGUAGGAAGGGCAUAACCCAACCAACGACUACCCACGAUUAUGAAAUGGAGAAUGGGAUGCGCAAAGCCAGGGAGGUGGAGUUGAACCCAAGGUCUUGAAGCGCUAGAAAAGCCCAACGGAGCCUCAACCAAAGGUACGAAAAAUUUGAGCAUUGAGAGUUCACUGAACAAACACUGACUUGAGCGUCAAAAUAUCUUUUGUAAUUAGCAAUGCAUUUGAAUAAGAGGAGCCGGAAUGGGCGAAAUUAUACUUGGAUGGACUACAUACAGAUAAGUACGACAUAUUCACUUUGAUGAUUUUAUAACUAAAUGCCACUAAUUUACAUAGUGCUUAUUUUAAAUUUGGAUGUCCAUCUAUCUUAUAAAUGCACAUUGCAUUAGACAUUCAAGCAUCAUAAGUUUUAGGUAUUGACUACACUGCAUUGAUGUAAUCACGCCACUUCAUCGUGAGAAUUGUUCCGUGGACUAGGCCACAUCAUUGUUUUUUAGGCAUGUCAAUAACAAACUUAUGUGCCUCUCACAACAAGUAGAUUUGGCAUUCGUGUCGUGUUUGCAGUAUUUGUGUUAACCUACUUUUUUUAAUGGGUUGACACGACACGACCCGUUAAGAAAACGGAUGAAAAAUAUCAAACACGAACACGAAAUCAACCAGCAAGUAGUUAUAAGGAGCAGCGGAUUAAUAUUAAUGGAUGUAGUACACCACGAAGAAUGGAAUCAUCAGCCUCCAUACUAGUUCAUAAAAGAUCCAGCCGGAGUCUUGGAUCAAGGGUUCAGAUCCAAAUGCAUACAAGUUUGCUCAAUGAUUUGCAAGAGGCCAUUGUUGGUAACAACCCUCCUGUGCUCAUCUUCCUUGUCAUUCCCCUUGCAAUUGUGAUUGAUUUUUAUCACUUCAGAAGAGUAAUCACUUUAUUAUUACCAUCCGUUUUUCAUCUCAUAACCAAGGAAUCUAGGUGGCACAGAGAGAGAGAGAGAGAGAGAGAGAGAGAGAGAGAGAGAGAGAGAGUAGGGGGAAUGGGGGAGAAAGAGACGAAAGAGAGGAAAGAGAAGGAGAGAAAAGAAAAUAAAAAAAAGAGAGAGAUAUAAAUUUAUAAAAAUGCCCUUGAGCUUAACGGGUUAACAUGUAUUUGCGAAUUAACAUGACACGACCCAUUAACUUAACGUGUGGCUAACGGGUCAACACGAUAUCAACACAAAACGAUAACUCAGACCCAAAUACUAAAUUUUUUUUUACGAAUUCAUGUCGUAUUAACGGGUCUGUACGAUAUUACUAUGUCUAACAACAAACAUUUGACUUGUUAUAAGAUAUUUUAUCAAAGCCGUCCAUGCGACAAAAGUAUGCUUAUAUCAUGCACACAACAAGUGUGGGCUUGGGGCAUCUAUGCUGUUGUGCAAAUGUUAAUAUUUGGAAUUGCCUAAGCACACUUGUCAAAAUUUUCUUGCUUAUGAGAACAGUAGGUUCCUAUUUCAUGUAUUUAGAAUUAGUUGUUCAAGUAUCAUGCAGUUACUGAUCGAUGUAUAAUUACAUAUUAUUUUGUACCCUUCUAUCUUAUGAUUUCGUUAUUUUUUUAAAUUAAACUUGUGUUUUUAAUUUAUUUUGUGUUUGUUUCAGUGUUUUAAGCUUUAGGACUUGUUGAGGCUCAAAAAAUCUAAAGCUGGGUCAAAAUAUAUUUCUAGUCAAAUACAACACUUAAUUGGGGAAGAAGCCCGAUUGGGGUAUGCAAGAGUUUGUCGUGUACGCUUGCACAAGUUAUGGUCCACGUGCCACACCAAGAAAAUACGUAAUCCACUACGCAGAAAGGUCGUAACAAGCCCUUAAAAUGUGGCUCUAUGAACCCGUGCUUAUAAUCCCAUUGAGUGCCAUUUGGCCCGGCUAUAGCCUAUUACAAUAUGGCAAAGCUCGACCACAAGCAUGCCAAAUAACACGCAACGCCAAGUGAAAAACCUUUAUCUUGGCAUCAAGCCACGCUACAAGCUUAAGUGGGUCCAAACUACACGAAUUCUUGGGGCUUGCUGAGCGGGUUGUGGUAUGGAUGAUUACGAGCUCAUGAGGCCCAUUUGUAAUACUCCAAAAAAAAAUUAAAAGUGGACUUUCGUAUUUCAGUGAAAAAUAAUAAUAUUACAGUGAAGAAUGAUUAUGGGUAUUUUAUCAAGUGAUUUUGGAUUGAGACUAUUGGAUUAAGUGUGUAAUUUCAAGUUGGAUAAAAAUGCCCUUAUGUAACAUCUUGUGAAUUUUUCAAAAGACAUUUAAGAAAUUGAGGUGAGACCAUUAUGAUUCUUAGGUAGUACGAUAGCAGUCGACUCAACUAACACGUAGGUAAUCGUUUCUGAUUUUUGGGCCAAAAUGACCAAAAUACCUAUAUGUGUUAAAAUAACCAAAAUACCCUUGUAGGGGAAGAAAAAAAAAAAAAAAGGAAAUCUGCAACGUGUAUGCAAAACCAUACUCUUCCAUUCAUUCUUCCCCCCUUCCUUAUACAUUUCCUUCAAAAUUUGAUCUUGAUAUCAAUUAGGGGUGAGUUGUUCACCUAUUAAAGAUGAAUCAUCUAGUUUAGGCUAAGUGUUAUGAUUUCUUAAGCUAAGAUAAGAUUGUAGGAUGAAGGAGAUGGGAGUUGGUUAAGGAAGAGAAUGUAGAAUAGGAGGAAGAGAAGAAAAAUUGCCAAGGCAAGUCAAUUUCGGAUUUUUGAUUUUUGAUUUUUUUUUUUUACUUUGUGUUUGCGUGAUUCUAGUCCCUUGAAGAGUGUUUUUGAGUCACUUAAGUGAUAGGGGAAUUGAAUUGGAAGAGUUUGAAUUUUCAUUUUCGGGUUAGGUGGAUAGAGCAAUUUUUCAAGUGUGGGUGUUUACGAUUUUGGUUCCAUUUUGAAUUUUUGAUGAGUUCUAAUAACAGGUAUGAAGUUUAGAAGAGUUUUAGAAGCUUUAGGAACAACAUGGGGGGUGAUAGAAUGGUUGAAAAUGACUUAGAAUCAAAUCUGGAGUUGGGCUCACCCAUCUCUCACGAAAUAUUGAGUACAACCAGUAGCGUGUGGGGUGAGUGACUUGUGGGAUCGGCAAUGGGUUGAGUAACAUGCGGGUUCAGCACUGGAUUGACCCGCAUGUUCACUUGACCCUUCUUCCUUAUCCUCAUGUUCACUAUUGGCUUCCCUAUGGUCCUCACAAUUCUAUGCCCCCAAAUUCUCACUGUUUACUGUAUCAGGGUCCUUAGCUUGGUCUCUUAUAGUUAGAGCCUCUUUAUUCCUACCUAUUGGAGUUUCUUCAACACGAGCCAUAUAAGUGUGUUCCAAGUAAAUUACCACCACUCUUUGAUAGGUAAGUGAUACUAGAUCACAUCAUUCAAGUACUUGAAGUAUCCAUUUCUAUAUCAAGUUUCUCACGAUACUCUGGUUAACAACCUCUUGAUUCCCUCGACACAAUUAUUGUCAAGUUAAAUCUCUACAAUAUUAGAACUCCUUCUUAAAUUUUGAUUUCUUCUAAUUUGAUUACUAUGAUUCGUCUAGUCUUCAUAAUCGAAUCUCACUAGAUGACAAUGUUGAAAACCUUAAUCCCCAAAUUUUAACUUUAUUUCUCAAAAUUUUAAUUCAAUUUGUGUGAGGGUGGGUUCUACUUUGUUGCAUCACCCAUUGAGAUUGGUAGAAAAUGGCCCACGAGGUAGAAAUUCCUAAGGGAUUUUUGUAGAAAUGUCAUCUGAACUUGGACAUCAGUUUUAAUUUGUCACCGUAAAGAAAAAUUUAAGCAAAAUGUCACCUUAAGUUUUCAAAAUCUAUGAUUUGUCACUUGACUUUAACAUCAUCCAAUUUUCCAUCCAUUUUGAAGGGUAUUUUAGUCUUUCCAAUAUGUAAACCCUUUUUUUAAUAUAAUUUAAGGUGAAAAUCAUAAAUUUUGAAAACUUAAGGUGACAUUUUGCUUAAAUUUUUAUUUAAAAUGAUAAAUUAAAACUGAUAUAUAAAUUCAGGUGACAUUUCUACAAAUAUCCCAAUUAUUAAAACAUCUUACUCAUGUUAUUAAUUUUGACGAGGUGACAGUCGAAUAUCAAACAUUAAUUUGACCUCAGUUUCGAGAUCACUGAAAGAGACUUAAGGCGAAAGAAAAGAAAAACUAAAAAGGAAAUGUCCCAAUUGGACCAAAGACAUCAUUUUUUUUUUCCAAGGACCAAAGACAUCAUUGGCUUAUUGCUUUUGCACCGUCAUUCUUCAAAUGGUCGCGACAAAGAAGCUUCCUCUGUUCAUUCUCGACGGACCCAACUCCCUCUCGACAGUGAAAGUAAAAGUCCCCGUUAGGGUUCAUCAUUGAUGGAGCUGUCCUUCUAAGGUAAGCCAAAUUUCCUUUUGUGCAAUUUGUCAUCGGGAUGCUCUUCAAUUUCAUUCGUUUGAUGUUAAAAUCUCUGUAAUUUGAAGUGAUUCCCUGUCUUUCAUGAUUGCAGCAGCUCAAUUUUGAAGUUGGGGGUUCUGUUUAAUCUUUCUUGAAAAUGAACAAUUCUAAUCAGGACACGCAAGAUCAGAGGUAAGGAUCAUCUGGGCAUCUCUCAUUUCUUUGGUUUGGGUUUUUUGAUAUGAGGGUUUCAAUGUUUGAGGUCCUUUAUCUCAUAUGGAUGUGUUAUACUAUCUCCGUCCCUAUGUUGGUUAAUAAUUUUCUUUUCUGUAGCAUGCCUUUCUACUUUUUGGGUUUGAAGAGAGCUGAAGAAAAGCAAAGAAAUUGGAGCUGAUUUUGGGAGACCAGGGGGCCUUUUGCCUGGCUGGGCUGUCCGCUGGAACUGCUUUUACGCCUAUCCAUUUAUCACCCAUCCCACCUCUUGGAAUCUGUUCGUCGAAAAAAAUCCUCUCCGAACCCAAUAUCUUCCAAGAGGCCAAGAAUCAAACGUGCCUCAUCAACUAUAGCACUCCCCCUCAUGUGCCCUCGAUUGCUCGUCUGCUGUCGGUGGUCAGGUACUGUCGUGUAGCAGCGACGUCGUCUAUCAGGUACUGUUCUCGCC